Molecule: long non-coding RNA, 109521 nt
Filed under: Vitis vinifera (wine grape)
Lineage: Eukaryota; Viridiplantae; Streptophyta; Magnoliopsida; Vitales; Vitaceae
Description: long non-coding RNA (VVIN_LNC000958)
Source: RNAcentral
GGAUCCUCCCUCUUUAAUUGCUAUGUAUGACUGCCCAUCGCCCAAAAAGGGCACAAAAAGUUGGGGGAAAAUUUCUAUGAUGUAUUAUUGGUCAUGUUUGAUAAUGAAAAUGACCUAAGAAUCUACUAUAUACCAUUUAAAUUCUAAUUUGACCUUGUUCCAUACAAGAAGUAUUUUUAUGCUAAUAUCUUGUUUGGAUUGAUGUUUGAGAAGUAAAAAAGUUGCCUUUUAAGCAAAAUUUGUCGUCCCAUGGAAUAAUUACUCAUGACUAACUAAGAAUUUUAUUGUCCCGCAGAAUUAGUAAUUAUUUUUUAUGGACAUCCAACAAUUAGACCCCAAAUAUUCGUUUGUGAGUAUAUAACGUAAAGAUACUCAAAAUUUUUUAAAUUAGGUUAUAUUAUAAUAUCUUGUCAUGUCGAUAUCAUGUAUUUAUGUUAUACCUAUAUUUCAUGACAAAAAUAAUAAUUUUGGAAAUGUCUAUGUAUACUUUACUAGUGACAUUAAUUUUGACACAUCAUAUUAGCAUAAUCAAUCAAUGAAAUUGCUUAAUAAUUUUUUAUUAAAAAAUUACGAGUCUUCUAAAUUUAAAUUAGUAUUUUUUUUAAAAAAAAUUGAUUCAUAGUAUAAGUAUAUUAGUGAGUAUAAUAUAACAAACAAAAUUGUCAGUUGCAUAAAAAAGUUCAAAAUCUUUUAAAUUAGGUCUUGUUAUGAUGUAUUAUGAUAUAGUGCAUUUUUGUCAUCUUAAUAAAUGUUAUAAACAAAAAUAACUUUGAUUUAUAACGUUUUCUUUUCAAUUAUGCUCCCCAUUUAUAUAAUUAUUUUUUAAAAAUAACCAUAAAAUAAAAUUAACUAAAAUAUGUUAUUGUAAAUACUCUAUUUUAUAUUAUUUUAUAAAAAUUAUUUUCUACUUUCUAAUUAUCAAACAUUUUUUUUACGAGUUUUCUUCUUAACAUACCAUUAGUUCUAAGAUGUGAUUGAAUUAAAUGAUGAAGCUAAAUAUCGGAAAUGUUCAUAUGGAAUUGAUUGACAUUACAUUUUGAUCGAUACUUUUCAUUACCUACUUGCUUAUGUCUAUGUCCCCAUGACCAGGUAAAGGAAUUCAAAUUCUUCUUUCAAAAUUUUAAAUGGUUUCAUGUUUUCGGAUUUUUUUUUUUCCCUUUUUAUAUAUGAUUGUAAUAUAAAAAUACUAAAGAAAAUAAAAUAUAAUUAAAAUAAAAUUAAAAAACAUUAUAUAUUUUUAAAUUAAAAUAAAUAAAAUGAGUUUUAAAUAACAUAUAAAAAUUAUUUUAUUAAUUUUAAAUUUAUUUUACAUUUUUCUAUGUUUUUUUUUCUAUUUUUUUGCCUAUUUUCUUUAAUAUAAUGUUGACUGAAAAUAAAUAAAUCGAUUGACCUCAAUCUUCAACGUCAUCUCCUCAACUUUAUGCAAAUCUGCAACUCUUUUUCUACCAAACACCCCCACAGGGAAAUGCGAGAAAGUUGGUACCACCAAAGGAAACCCAAGUGGAUAUCAUUUUCUGGCGUGCCAAACACCCCCAUUAGGACAGUGGUACUUUGUCCACAUCAGAUCCUUAUCUGGAGACAAGCGCAUUUAAAGCCAACCCACGUGGCAGUCUCACCACCCUCCGAUUCUUAAAAGAGCGUCGGUUGCUUUGUCCCUUUCCACCCCUUCCAGCUCAGUUAUCCUCAAAAAUAUAUGUAAUAAAUAAAUAAAUAAAGGACAAAAAUGAUGUCACGUAAUCAGCAACAAAGGCUUGGACCGUUUUUUGACUUUCAACAUCGCACGUGACCGCCGCCUUUUAUUCGAGGUUCGGCGAACGUCGUCGCUUUGUUACGUGUCUAAAGCAAAGUACACGUGGCACUCUCUUUUGAUCUGCAUUGCCAAUAAUAGUUUAAAAUGCAAUCAAGUGCCAGCUGGGCUGACACUGGACAACUGUUGCGUCACCACUUCACAUUAUUUAACUAAUUGACGUAUAUACCCUCAAUCCAGAAUCCAAUCCUUUUUUAGGUCCAUCUUCUAACCUAUAUAACAUUUAAAAUGGGUUAAUUUCACUUACUCCGUCAGGUUUACCAUUCAUUUCAAAUUAAGAGUGUGUUUUAUAUGUUUUUAAAAAUAUUUUUCACCCAAAAAGUGUUUUUAAAAAAUAUUUUUCACCUAAAAAGUGUUUUUAAAUAAAAAAAUUAGAUCUUUAAUAAAAUUUAAAAAAUAUUUUUAAAAUUUAGAAAAUUACUUCUAGCAUUAAAAAAAUUACUUAUAAUAUUGACUUAUCGAUUAAUUCUUAUUUUUAAAUAUUAUAAUUGAUUUAUAAAAUUAAAUUAAAAUUUAUUUUAAAUUAUCAAUUUAAUAUAUUUAUUCUUAUAAAUUAUAAUUAUAGUAAAAGAGAUUUCAUAACACUAAAGGAUCGUGAAGUAGCAAAAGAUAUUUGAAAAUAAUUAUGAAAAAUAGGGAUAAAAAGGUAAAAUAAAAAUAUGAAUUUAAGAAUAAGUUAAUUGUUUUUACUUACUACUUAAAGUUGUUUUUAUUUUACCAAAUAUACUUAAUUUACUUAAUGACUUGAAUUAAAUUAUUAAGUUACUUUAAGUUAUUAAAUUAAUUUACCAAAUACACACUAAUUAAAUUAACCUUGAAAAAAAUCUCAUAAUAAUAAUUGAAUUUAUUGCAUUUAAAGCAAAUAAUCUUUAUAAAAAGGAUAAUAAGUCACUAUAAAUUGUAUUAGAAUAGAUCAUUGAUUAAUGUGAAUACUUACUUAUUUUUAAAUUUGUAUAUCAUCUUUGCAUUAUAUAUGUAAUGAGUUUUUUUAAUUAUAUAAACAUAUGCGACAUUUGUUUUUUUAUUGAAUAAAAAAUAUUAAAAUAUUUAACUUUUUUUAUUUAAUUAAAAAUAAUCUAUUAAUAUCAACUAAUAUUAUCAAACUAAAUCUAUUAAUAAUAAAUUCAUUUUAAUAAUAUCAGUUAAUAUUAAUAUAUUACUUUUAACUUAAUAAAAAAAAGUUAAAUAUUGUAAUUUUCUUAUUCAAUUAAAAAACAAACAAAUUAUUUUGUAAAAAAAAAUAAUAAUUCAAAACAAUUCACAAGUAGCUAUGGAUGUAGAAGAUGGGUCUUGAAGUUCAUGUAUAAAUCCAAAAUGUUGUUCUUCAUGGGUUGUAGUCAAAUCUAGUCCAUGAUAUGACAUUUCUUGGGAGAAUGGGUGGUUGCUAUUUAUUUAAUUUUACUAAGCAAUCAUUCUUUUACGGACAUUAAAAGGAAAAAAACAAAUCAAAUUUUCAGACAUAUCUUUCUAUAAUUAUUUUCAAAUUUUGGAUUUAUUUUAUAUUGGUCACAAGGAGCCGACAAGGGUAUAUGCGAGACAGAGUUUGGAGGGUAAAAAUAGUAAAGAUGAUGGGAAGAGGGUAGAUCUCAGUGACGGGGAAAAAGGAAAAUGCCAAAAAGGGUAAGGACACAGGGCCCUUGAUCUGCGGCCUGGGCUCGGUCGUCCACAUGCGCUUGGAGAGUCAUGGUUUUGAAGAUGAGGCUGAGAUUUGAGUCGGCCCGCCCCACAUUUUGUGAUUAAUUAUUUAUCAUUUUAAAGAAAAGAACAGAAAAGAAGGGGGGCGUAGGACAACAUGGGUGGUUCCCAUGAAAGCCCAGGAACAGGCCACGAUCGUGAGAGUUUCGAUUAGGUCAGCUGGAUUUUCAGUAUCCCUCCGCCCUCUUCUCAUGGGCCCCCCUUUGCCCCUUUUUUCUGGCCCACAUCGCUCGUGGUAUGUUUCCUUACCUUUAGGGGCUUUUUUGUCUUUUGGUUUUCGGGCCGGGUCGUCUUUCCUGGUUAAUAGACCAUGGUUACCUAUCUGAUUUGAUGUCUGCUUAGGAUGGUAUUAUUAAUUUUGUCCCGAAAUUACUAGAAUAGACUUCCAUUUCGACAAUUUUACACUUUUUUUUUGGCCUUUUAUAUGGAUUGCUUUUCCUACGAGGUUAUUUGUCAGAUGUUCUUCCAGCAGCGCCGAAAGUUUACCAUAAAAAUAAUAUUUUUUUUGAAAAAAAACUAAGCCCCGGUUGAUUUUGGAUUCUUUAAGUUAAUCUGAGUUUGAAUUGCAUAAUUUAAAAUCUCUUUAUAAUAUUAUUUUAAUAAAUUUAUAUGAAAAUUUAAACAACUAAAAGGAUAAAAUUUCAAGACAAUCACAAAAAAAAAAUAUAAAUUUAUGUAUUUUUUUAAAAUAAUGAAAAACAUAUAAUAUAAUUUUAUAUUUUUUUUUAGAAAAAUAAAUAUUAUUAUAUAUAAUAAAAUAUAUUAUAAAUAUUAUAAAAAUAUUAAAUCAUAUUUGGGUUAGACUCGAGUCGUCUUAAUCUUAACUCGAUCUCAAUUAAAAUUGAGUUCGAAUUAAAAAAAAAUCUAAGUUAAGUACAACAUGAAUAUUGAAUAUGAUUAUUGAAACUUGUUCAAAUGUCAGGAUCCACAUAAAUAGCAUCGUUAAUAAAAAUACAAGAAGGGGAAGAAGAAAAAUAACAAAAAUGAAAAAGAUUACGAUUAUGAUUAAGGUUUAGUAGGUAUACACAAUUAAUUUUUUUACUUUUAAUAAACAAGGAGAAAAAAGGACGGAAAAGAAAAUGAAUGAUUAGGAUAAGUGGUUGGGUUUAAUAAGUAUACACGAUUAGUUUUAGUAGGUAUAUACUACUAGCUUUAACUUUUAAUAAAUUCUUUUAUCUAAAAAUGGAAACAAAGAGGUGCAAAAAGGAAAGGAGAAAGAGAAGGGAAAGGAAAAGGAUUAGGAUAAGGGGUGGAGUUUUAUAAGCAUACACGAUUAGUUUUAACCUUUAAUAAAUAUUUUUAUUUAAAAUUAAAAACAAAAAGAUACCAAAAAAGGAAAAGGAAAAUGAUUAGGAUUAGAGUGAGGAUUAUGGUUUAAUACGUAUACACGAUUAGUUUUAAAUUUUAAUGUAUUAUUUUAGUUGAAAUAGUUUGAGAUAUAUUUUCCUAAUUUUUUGAAAGGUGUGUUUAAUAUUCAGUUCUUUAAAUAAAUUUUAGUUUUUUUAAUCUAAUAAUAACUUAAAUAUUAAUGCAUUCAAAUUUACAGCAGUUAAUUUAGAGUUCGUUUAACAAUAUUUUUAAGAAGUGUUUUUGAAAAAAAAAAUUGUCCAUUUGUUAGUGAUUUGAGGAAGUAAUUCUAAUCUUUUUAACACUUGAAAUUUUUUAUUAUUUAAAUCUUAAAAAGAUUAGAAACAUUUUCUAUAAUUAUUAUCAAACACACUUUUAGAAUAUUAAUAAAUUACUUAUAGUGUUUUCUGAAAAAGUUUUCAUUCGAUGGGUGAUUUUCCUGAAAACGCUUAAAAAAAUAUUUUUAUUAAAAAUAUUUUAAUCAAAUAUGCACUCUUAGAGUGAGUUUAAUAGUGAUUCUAGAAAAUUUUACUAGUUUUUAUAAUGGUAGAAAGCGUUUAACAUUGAUUCUAAAAAGUGUUAUUAACUUUUCUAUCUUUCAAACAUUAGAAAAAUUAGAAAUACUUUUUAGAAUCACUAUUACGUUUGGCAAAAAGUGUUUUUAACUUUUCUAUCUUUCAAACAUUAGAAAAAUUAUAAAUACUUUUUAGAAUCACUCUUAUAUUUGGCAGUGAUUCUAGAAAAUAUUUUUUUGUCAUUUUAAUACUUUAAAUUUUUUAUCUUUAAAGUAUUAAAAAAAUUAAAAACACUUUCUAAAAUCAUCGUAAAACAUACUCUUAGAGCCCAUUUGGUAGUGAUUUUAGGAAACGUUUUUAAUAUUUCUAAUACUUGAAAAUUUUUAUCACUAAAGUGUUAAAAAUACUAGAAACGCUUUUUAGAAUCACGCACAAACAUCACAAGUGAUUUUUCAUAUUUUUAUAAACAAUUGUUUUUUCAAAAUUAAAAGCGUUUCCUAAAAUCACUAUCAAAUGGAUUCUUAAAAUGGGUUUGAUAGAGAUUUUAGAAAGUAUUUUUACCAUAUCUAAUACUUGAAAAACCACUAGCAAACAUACUAUUAGAGUAUUGAUAAUAAUUAUAGGAAAUAUUUCUAACCUUUAUAACACUUGAAAUUUUUUAUCCUUCAAGUAUUAAAAAUGUUAGAAACUUUUUCUAUAAUAAUUCUCAAAACACUUUAAAAUCACGUUUGAGAAUUAUUUCAGGAAGUAUUGAUAAUAUUUAAAUAAUAAAAAUUUUUAAAUAUUAAAAAAACUAAAAUCACUCCGUAUAACCUAAGGAGACAUGAUAGAUAGAAUCGGGUUAUUAUUAUUUUUAUUAUUAAAUUUAAAAUUUUAUUUUAAUUUUAUUAUUUUUGAGAGGAAGGUAGGAUUUGAAAAAGUGAUAAUGUUGUCCUUAUAUUUAAAAAGGAUGCCUUUGGUUUUUGAAGGCCAGGGGGUGUUGUGGACCGACGACUUGUUAAACUGUACCUUUCAAAUGUAGGGCUUUCAAUACCUAACAAGCAGCAAACCCACGCACUCUCUAAGUUCCAUUGUCCAUCGGAUUCACAACAUCUUGGAGAUAUGUCCUUUUUAUUAACUAUAAAUAAUUAAAUUUGAUCCCCAUUUUACAAUUUCAAAUUAUUUGAAAACAAAUAAUGACAAUGAAAAUGUUACUUAAUUAUGGGCCCAACUUAAUCUCAAAUCAAAAGAAAGUAUUUGGAACUACCCAGUAUAAAUUAUGUUCGAAACGUUUUCGAAAACUAUUAUAAAAAAAUAAUUUUAAAAAAUGGUUUUAUGAUAUUUUCUAAAACAAAAUUUUAUUUGAAUAUUUAGAAUAUGUUUGAUAAUUGUUUUAAAUAAUAGAAAACAAUUUUUUAUAUUAUUAAAUUUGUUUUUUAUUUUUUUGUUUUGAAAAAUAAAAAAUCGUUUUUGAAAACAGUUAUCAAACAAGUUUUUAGAAUUAAUUCAACUUAUAUCUCAUGUUUAUAAAUUUUUAAUUAUUUGAAAAUUACUUUUUUUCUGAAGGCUAAAUUAGUCAUUUAAUGCAGCAUUCUUACUGUAAACGAAACUAACGUUAGUGUAUCAAAUAGUAUUUGGAUUAAGGUUCGAGAUGAGGCCAAAAUGACAAAUAUUCCACGCAAUUAUUUCCAUUAAACAGAGAUUCAGGCGCUAGGGUUUAGCAUUAAGACAGAAAGUGAAGAGGAUAAAAGCCGAAGAAUGACGAAAAUACCCCUGUAAUAGCAUCCAACAAAAGGUUGAACUAGGAGAGCCGUGGCCAUGCAUGCCUCACAACAAGUAAUUGUGGAUGCCAUGUGCCAUUGAGCAGCUUUUGUCCUUACCCUCUAUCCGAACGCUUAGUCGUCACUGUGAGCAGUGACAGUGGCAGUUUCGUUGUUUUAUUCAAAUCUGGGGGUUAGUUUGGAGGUGGGCAUGCAUAAAAGCCGGUGCUCACCUCUUUCGCUCAGAGCAUCGGCAUCACCUCCACCGUUUCUCCCUUUUCUCUCUUCUUCUCUCUUAAACUUCGCUUCAACCAGACACUCCCAAUGAGAGCUGUGGCGUUUCUUUUGCUACUAUUGUGCGCCACCUGCCACAUUGCCUUAUCCUUCACCGACGGUAAGUGGCAUUUUCCUGGUUUACCUCCUCUUCUUCUUCUUCUUCUUCUUCUUCUUCUUCUUGAGAGCUGAUGGUGUCUCUGUUCCAAUGUUUUUAUCCUCCGUUGGAUUUGUUUGACUAACUUUAUUUUACGGUUGAGAUUAACGGUUAUUUGUACAUUAUGCAUUGGCACUAGGUUAGGAUCAAUGCUAGCGGUGGCCGGCAGCGCUGCUACUAGCUAGAUAAACUGACCAAAUUAACCCUACCUUUCAUGUCGAAUUCUAGUCUCAGGAAGGGGCUUAAGGGUCAUUUAGAUAGUCAUAAGUUGCAGAGGUUUCUGGCCGAGAUUCAAAAGUUGAGGGGCAAAUAUGCCUUUUUACGCUUCAAUAAUUUGAAUCUCUCGUACUGCUGCGGGGCAGAGGCGGCUCCACAUGCUCUCAGUAUGGAGAGAAAGUCUCAGCCGUCCAUGUGCUCAUAUUAAUGGCUCUGAUAUGAGCUGUGUGGGCCACUAAGUAUCUGUUUACAGUUCAGGUGAAUAGAAGUGUGUUAAAUGACAAUAUUGGCCAUUCUAGUCCCGCCAUAUGGUCGUCGGUCUCACCGUCGUAGCUUUCAGCUUCUAACGGCCUUUGGCCUGCUCGAUAACCGUAACGAAAACAUGGGUGUUAUCCUCCUUUCAAUUCCUUUGUCAAAUGUUUUCAAUUUCUUGCAAAUUUAUUGAAGCUAAAUUCCAAAUAAUACCCACUGGAAAACGCAGGACUAUUACCGAAUGGGAACUUCGAGCUGGGGCCGAAGCCAUCGGACAUGAAGGGAACGGAGGUGAUAGGCCCGCACGCCAUACCGGAAUGGGAAACAUCGGGUUUCAUCGAGUACAUAAAAGCAGGACAAAAACAAGGCGACAUGUUGCUGGUCGUCCCUGAAGGAGCCUUCGCAGUCAGGCUGGGGAACGAGGCUUCCAUAAAACAGAGAGUGAAGGUGAUCAAGGGAAUGUACUAUUCCAUUACCUUUAGUGCCGCCAGAACCUGCGCCCAGGAGGAGCGCUUGAACAUAUCAGUGGCGCCCGACUGGGGAGUCCUGCCUAUGCAAACUCUGUACAGCAGCAACGGCUGGGACUCCUACGCCUGGGCGUUCCAGGCUGAUUACGAUGUGAUCGAGAUCGUCAUACAUAACCCAGGCGUAGAGGAGGAUCCAGCUUGUGGACCGUUGAUCGAUUCCGUUGCUUUCAGGGCUCUGUAUCCUCCCAGACCUUCCAGCAGUGAGUUUUUAUGGUUUGAUUCGUUUGAAUGCAUAUAAGCAUAUUGCAUACUGCAUACACAUUAUUUAUUUUAUUUUUUUAACAUUUGGUACAAGUAUAUAGUAGUUAUGGCACUAUGGUCCCCUGCAUUAGGUCCCCCUCUUAUAUAUUGGACCACUUGUUUCGGAUUGGGGCUCAUCAUAUAACUAUUUGUGGGUAGGUUUGAAGGCCCCGUUUUCCGCUCUGCCUUAUAGGUAUUAGUCAAGGUUUGCUCAAAUCUGUGAAAUACUGUGAAGCCCAAUUAAAUUAUUGGGCUGAUCCGGUUUUGUUUUUUCACUCUUUUUGAUAAGGAACACCUUGUACAUGCAUUAUUGCAUUUCCAGGAGCUGUAAUAUGGUGCUCGAUAUCUCUCAUUUAUAACAUUUCAGACCCUUUUUUGAGGUGGGAUGAUCCCGCUUAUGUCGGGUAAUGGGUCGCCCAAAUAAUGACUCCUAAGGGUGUGAUGUAGAAUGUCAUAAAAGACACCCAUACAGGAAAAUAAUCGGUUUUUAGGUGAAAUGAUCAAAAUUUGGACCUUAGGUUGUCUCUAUGAAUCACACCCAACAAACAAAUUAAUGAGACACAAGUAUAUUUUUCGAGUGGCUAAACCUUCGUAUUCUUUCUUAAUUCAAUCAUCACAUACUUCUUUCAUUAGGGUCAUUUCAAUUUCACAUUUAGACCAAGACCCAUUUAAGACAGACAUAGAAAGUACGAGUCCGACGCCCAGAGAUCACAUUUUGUUAAAUACAUAGACACGAAGUUACCUAUAGGAUAUAGCUAUUGCUUUCAAGAGUUGUGUCAUUUAUUGGCCCAGGACUUAAGUGGUUGGCCCGUUGAAGACCUUGCAAGCAUGGUGACAAAUCGCCUUUAUGAAGUAGGCCAAAGGGUGGCAAAAAUGGCACACAUCUUCUAUGGGUGGAUAUGCAAGAAUCUGAUCAAUUAUGGUCUACUCUAGAAAAAGAAUAAUAAUAAUAAUAAAAGUUUAAGGAUCUAGCUUUUUGGAAUUAUUAAUAUUUUCAUGUCUUGAUCAUGCAGAGAACCUACUGAAAAAUGGUGGGUUUGAAGAGGGCCCAUAUGUGUUCCCCAACACAUCCUGGGGAGUUCUCAUCCCACCCAACAUUGAAGAUGAUCACUCUCCGCUCCCUGGUUGGAUGGUGGAGUCCCUCAAAGCCGUCAAGUACAUCGACUCCGACCACUUCUCCGUGCCGCAGGAGAAACGUGCGGUGGAGCUGGUGGCCGGAAAAGAGAGUGCCAUAGCCCAAGUAGCCAGAACCAUCCCUGGCAAAACAUAUGCGCUCUCAUUCUCAGUAGGAGAUGCCAGCAACUCCUGUGAAGGGUCCAUGGUGGUGGAGGCCUUCGCCGGCAGGGACACCAUCAAGGUGCCAUAUGAAUCAAAGGGCAAAGGAGGCUUCAAGCGGGCUGUUCUCCGUUUUGUAGCGGUAUCCAACCGAACCCGAAUCAUGUUCCUGAGCACAUUCUAUACCAUGAGGAGUGAUGACUAUGCCUCCCUCUGUGGACCUGUUCUUGACGAUGUGAAGCUGCUCAGCCUCCGCACUCCUCCUAGGCACAUCUAAGCCGGCGGCCAGUGUUGAUGCAAAUUAAAGGGGUGGUUUCUGUUUUGAAGCUCUGCAACUCUGCAGAAACAUCAGUUAUACUAGAAGUAUUUUUGCUAUAUGAGAAAGCGAGGUGCACUAGCUUGAGUUCUACUACAAUCUGGAAAAAAUAAAUAAAAAUAAAUAUAUAUAUAUAUAUAUAAAUACUAAUUAAUGUAACAAUAUAUAGUAUAUGGUAGGGUGUGAUUUUAUUAAGUGGUUGUGUACUUUUUUAGAAAAAUAAAUGACAAAAAAGGGAAAAAAAAAAAGAAAAAGAAAAAUUAAAGUUGUUCGUGAUAUUAAGAUCAUAUGUUUGUGUUUGGGUUCAUAAUUGUACUGAUUUUCGAGGUUUGUUUUAAUUUGAGAUACUUAAACAUGGGCAUAGCCCAAUCAUGAAUGAGUCCCAUGCAUGUAUUCAAGUUUGAAUCAAGAAUCUAUGGAUCCUACUUAAUCUACAAAUUGAGUAUUAUAUCUUCACAUUUACAAAUGGGACCAUUCUGACAUUACUUUAGCUGAGAUGCCUACUCAACUCUCUUACUAUUCGGGUGCCCAAAAUCCUAUGGUUGAACGUAGAUGAAAUAUGUGAAUCAGGUGAAAGAUUUCAAAUUGUCGAUCUUCAUGCAAUGAUUCCUGGUGAAGAAAUUACAGAAAAAAAAAAACACAGAUUUAAUGUGAUUCGAUGAAUUGCUUACGUCUACGAGAACAAGGAAGAAAACUUUCACUAUAUGUCAAAUUAGGGUUACAUAAAAUAAUAUUUAUACUAAUCAUCAGAUAAUAAAAUUCCAAAAAUGUCCAUGCAUCGUACACUCCCCUCGUUCCACUCUGUUCUACUUCGACAUUUGUCAUUUUUUUCUCUAUGUGUCUUUCUCUCAAUAUGAACCACAUACUACAACACAAAAAAAUACUCGGGCAAUGCUCAAAGAAGAUAGGAGAAAGAAGAAUACAAAAAUAAAAAUGAAGUAUACUUGGUGUCGUUCUCUUUCUCAUGCUGACUUACAAAAAUUUAAUUUCAAAACAGAGGUCACAUGAUGAUAAUGACACGAGAAUUUGGAGGGGUAGUGGUGAAAUGGGCCGCACAAUUGAUCCUACCCUUUGUAUUGGGCUUCAUUUUGCUGGAUCCAAGUUUGUCCGGAUAAUAUAAUUUCAAUAAACUGAAAUCAGCCCUUAAAGACAAGACCCAAAUUGCCAAGCCCUAAGGCACGGCUGGGUUACUGCCACGUGCAUUGCACGUGGGGUGUAAAAAAUCACAAGAAGAAUGGAAUCGGACGGUGGAGAGAGUCGCGUUAGGUUGAAGCUACCUGAGAGACGCUAAAACCCUCUUAUAGAAACCCUCGCGUUCGUGUUUGUCUCCCUCUUUCUCCUCACACUCUCUCUGCGGACGCAUUUUCACAGGGGUAAAUAUGGUGAGUUUCGUUUUCCUUUAUGUUUGUUUCUCUAGAAAAAUUUAAGGGUAUUUUCUUUUGGUUUAACAAAAAGGAAAAAAAGAAGACUUAUCCAGGACAAAUUGAGCUUUUGAAUCUUGUGAUUUAUGCUGCAUUACUUUCUGUUGAGUUGAGAUUCUGUUCUUCUUAGUCAUCAAAAUGUUAAUUGAUUUUCUCUCGUUGUCCUACCUUUCGCAAGCAAUCAAUCGUAGGAUAAGUUUGGUUCUGUGAUUCGAUCCCGUUCGAUUGAUCUAUUGAUUUUUUUUCUGUCGUAGGCUUUGCCUAAUCAGCAGACUGUUGACUACCCAAGUUUCAAGCUUGUAAUCGUCGGGGAUGGUGGAACAGGUGAUCACAAUAAAAAUUAUAUUCUUUGUUCUUCGCUGUGUUCGGUCGCUGAGAAGACCGAGGAAAAACGAAGACUUCGUUUUUUUCUUUUUUCCUUUUCAUUAUCUGGGACUUGAUGGAACAAAAACUUCCCGUCUUAAUCAAUGCAACUAUUUUGCUCGAUCGAGUUCCUUUUUUUUUUUUGCCUUUUCCUUUUCUUUAAAAAUGAAAUGCAAUGAAACAUAUUCGAAAAUUUCUUUUCCCUUUUUUCUUUCAUUCAGAAGUCAAAUACAGGGUUCGGGAUUUGAUUUUCUAUUGCCUGUAGUUAAUAUAGAACCUCACUGUAUCCAAGUUUAUUUUCCCCAUUUUGUGCAAUUGGGGUUUUCGUUGGGGUUCUUGUGAUUAUAAAACUGUAGAGCUUAUAUGGAAAAGGGAUCAAAGCCUUGGAACUCAUUUUAUGUUGUGGAAUUUAAUGCACUUUAUUUACAGUGAUUUUGCUAAUCUGAAAGUGGUUUGCCAAUGCAGGAAAAACAACAUUUGUUAAAAGACAUCUUACAGGCGAGUUUGAGAAAAAAUAUGAACGUAAGUUUGGAGAAAAUGUUAUGCUCUAAGUUUUCUAUCUUGUAUUUACUUAUCGGACUGUUUGUGAAGAUUUUCAAAGUGCCCUUCAGGCCUUAAUAGCCCAAAUGAGAGGAAUAUUCUAUUCCCAAAGCAAAAGAAAAUAGUAUAUUCUGAAUGCAAACUAAUUUUGUUUUCCUUUUUCUUUUUUAAUCAUGAUAGCAACCAUUGGUGUGGAAGUUCAUCCGCUGGAUUUCUUCACAAACUGUGGUAAGAUUAGAUUCUAUUGCUGGGACACUGCUGGGCAGGAGAAGUUUGGUGGUCUUAGAGAUGGAUAUUAGUAAGUAAUUUUACAAAUUGGUGUUGCUAGCUCAUUUUUUUACUAAAUUUUUUCUGUCCUGAACAUGUAUUUGUAUUUAAUAUAUUUGACAAUUUGAUGUUCAUAUUCAUUGCAUCACAAUAUUGUAUGUAUGAAAUCUUUUUCUUUGGUUGGCUGGUUUUUUCAAUUUGUGCUUUUGACCUUCAUACUGUUGUUAGAAUUUUGAUUAGAAUUGAAGGAUUCUUUGUUCUAUUAUAACCAUCUUAAUAUUUUUUUUUGGUGUUGCUCAUGGUGUUCUUCGCUUACAGUUGGUUGAAAUUGUUUUUCUAACUCAUUGGUGAAUGUUCAUGUGUUUAUUGAAUGUGCAUGAAGCAAUCGGAAGUUAGAAACUGUUUUUUCAUAUGAUUUCUGAUUGAUGCUAAUUUGGUAUAUUUUAGGCUUCCACAUUUGAUACCGUCGGUUUGGGUUAUUUGUUUCAUUUUAUCUUGCUGUAGAAGUUAUUGGUGAAAAAAAUGGAGAUAAGUGGUUUAUAAAACAAUUUGUAAUCAAGUGGUUUGUUUUCUUUUGAAUUGGACUACCAUGUUUGUUUGGGUGAAUUAAAAGAUUAUAUUUUUUAAGGCAGGUUGUAAUUUCAGUUUGACUGCCCAAGUUGUAUUAUUGAUAAAAUCAAUUUUAAAGGUGUGUUUCAAAUUGCUUAAAAGGUCAAGUAAAAUUUUACUUUUUGACUUCAUAAAUGUCAAAAGAAAUAUAAAUAUAAACUCUGCAUUUUGGAUAUAAUAAUUAUGGACAUUUUAGACCUGGAGGCUAGUAUAUGAUGAUGAUAUGUAUCGGUUAGGGUGUUGUUGUGGUUUGGUUGUUUUCAGGGUGGUGUUGGUAUUUGGCCCUCUUCUCUCCAUUGCCAGCCUUUUGGUGUGUACUUUCUUGCACCUCUUUGAUGGCGCUUUUUAAUAUAUUCUGUCAUUUACCUAUCAAAAAAAAAAAGAAAGAGAUGUGUAUUGAAAUCAUCAAUUAUCCAAUUAUAUCAGUUGUCAUCAAUUGCUUAUUGAAGUCAUGUUUCAGACUUUCUGCAUUUGAAGCUGAUACAUAUCAAAAUUAUCAUUUUAUAUUGCAAUUUGCCCUUGGCCAUCCAACUCUCUGUAGCCCUUCUUAUCCACUGCAAAAUCUAAAUAUCUAGCUCUUCAAGGCCCAUUAUCAAUUCAUAGUGCAAUUCUCAAUCCGCUCUGUUCAUCCAAACAUGAAAUGUCUGUAUAAUGUCAAUUUAUAUACAGACUUUGAGCCACAUGCUUCCUUUAGAUCAUUUUGUGCUAAAUAAUAGAAAUUUGGUAUUGUUCAUGCUUCACAUUGUUUUUCAGAUUUCACCUUUUUUGAGGAUCACAGCCUUUUCAAGCAAUUUGCUAAAUUUUUGUUUAAUGUGCAGCAUCCAUGGGCAAUGUGCCAUUAUCAUGUUUGAUGUUACUGCUCGCUUGACAUACAAGAAUGUUCCAACAUGGCACCGUGAUCUUUGCCGGUGUGUACAGGAAUCCUGAUUUCCUAAAUCUUAGCAAUUAUCCAUUAGUGAAGACUUAUUCUGAGCCUUAAAUCUUAUGAAGAAUUUUCUGGUUUACCAAUUACAGGGUUUGUGAAAAUAUCCCCAUUGUGCUUUGUGGUAACAAGGUUGAUGUCAAGAACAGGCAGGUGAAGGCAAAGCAGGUUACUUUCCACCGGAAGAAGAAUUUGCAGUAUUAUGAGAUAUCAGCUAAGAGCAAUUAUAAUUUUGAGAAGCCUUUUCUCUACCUCGCCAGGAAACUUGCUGGGUAAGGAAGGACUGCACUAUAAUUCCUUUAUUUUCAUAUAUUUCCAAGUAUGGAGCUUAAGGUAAUCAUCACCAAAAUCGGUGUUGUGGUGGCAGGGAUCCUAAUUUGCAUUUUGUCGAGUCUCCUGCUCUAGCUCCUCCGGAAGUUCACAUCGACUUGGCUGCACAGCAACAGUAAGCAUUUUGUGACAACCAGAACUAUCUCUUCUCAUUGUCUCUCACUCUCAAAUGCACACACAAGCACAUACGUGCUCCAGCCAGCUCUGUUUGGGAAGUGUUUUUAAGAACAGUUUUUGGAAAAUGUUUUCUUAUAUUUUGUAGAAUAAAAGUUUGUUUGCGAACCUGAAAUAUUUAAAACCUAUUUUCUAUGUUUUUUAAAUAUGUUCUAAAAGAUGUUCUCUAAAAAUAUAUUAUUUUUUGCUUUUGGGUUGUUAAUCGUGUUUUCUUACUUUUUUGUUCUUUAUAAUAAAAAACUGUUUUAAAAAACAGCUCCGAAACAAGGACUAGAUUUCUAAGUGGCCACUGGUUACAUGAUUAGUGUUUUCUUACUUUUUUGUUCUUUAUAAUAAAAAACUGUUUUAAAAAACAGCUCCGAAACAAGGACUAGAUUUCUAAGUGGCCACUGGUUACAUGAUGAACGACUAUUGUAAAACUGUGGUUUGGUUCUGAAUCAUGUGGUGGUUUUUGGCAGGCAUGAGGCUGAACUUGCUGCAGCUGCUAGUCAACCCCUUCCAGAUGACGAUGAUGAUGCGUUUGAAUAGAUGGAGGGUUGUUCCCUGUUGUCCAAUGUCUUCCCAAUUUUUCUCCCAUACAUUUAGGACUUGGUAGUUUUUUUCCCCUUUUUUUGGGCUUUUUUUGUUUCUCCCUAUAUUUUUCUCUUGUGGUGAGAUUUGAGGUGGGUGGGGUUUUUCAAUUUUUGGUUUGGUAUUGUGAGAUUUAUGCUGGUGUUUUGUGUAUGACAAAGAUUACAUAUUUGAAAUUAUGUGGACUUGCGAAUGCCCCUUUUCCCUUUUCCUUUCUAUAUAUAUCUUCGCAUAUGUGAGGCUUGUCUAUUAAUAGUAAAUUAAGUUAUUUGAUUAGAAGGGUAUUUCAAAACUCAAUUUUAAAAAUUAAUUUUUUAUACCUUAUUUUGAUAAAAAUGAUUUUAUUUUUUUCUUGUAAAAAUAACUUUUUAUUAAAAGCCUAAAGGUAUUUAUGUUCAAAAUGGGUUAUUUAUAAAAAGAAAGUGGGAUGAUUAAAUUCUUAAAUUUGAAGAUUAUUUUAUCAUUUUUAAAUAAUUAAUUCGAAUAAAUUUGUAUAUAUAUAUAUAAUAAAAAUUUGAUUUAUUUAAAUAUUUAUAAGAGUAGACUUCGGUUUAUUUUAUAAUUCAUUUUAAUUAAAACAUUAUCAAAUUUUUAUUGAUUUAUUUUAAAUAUUUAUAAUUAGUAAAUUUUGUUAAUUUAUAAUUAAAUUUAACUAAAAUGUUAUUAUUCAAAUAAUAAUAAUAUUUUCAUAUUUUAUAAUAUUCACUAGAAUAAUGCCAUUUUGUUACAAUAAUAAUUAUUGCUAUUUUAUAAAAUCAAAGAAAAUUGUAAUUACAAAACUAUUUGUUAUAUUUUCUUGAUUUUAUUUUAAUAUUAAUAUAAUUUUGGAAUAAAAAUUACUUAUUUAAAAAGGUUUUAAAAUAUCUUGUUGAAUCGUUCCACCUAUUUAUCAAAGUAGGAUGGAUAUACAGCAAUUCAUUUCUUUAUUUAAAUAUGAAAUAUGUCCAUAUAAAUAUAAAUAUUUUUUUCAAAAUUCAAAUAUCUAUUCGUUGGAUUUAAAUGUAAGAAAUGCUAUUAUGAAAAGGGCAAAAUGGGAAGGGACAGAAAUAUAGGUCGGCGCGUGGCUUGGUGCAAAGUGUAGGGCUGAGAUAGAAGCGCCGGUUUAAAGCGGGAUCUAAUCCAACGGUUGAGAGAAAUAGCGUCCAUCAAAGGCUAUAAUGAAAACACGCGGCGCCUACUUAUAUAUAUACGGCUAAAACUCCUACUACCACCGCAUUCAAAACUCAAACCUUCUUUCCAAAGCGCUCCUUGGCGGCUUCCAUACGAGAAACUCACGCUCACCCUCCAGAUGGUUUCCCCUCUCUCUCUCUCUCUCUCUGCCUGUUUGGCUGCUUUGAAAGAACAAGGAUUCGGGAUUUUCUUUUCCAUCUUCUCCCGUUUCUCAGCAACCAAACACCUUUUUUAGUCUAGACGUGUUUUUCUGAUCCGUUUUCUUUCUUCUACAGGCGCUUCCAAAUCAGCAAACUGUGGAUUACCCUAGCUUCAAGCUCGUGAUUGUCGGUGAUGGCGGAACAGGUGCACCAUUCGUUUUUUUCCUCUCUCUCUCUAUAAAAUAAAUAAAUAAACCUCGCUUCUUUUCUGCACUGGUUUCUGUUAUUUAGAUCUGAUUUUUAAAGUCCAAAACCCUAACUUUCUUUGAUUACUGUAAAAACUGCGGAAAAGAAAAGGAGAGGGGAUUUUACUUUUCUUUUCUUUUCCUAUGUUUUUUCAGCAACCAAACGGACGGUUCAAAAUGUCUACAUUUCCUGUAAAUUUUGGAAAAUUUAUUUUAAUUGUAAUGGUUGUUUGGAUUUAUGUGCAGGAAAGACUACAUUUGUGAAACGGCAUCUCACUGGAGAGUUUGAGAAGAAAUAUGAGCGUGAGAACUCUUAUGUUAAUAGAUUUAGUUUCUACAGCAAUGCAAUUUUUAUGGAUGAAUUAAGAUGUUGAUGUUUGUUGUGAAAUUGCGAAUUACAGCAACCAUUGGUGUGGAAGUUCACCCAUUGGACUUCUUCACAAACUGUGGAAAGAUCAGGUUCUAUUGCUGGGAUACAGCUGGGCAGGAAAAAUUCGGUGGGCUCAGAGAUGGAUACUAGUAUGUGUUAUCUUACUUGAGCAAUGAUGAAAUAGAUCAUUAACUCAUUAUUCUUUUGAUAUCUAGUGUUUUACUUUUAUUGUAUUUCCCUAAUCCAGUGGUUUCAAGGGUUAUCGCAUCUUUCAAUGUUGAUACUGCUCUCUCUCAUAUGUUUCACAUUGUGGCUCAUUAUUUGUACGUCUGUUAAAAUUUUGUAAUAUUUUUAAAUGGCGAAAUUUUAAUGUUUUCUCUCCUUCCAGUGUUUGAAAAGCAUAUCCUUGAAAUCAUGGUUGAAAAUCUGGAGUUGCUGUUGUUCUUGCAACAUAAUAGUUAACUUGUUUGGAUGCCUUUGCUCAUGUCCCUUCGGUCAUGUCAUGUAAACUCUUUCAUUAAAGUUCCUAUUGGAGAGUUCUUUUUUUUUUUUGUCAUAUGCGGCAGUGUGUUCUUACAAUCUCAUUAAUGGACAGCCUCCUCGAUCAGUACAAGCACAAAGAAUUUCUUUUUGCUGGUUUUGUUUUUGACUGAAACAAACAAAAGCCUUUCAAUAGUUUGAAGUCAGAGAAGGCGCCUUUCAAUUUCUCAAUGUUUGAUAGGCAAUACCAUAAUAGAAUGUUACUUUUUCUUCCUUGAUUCUAUACUUCUAUCAUGCUCUGAGAAUACAUUAAACUGAAAUUAAACAACAGUAUCUCUGUCAUGUCUCUGAUUGUGAUGGAAGAUCCUGAUGUUGAUGUAGAGAUUUAAAAUUGAUUUUUGAUGUGUAGUUCUAUGAUUCCAUUAUGAGAUCAAAGGUUCCAAUAAUUUGUCUUACAUAAAAGGUUGGGACUUUCAAGGAUGAUAUGCAACCAUAUCCCUACAUUUGAUUGUAAUAGAAGAUCCUGAUGUUGGCAUAGAGAUUUAUAACUUAUUUGUGGUCUAUAUUUCUAUGAUUGCAAUGUGAGACUCAAAGGUUCAUUCCAUUUUGUUGUGUUAUAUGUUGGACAUGAUUUUAGUUUGUUAUGUCCUCAGUUUUAUUUGUUGAUCACUGGAGGUGCCAUGUGACACCUAACAGAAAUGUAUUCAAAUUCUGAAAAGGAAACAAGUGAACUCUAUAUAGGGAAUCCUACUGCAAGGGAAUAUUUUUCUUUACGGCUUUCUAAGAUAUGUUUGUUAAAAAGUUGAAUUCCUUUCAAGUUAAAAAUCUUUUGUUCAUCAAAACUCAACUGGGAGAAUUUUCCGAUGUUCUAUUGAAAUUGUUAUUUUUUUUCUUUACGUACCUGUUACCUGUGAGUUCAUGAUCGCUUCUGCAUGGUGCUUGAUGUUACAAAGUUUAUAUGUCAAUACAUACAUGUUCCAAGCCUUCUAUGUCUUUGUAUGUUCCCCACUUAUCAGGAGUUGGUCUCAUGUUUAUUGCAUGUGCUUUUUUGCCUUUAAAAUCUUAUCAUGCUUCUAAGUGGUAAUAUUUGAUUUUCUGUUUGUGCAGUAUUCAUGGACAGUGUGCCAUCAUCAUGUUUGAUGUCACUGCUCGUCUGACAUACAAAAAUGUUCCAACAUGGCAUCGGGAUCUCUGCAGGUGCACAAAUGGAGCCAUUCUUUUCUUUUUCCUCCUCCUCCUUCUCCUCAUCAAAACUGCCAUCACUUGCCUUCUAUUUUCUCCUAUAUUCUGUGGUGGUAGUGUUCUUACUGGCAAUUAUUUCUGCUGUAUUUAGGGUGUGCGAGAAUAUUCCAAUUGUUUUAUGUGGAAACAAGGUGGAUGUGAAAAAUAGGCAGGUCAAAGCAAAGCAGGUUACUUUCCACAGGAAAAAGAAUCUCCAGUACUAUGAAAUUUCUGCAAAGAGCAAUUAUAACUUUGAGAAGCCCUUCUUGUACCUUGCUCGAAAACUUGCAGGGUAAUUUUUUUGAAACCUUUUCUAAUUAUUGCUUUCAUACCAGUUUGGGCUUAGUGCCUUGAUGCUUUUGUUUUCCCUUUUGGCUAAGACCAUACUUGGUUUAUUGCUGCCUGCAGAGAUGUCAAUCUCCACUUUGUUGAGUCACCUGCUCUUGCUCCUCCUGAAGUUCAAAUUGAUAUGGCUGCACAAGCUCAGUAAGUGAUUCAUACCAUUUUUCUUUUAUGAAACAGUCCUUGUGAACCUUCUUACCUGCUAGAUCCACUGAGAGAAAAAACUUCUAAAUGUAAAUUUUUGCUGUCAGUAUGUGGGUGAUAAUCAUGCCUUGAAAUUACUUGAGGAAAACACAAUAACAUAUUAGUAGCUUGGUGGUUUGUUGAUGACCGCAUAAAUCCAAUUCAAGAAAUUAUGUUGUAGCUUAAGAUUAUCUGGGGAAUUUCUAACUAUUGGAAGCAAUAAUCCAUCUUUAAACACAUUGGCCAUUUGGGUUAGAGUUUUGAUUUUGAUAUUGUACCCUACCAAGACUACCAGCAUCACUGCCAUAGAUUAUGAAAAAAUUUCCAGCUAAUAUGCAAUAUUUAGCAAUUUUUUUAUGGAGUUACGUGGAAAUUUCUUGCUAAGACUAACUAUUUUGGUGAUUUUGUUUCAGCCAUGAAGCAGAGUUGGCAGCAGCCGCAGCACAACCACUUCCUGAUGAUGAUGAUGACACGUUUGAGUAGUGGGGAUUUGGCCGCCCAAGCUUGUGUUUGCUUGUCUCGCCAAACAAAAAUGAGAGAAACUGUUGCGAUGUUUGCUAUUAUUGCCCAUCAACAUGUUUUGGUUGAGAAUUUGUUCCUGCAAUGUGCCUCAGUUUUCCAGUUGAAAUCGAAGGGUGGGGGGUUGUACUAUGAUGAGAUUCAAUGUCCAGCUUCUUCAUUUAGAUAUCUAGAAUCUUGUUUUUCAUUUCAUGCAUGUUGAAUGUCAGGGCGGAGGUGUACUGUCUUGCUUGCUCCUCUAGUUCUGAAGUUAGAAAGGAGUUUUCUUACUUUUCCUUUCAUCAUUUGGUGUUAUUGUCCAAUAUCCCUUUCAUCAUUUUUAGCAUUAUCAUCAUCUCCAUCGUUGGUUCUUUUUACUCUUAAACCAUCAUAACCAAAAUCCUAAAAUUAUAAUUUUAAAAAAUCACAAACAAAAUUGAAGCAAUAUAACAUUAAGAAGCUUUCAAUUGAAUUGUAUAUAAACCAAAAUGAAAAUUAGGUAUCUAUAGAAAAAAUUCUGAUCAAACAAACCCUUGAAUGAUCAUAAAGCCAUUAUAAUUCAAUUCUACCUGUUGGAUCAAAGUUUGGUUGAAAUCUUAUGGUUAUAUCUUCAUCUAACAGUAGGAAGCACUUCCCUACAUAUGGAUUGAAUUUAAAACACAUGGAAAAAUUUUCAACCAUUGGAUCAAGUUAUUGAAGAUGAUAGAAAUAAUUGUAUAUCCCAAAAAAAUCGCCAAACUACCAGCCCAUCUUUUGUUGACUUGUGUGAGAAAUUUUCUAACAUUUUGGUCCAAGAUAAUUGAUGAAAAUAUCAACAAUCAUAGAUAUAUCCAUACUUUAAUUUUACGGAUAUAUUAGAGAUAUAUCAAUAGAUAUUUUAAAAAAAGAAAUUCGAUAAACCAUGAUCAAAACUCAUAUAAAUAUAAGAAAAAUAUUAUAACAAUGUAAUUAGAAAUAUAAUAGACAUUUUAAAAUUGUUUUAUUGAAAAAUUUGAUAUAUGUAUGAUAUAAUUUAUUAUAUUUGAUAAUAAUAUCAUAUGAAUUAAUAAAAAAAAUAUGAAUUUUGUAAAUGUGCAUUUAUUAUUAAAUUACAUCAAAUAUUAUUUCAUAAUAAUAUUAUGAUAUUAAUUAUAAUAUGUCUAAUUUUAAAAUUUAUUUAAUAUUAAAACAAUGAUUCAUUUAAUUCAAUUGUAUUAAAUGAAAUAAAAUAAAUGAUAAUAUAUGUAUAUUUUUUUAAAAAAAAUAUUUAUAUUCCUUAUAUUUAAUUAAUAUAUAAAUAAUAUUAAAAAAAAAAAGCUCAAGAAAAUUAUCACCAUAAUUUUUAUAUUUUUAGUGUUCAAUUAAAUUAAAUUAAAUUUAAAAAUAAAAUAAUUAAAACUAAUUUGUUUAUUAUAACAUUUUGUUUUUAUCAGUGUUGGUAUAUAUUAAUUCUAGUGCACAUCAUGUUAUGAGUAGCCAGGCAGCCCAAUGGUGAGUGGGGGUCUCUAAAGGCUUGUUUGGGCAGCUGCAAUUCAAAAUUUGAAUUCUCUUCAUUUGAAUUUUGACCGGGCAGCCCCUAAAGAAUCUUUAGAUCAACGCAGGGAAGCUCAAAGCCGUCGGAUCAGCGGACCAAGGAAGUAGGGAUAGAGCGCCGUUUUCACAAAAAAAAAAAUAAUAAUAAUAAAAUUGCCCAUAAAUCGCCAAAUUUUCACAAGAAAUUUUGACGAAAUUUCAUCCAUUUUUUCCGAAAUUUUGAUCUAUGACGGUAACCAUGGAGGAAAAUAUCGGGAUAUAUCGGCGAUAUAUCGCCGAUAUAUCGUGUAUCGGGAGGAGUCGACACGAUAUUUCAUGGAGAAAAAUCGAAGAGAAGAUAUUUCCGUAAAUAUCGUCAAAAUAUCGGCGAUAUAUCGCCGAUAUAUCGGUUCGGGGAGAUAUAUCGAAGAUUUUUUCAAAAAAUCUCCUCUGGUGGCAAAAAAUCGGUGAUAUAUCGGUGAUAUAUCGGAGAUAUAUCGGUGAUAUAUCACUGAUUUUUUGGUGAUAUUUCCCCUCCUUCAUGCAACAUGAUCUGACGGCUCAGAUCACGCCUGUAUUGAUCCGACGGUCUAGAUGUGAUUCCAAUGGUAAUAUGGCGAUCCAACGGCCCGAUUGCUCCCAGUUUUUUAUCCAACGGCUAAAAUUGAUUUUCAACAGUAAAUUAAUGUUCCAACGGCUAUUUUGGCCCAAAUUUCUUCUAUAAAUAACCCAAAUUUCAUCUAUUUCAUCCAUUUUUGCUUUCAUUCUUCAUUUGCUCUCUCAUUACUCCAAUUUUUAUUAAGGUUGCUCAAUUAUUUAAUUAUUUUAAGGUAUAUUUGUUUUAAAUUAUAAUUAAUUUUAUUUGCAAUUGUAAUUAAUUCAUGUAUUUUCAAUUAAUUAGUAUGUUUGCAAUAUGGAUGAUUUAAUGCUAUUUUUACAUUCAAUUGUAAUUAAUUUUUAUAUUUUUAUUGAAUUAACUUAGGUUGAUUUGAUUAUUUAAUUAUAAAUUGAUAUGUUUAUUUUAGAUGAUUAUUUGUGAUUUAUUUUCACAUUUAGAAUUAAAUUAAACUAGUUAACUUAGCUAAAUUAUUUAAUUAAUUUAAUUAACAUGAAAUAGUAUAUUUUGAAUAUGAAAUAUGUUUAUUUAAUGAAUUUAAUGUGUACAAAUUAUUGAUAUUUAAUUAAAUGAAAUAUUUUAUGUGACUUUAUAAUGAGAACAAUUACAAAAUUAACAUUUCUUAUAGAUCGACAUGAUGUAAUUACAUCUAAUAUCGCAAAUUAUAUCAUAUAUAUAUCAAAUUUUUCAAUAAAACAACUUUAAAAUGUCAAUUAUACUUCUAAUUAUAUUAUUAUGAGGUUUUUCUUGCAUUUCCAUGAGUUUUUAACAAUUUUAAGUCUACCGAUAUUUUUUUCCAGAAUAUCCGCCGAUAUAUCUCCGAUAUAUCCGAUAUAUCCGUAAAAUCGAAGUACCGAUAUAUCCGUGAUUACCGAUAUUUUCUUCCAUGACGGUAACAACCAUGGGUUUGUUAUAUCCUCCUUUAUGUGAUUAUUUUAAAUUUUUUUGUCAAAUUCAAAUCUUAUUAAAAAAUUACGUUUAUUUUUUUUUUACUAAAGGCAAUUUUAAUAACCAUGGUUACAAGGCAAAAUUACAUAAUGCCCAAUCAUGAGGUAAUUCAAAUCUGAUAAAAAAAAUUAUGUUUAUUUUUUCAUUUUUAAAUUAUCUUUAUCUUAUUAAAUUACUUUUAAAUUUGAUUUAAAUAAUUUAUUAAAAGUAUUUCAUAAUAAACACACUGACGAUGUUUCCUUUACGUAUUUUACAAAUUACAAACUGCAAAUCUUUAAGCUUUAUAAAAAUUAACAAAGCAUUUCUUAGAUUUUCGUUUUCGUUGCUCUAAGCUUCAGUUUUUCAUAUAUAUAUAUAUAUAUAUAUAUAUAUAUAUAUAUAUAUAUAUAUAUAUAUAUAUAUAUAUAUAUAUUAAUUUAUAAAAUAAUAAUACGAAAAAAUUAAAUUGAAAAAAAAAAAAAACAGAGGAUAGUUUUGUCACUAACCCACAUGCAGGACAUUUUUUUAUUAAGAAACCUUGAAAUGGGCGUCACAACUCUUCCCAAUUGCCGUCCCAUGUAAGUGCGUCAGAGAUGGAAAAUACAGCCGGACAAUAUGAAGCUCGCAAUUUCCACAAAUAGUAAAUGAUAACAGAGUCAAAUGCAGUCUACCCACCAAUGCCUUCCAAAACCCAGGGAAAAAAAAGAAACUAGAAAAGAUAAAAUCCAGACUAAACAACAUGUAACAGAUCAAAAACAGUUAAAGAGGGCUGAAUAUACCACCGGUCUCACAAGACUUAAGGCAUCGAGGGAUCUCCUCUUCAUGGUCAUUCCUCAAUAAUAGGAUAGAGGUGCAGCAACUCAUCUAUUACCAAGUCUUCAAUGAACCAAUAAUAGCCUCAAGGUUUUCUUCUUAUGGCAAAUUUUCCAGAAAAGUAUCAUCAGAAUCACAAAUACAAAAACCUUGUGCUUAAUCAUCUGACCAAUUGUCAUUGACUGAUCCAAUGGAAUUGCCUUUCAGGUUUUUCAUGAUCACUACAAUUUGAAAGUAUCACCUCUGCCCCAACCUUGUAAAUACGUGUCUCAAGGUCCUCUUUCACCCUGUUCAACCACUAAAAAUGGUUACCUAUAGAGCAGUAACAACAGUAAAUAAAAGAAACAAAUUAUGAAAGAAAAAAAUGAAAGAGUGAGCCAUUUAUAAAUUGUCUUACAAAAAUCAAAAUAGACCAUAAGAACUAUUCAGGGUUCUUAGCAGACAGAACUUUACCAAUUAACUAGGAAGGAGGUCAAGCUUUUUGAGAAUCAAAAAACAUAUGAUCCUGUUGAAUCUGAAUAAUUCAGAUCCUAGCAAAACAAAAAAAUAAAAAAACAAACAAAAAGGAGAAAAGAAAAGAAAAGAGGAAGCAUUAAAAUGUGAUCACAUUUCAAGUAGGUGAAACUACUAAAUAAAAAUUGUAACCAUUUUCUGUCACAUAUAUAUAUUUGAUAACGCGCACCUCAACUAAUCCCAUGGAGCCCUGAAGCUAACGACCAGACAAUCCUCCAGUGGCCCUGAGGGGACUCGAACUCGUGACCAUUGGGGAGCAAACCCAAGACCGGACCAACUGAGCUAUCCCUCAGGGUUCAUUUUCUGUCAUAUAUCACACAAGGUUGGUUUAACCGCAAGCAGGAGAAAAUAUCUAGUGGUAGUAUACAUUUUAUCCAUUACACUCAGAGGCAUCAAUCCAUCUCUACAAAACAAAUUUUAGAUGCAACAAAUAAAAUGAAUUGAAAUCCUAUAAAUAAUAUAAUAAUAAAAGGGAAAAGAACAUAACAAAAAGGAAAAGAAUACAAAUCACCAUAGUGGAAAGAAUACAAAUAACCAAAGGGAAGAUGAACCAUAAUCAACCUACUGCAGCAACUACCCCACAGCCAAUUCCUUCCGACCCAAUAAAUAAAUAAAUAUUGUAUAGUAAGUUGCAUGUAAGAAAAGAUACAAAUGUGAGGCCUGAUAUUGUGAUAUAUAACAAAAUGGUAAAAAGCAUGAAGAUCCUGUGUAAUAUGAUUGUUUGGAGAAAACACUAAUAAUUCCACAAAAACUGGUUGAAAUUAUGUAAAUUCUACAUCAUAGAGACAAGAAAAUUGCACACAAUCUAGGCAACCUUGGUAUUGUUUUUUAACAUGAUUAACAAGCCUGUAGUGACAUUCUUUCAGACACCAGCCAAUAGGUACUAUGACUUAGAUUAACCACUCAGCAGUUUGCUUCACUUCCCCCAAAAAAUUAUGAAGUAAAGAAAUAUCCCUCAACCAAAACUUAGGCACUGAGCAGCUUCUUCCCUAGAUGACUACAAGGAACUUACUUAGCCCCCACAAAACCAGCUAUCCCAGGCAAUGUUUUUCCCCUCUUUUGUAAAUUUCCUCAUUCAAGGAUAAAGUGAGUUCCUGAAUCAAUUUUAAAAUUGUAUGGUCAUCCCCUCAUAACACAUCCCAGGGAAUUCAAUAGUUCUUGGGUAAAUAUCACAGAUAUUGUACUUUUCUUGAUUAGGUUGUGAAAUUUCUAAAUUAAUCUACACAUUUUGAAUGAUUAUAUACUCCAAUGGCAUGCAUAGCUAUUUUUUUAAUAGGUAACAUUUUCUUUUUCCUAUGGAAUCAAACCUGGAACCUUCCCAUAUCCCUAUUGCAACCACUUGCUACUUGAGAAUAAGUUGCAUAGCUAUUCUCACCCUGGGUUUCAAUCUUGAAUUUCCCAAUGUGUUCCAUCUGUCAGAACAAAAACAAACAUCCUCCCUCCCUCAUCUAAUCAUCACAAACACCCACAAAUUAAAGGGUGUUUUACUGAGUGUAUUAACACUGAGUUCUGACAAGCAAAGAAAACAUUAAAUGUUAUAAUAGUAUGGGCCAAGACACAAAUAAACAGAAAACAGGGACAAUGCAAGAAAUACUGAAAAUUGUUUAGAACUCCCCAAAGCAAUUGUGAAUAUGGAUUUUAACAAGUUAGGACGACAGUACAGGAUUUUUUUUCCUUUUCUAUUCUUCUCACUAACAUAUACAGUUGGUAUAAGGAUUCUCAUAGCAUAUCUUUCAUAUGAUCAUGACUUACAUCUCAUAACAGAAAAAAUAAAUAAAUAAAGGUAAAAAAACAUGCUUAAUAUAAUCUUCACCAUUUACAUUUUUAUUUUCUAUGCUAUUUCUGUAUAACUACAUGAAUUCCAAAACUGCAUAUCUGACUUGGUGAGUCAGAGAUUCUUAAAUUUCAAGAACAACAAACUUUGAACCAAUAUGCAAAAGGACUUCACAUAAGUGAACUUGCAAUUAAUUUAAGCAUCCUAGUUGGGGGCAUUUAAAGAAAUGAGGUUGCUAUUCAGUUUACCUCACAUUCUGGUUGUGGGGUGGGGUGGAUGGGCCUCCACCGUUUUAUCUUCAAUAGCAGUUAAGUUCCUCUCGUAAGGACGGAGUUGUGGGUGACAGCUUAAAAGUAAUCAAGUUGAAAGAAAUUGAAGAGAUGGAAGAAGAUUUUUAUCUUAAAUGUAGGGGAAACUGAUUCUCAACCAAGAUACAAUUUAUUGUUCAUGACCUUUUUCAUGUUUGAUUUGCAUUUUACACCUUUCCUUGUCUCAAUGGCUGCAAGAUAUAAAGGCUUUUGAGGAAUCUUAUAUUGGAUGGCCCAAUUUAUUGUUCCAAUAUCUUCUGGCUGAUCCUAGGUCCAUGUCUACUUAUGGAGAAAAGUAGGGUUUGGCAUUUGAGAUUUGUUGAUUGUGAAAUAAGCACCUAAGGAACUCUUUUUUAAAUUUUAAUAUUUGAUAGUAAGGAAUAUUGAUGGGAUUUUUGUAUGAUACAAAAGUCUCACUCCUGUUCUUUAUUUCUUAAGCUUGGUCCCGCUUUCUUAAGCUCACUUGCUCACCAUCCUCUGUCCUCAAGUCCAACCCAACCCAACCCCGUGCAGCAACCAACACCACCCCCCCAAACCCCAAAGACCCCAACACUGACCCACCCAUUGGCCCACCCCUUCCCUCUCAAAAACCUAUCCUUCACUCUCUCCCCCUUCCCCUUUUAGUUAUAUAUAAGUUCGUUCAAAUGCAGGAAAAUACGAAUUUAGAUUAUUUUACCAAACUUGUUCUUCGAUAGGCAAUUUUUUUUUUCCUUUUUGGUACCUGUUGGGACUUUAACCUAGAACCUCCCACAACCUCGCCUCCACCCUUUACCGCUUGAGUUAGGCCUCAAAGACUAGACUAUUUUAAUAAACUUAUUAUGAUUUUGUCUCUCUUCAUUUUCAUAGUUUCAAGAAUAAAUUGGUUUGAGAAGGACAUGGACUUUGAUCUGCUGAUGAAUAGGAUGGUGCAUUGCAUAGCACAACAUGAAGUGCAAAAGGUGCAGCAACCCCUAUACAAGAAUAUAGGAUAUACCAGAAAGGAAAGAGCGAAAAAAAGAAAAAGAAAAAGAAAAAUCAAUGCAUGAAUGAAAUAAAGUAAAGAAGUAACCCCUAACAAUGACUUACACUCAAACCCUUCCCAUGUCUUCAAAAAAAUCCAAACACCAUAAAGAUUUUGUUCCCAUACUUACAUCAUAUAGCUGUAGACAACAACUAAAAGAUAGUAGAAUAUCUGAGUUGGUCAGAAGAAAAGAUACAACAGAUCAAAAAUCCAUAUUAGUAGAGUUGGGAUAGGAUAAGCAAAAUUCUUUAAUAGACUUUUACAUGUAUAUAGCUCAAACCCAUUUAUAUCAGGAAAAAUUUCCAUCGCAGAAAUUCUAUGUUAAAUCCAUUGUUGCAUCUUUAACUGAAGGUGGGGAUGGGUCAUUCCUGAAGAAGGAUGCAUGUGCUCUCUGGCUACAAUUAUGGGGGACUCUUUGCAAUCUGUAAAUCAACCACUUCGUAAGAAAGAGAGUUUUUUUGGAGGAUGUCUCCUUUCCAUUUGCAGGUAGAAGAAGCAUAAUAGAAGAUUCUUUUUUAGCUUGGAGCUUAUACACCACAUAAGUGCGAGGAAAUCUUUAGAAAUUUUAUUUUGCGAGGAUUUACAGUCAACCAACCUUAAAAGAUUUUUCUUCUUUUCAAUUACGGGAAGAUAUGAGGAUAUGCUGAUUUCUUUCCUCUCUUUUUUCUAGGUUUAUAUACCUUGUAAUUACAUAGGUAUAUAUCAGAGGGUAAUAAAUCCUAUUAAACAACAUUCCAAAGAACAAUUGCAAGAAUAUAAGUAUUUUUGUAAAUAAUAUGGUCUAAAGUCGUGAAAUAUUAAUGUAUUCAAAUCACAAAUUGAAGUAAACAAUAAAAAGUAAUACGCCAGAGAUAUUGUAAAGAACAAUUCAGAUUAUUUUGGAACAUUGAACUGAAUAAAAUUUAGUACUGGCACAACUUGGAAUCAUGAACUCCCUAUACCAUUGCAUUUCCUAAUUUUGAAAUCAAACCACAUUACAAGGUGUAUUAUCCAAAGUAGUGAAAAAGCAUAUAACUGCAAACAAUAAUAUUAUGAUGCAAUAUGCAAAAAGGAAAAACACAGAUCAGCAUGCAAGAGAAGCAAUGAUGUGCAGUAUUUAAAUGAAAGUUUAACAAGGACACCUUCCACAUCAGGAAAUUCAUGCCAGCUUUGUCAAAGUUUUGUUUUUACUUUCUCUGACAUAAGACGCAUCAACGGUUCACAGCAAGCCUGAAAACCGCGCAUCAUCUUUAGACCUUUGGAAGCAAGGCAUGCAUGCCUCCAACUUUGGCCCUGGAAAAUGCAGGGGAUUCAUCAAUAACAUCCUCAAAACGGAACUUCCUAUGCUGUCAAAACGUAUGGAUGAAAUCAAGUUAUUAUAAAUUAGUUCUGGAAGAUUUUUAUAUCAAAACUGAAGAGUACUGAAUAGCUGCCUACUACUUUAACUACUCAUACAUAAAUCAACCCAUACACUAACUAAUAAAAGGAAAUAAAAGUAAUGGGGAAAAGGAAACAAAAUUGCCAUUUGCUAGAAGAUGUAAUAACAUUGUCAACAUCCAUGCCUCAGAUUCCAUAUGUACACCCACAAUACAAUAAAAAUGCUUCAAUGUUCAGAAAAAAAAAUCAGUCACCCUGUCUUACACAAAAAAAAAAAUGGAUGAUGGACAUAUAUCAGAUCACUUUCAAAGAUAAAGACUUUCAAACAAUGCAGAAGUCAAUAAGAGUUCUCUCACACCAAAUGGAAAGGCUAUUAUCUUCACAUAAAUUACAUAUAUUGCCUUGAAAGAUACAAUUUGGAUCACAAAGGCUGUAUCUUUUCUCAGUUCUCACUGCAAAUAUAUCUGUUGCAUUUGCUUAGCAUUCACAACUAUUAAAAAUAUAUUCCAGAUCUUUACUAGGAAAUACUUAAGGAUUAUGAGCUCAGAAAGAAAAACUAAUUGAGAAGAGUAAUAACACCAGGCCUGAAAAUAUUCAUUUCUUUAUAAGAUCUCUGGUACAUAAUUUCCAAGUUACAGUAAUUCAUCGUCAAGACAACUGCACAUUGACCAAAGAAGACAAAGCUAAAAAAUUUAACAAUUUAUCCUGCUUCUUACAUUGUCGGAGGGGCUUUAAAGCCAAGUAAAAAAAGAACCUAUUAUAAAAAGAAGGAAAAAAAGAAAACCAAACUACUAGUUAAUUACAAAAAUUUAUUCCAGCAGAUAUUAAGUUCUUUAGCUCCAUCAAAUGUUCAUCAUUUGAAAUAUGAAGUGAACAGCGAAGAUUUGUCAACAUUGUUGAUUGUUCCCAACUUAAAGGCCCAGAAGCAUGCAAUGCCGCUAGAGUGCGGCGAUAAGCAUGCAACUCUAAACUAUGGAUACUUGCUGCUAAUUCCUUUUCAAGAGAAAUGGGGCACUUUUCCUCCUCAUCUCUCACAUCUCCCUCAUAUCUCUCAUCUUCCUCAUCUCCCUCAUCUCUCUCAUCUCUCUCAUCUUCCUCAUCUUCCUCAUCUCCCUCAUCUCCCCAAUGGUAAAAUGAUUCAGCAUCACUACAAAGGUCAUCUGUAUCUUGUCUAGGAUGUGCUAAAAUACAACUGGAAAACUUAUUAGGACCAUUAUUAUUAAUGCUACAACUACCAACAGAGCAUGACAUGCUAUCAGAAUCAUUAGAUUCUGAACUUCUUGCAAGAAAACAAUCAACACCAUUUGGUUUUCCCCUCUCCAUUUCGCAAUAUUUAGUUGAACGGUCAUUAAAGGAAGCAUGCAUGUAUUUUUCACCCAGAUUCAAUCGUGGGUAAGCAACAGCAUCUACCUUUGCUCGUAAUGGAGAUGAAUACCCGGUGAUCACUCGUUGGCGUCCACCAUUUUCGAUUGCUCUCAUCUUCUGAAUGUUUCCAGAGUAUGCUUCAAGACCAGAGGAGCAAUAUGGGGAUGCUCUCUUCAAUGUCUUGGAUGAGACCAUAGGAGAAUCCUGGAAAUCAGCAUGCUUCUGAAAAAAAUCAUCUCCUGCUUGCAAUUUUAGCUUCAUAUCAGCUUGUGGCACCUGGAAACUCAUCUUCUGAUGACAAUUUGAAGUUAACAGCUUGUUGACUCUCACAUCUUCAAAAGUGAUAGAGCCCUGAGGGCAGAAGCCAAAAGUUAGUAAGUUAAUGUAGAAGUGAAGAUAACCAAUAAGAAUCACCAACAAUUUUAGUAUUGAAGAGAAAAAGACUAAGAUCAGUAGUGGACUUGCAAUUUUAAAAAGCCCCAAUAUCCUAACAUAACUACUUGAUAAACAUAAUUUAAAAAAGGAAAAAAAAAAAAAAGGAAUACAUGAACUUGACUGAAGAUGCAAUUCUCAAAUGCCGAAACCAUGAGCAUAACCAAAACCAUUAUUGAACAACUAUUUUAAGAAGUUUGCAUUCGGACCAAUAACAAGAAACAAAACACAAGAUCAAUCACCAAAGGAGGAUAGAAAAUUACUACAAUAGAACCAGAUUAUUACCUGUCCAAUCACAACCCAUUUGUCAUCUAUCCAAGCUUGUCGCACUCUGAUGUUAGACUUGUGGACUUCAAAUUCGUGGCAAGAUCCAAGUAGCCUAACCAAAUAGUAAACCGCACAUGUAACCUUCAAAACCAUAGCACAUUUCCAAGAACCAUCAUUGAACACCUCCACAACAUCACCAGUCACCCAACUUUCCAUACCUUUCACAGGGAGAGGGCAAGGUCUAAUAGCCUUCCUAGACACCCUAUCCACAUUCGCCUUAUUUGUCAUGCCCAGAUAAGAGUCAUACCUAACACUGUAGUUGUGCCCAUUACCGGAGAUAAUUUCAGCACAGUGCCAGGCACCUGAAGGCACUUCCUUUUUGUUCAAUACCUCCACUUUACUCCCUUUCCUGAAUUUCAUGUUGGCAGCAACUUCACUAAUCUAACAUUCCAAAACCUGUCACAACCAAGAAAUUAAAUAAAAAUUUAAUCAGAAAAUUCCAAUGCAUUCCAUAAGAACAAAACAACUACAGAAAGGGUUAUAUUAAUUCCAAUGCUUUGUAGAACUUCCCUAUUUCUAUCUUUUUUCUCUUCAAACCUGAAAUCCGUUUUUUUCCUUCUUAGGAGCUGUUUUCCAUUGAAACAAACAGAUCAGGAAGAAGAGAAGAGAAUGAGAACAACUUUUAAAUAGAUCUUUAAAAACAGUAGUUAAUGAUUCAAAACUUACAUAAAAAAUCCCAUAAUCAAAUCAUAUAAAAACAAAAUCAAGGAAAAUAAAAAUUAAAAGUUUGAUUCUCAAUAUGAAUUUCUUGUACACCCAUCACUCACGGGAAACUCCAAAAUGCCCAAAAAGUAUAAAGAGAAAAUAAAAAAAAAAUAGUGAACAGUUCAAAAAAUUAGUCCCAAUUUUUUUUUUUAAAAAAAAACAUCAGAAACUUUCGAGAAAACCACAAGCAAACUUUGAUCACCAAAAUCCUUAUAAGAAUUAAUCAAAUCAAAUCAAAGUAAAGCAAACCAAAAUCACUAAAUACAUGACAACAAAAACUCAAAAUCCGAAAAAAAAAUAAAUUAACACAUACACAACCUAAAUUUCUCAUCAGCAUGCAAACACCACGAAACUAUUCACUCAUUUCCAAUUAAAUAAACAGUAAUUGAAAAAAAAAAUAAACAAAUAAUAUUGAAAAUUUGAAAACUCUGAAACUUACCUUCAUCAAGAACCAAGCAGAGCAGAAGAUGAUUUUCGAAACCUGAGAGCUGAAUCGAUUUUGCAGAAAAAAAUAUAUGAAAACUAGGGUUUGUUAAAAUGAAUUUAUUUGAAGAAAAUAAAAAAAUAAAUACAAAGUUAAUUUAUACUAAUUUUGCAACCCACAAAAAGUGGAGGUGCGCAGUGCGCACAACCUACACCUAAUUCGUAAAGCAGGAAAGGUAUAAGCGUAGAGGAUCGAGAUCCCGAGUUCAGAAGCACUCUCCUGAUCUUGCCACGUUGGCAAUGAUGGGUUUUUGAUGAGGUGUCAAGAUCAGAGGAGGGAUGAGAAAUAUUCGGGUGUGGAAUGGAGGUACUACGGUUGUCGGAGCAGGAAUUCGUAUUCUUAAAUAUUUGUGAUGAUAAGUAUUUGAUGACACGUGUACAGUCAAAUAGAUUAUUGGGAAUUUUGGGAUUUAUCUCUUAGGUAAUUUUUAAUCCUAGACUCCUACUACAACUGCACCUCUCCAUUUUAGAAUUUUUUAUUUCUUUCAAACUUAUCUGUUACGUGCCUUCUCCAUCAGUUUUAUUGGAAAUCAAUUAACUAAAUAUAAAUACUCUUACCUGAAUUUGUAUUGAUUUUCCAAAUAAACUAACCAAACACCAUUCCAUAUUCCAUAUGUGUGGAUUGAUCUUUAUUGAUAUUAUUUGUACUCUUUUAAUUUAAAGAAAAACUAAAAAUAAUUUUAAUCCCAACCAUAUACUAAUACCCUUCUUAUACAAUUUUCAAACCGCCCUAAUUUUGACCAUCUUUGAAAAUUUGGAAUAGAGAAUGAGAAUGAAAAAUCAAUAUCGUCUAACAGGAUUUUGAUUCCACUCUUCUACAUGGUAUAAUAAUUCAUCCUUACUCUCAUUUUGUUUCCAUUCCUAUUCUCGGGUAACAAACGGACUUCAAUUGUAUUGAAAAAGGGGUCAAAAGUAUUGAUUAUAAGAACCCAAUAAAUAUUUGAAAUUUUACAUGUUUUGGGGUUUCAUUGAUUAAGAAUUAAAAUACAGAAUUAAAAGAGAAAAUUGAAGUUUGGUCUUAUUCAAGGGGCGGAAAGGCAAGAGUGGAUGAAUGUACAAGCUGGACAUUGAAGUUUUGUUGUACCAACCUCUCGUGUCAUUGUUGCCUAAUCUCAAGUGGUAUAAUAUUUUAGAAUUCUUGGAAUGAUAGAGCCAUCAAGCCAUCAAAUAAAAGAAAGGAAUGGGGGUAGUGUAUGAGUUGCUUCAAUUGACCCAGGAUGAGGACCAAAAAACAAUGUCAAGAUUCCUCCCCACAGGCAUCGAUAUGAUGCCCUUCAUUGCCUUUUUCUUAAUGAGAAGCAACAGAGAUUCCAAACCUUGUGUAAUGUGAGACAGAUCCAAAACCCAACGAUGUUUGCAAUGUAAACCAGGGCAGGCAGCCAGUUAUUGUGGGGUUGGAGCCUGAGGCCAGCAGCCUCACCAUUGCCCACUAGGCAAACCUGCAACCUUACCACAGAUGGCUAACAGAUUUAUCAUUUAUAUGCAGUUGCUGUAAACAAUGCAUGGUCCCUGAAUUUUCUUCCUUAGAAUGACGGUUAAUACAAGCCUUCCAGGAAGAUUGGGGUGCUCAACAACAGCAUCCCACCGUGAUUAACAAUAGUAUCAACCCAUGAGAACAUGUAGAAAGUUUCUCUUCGAUUAAAUAAACUUAUAAAAAGAAUACCAUAUUUCCAGCCUUAAUCUUACAAUUGCCGGUUUGACUCAAAACCAUGACAGCCUAUAGCCAGUUUCAGAAAUUCUGCGUUGGGCAUCAUUUUAUACAUAUAAUACCCACAUAGAAAGAACACGAUAGUGGGUUAUCUAGCUGGGUCCAUGUUUUCUCCUUAAAGGCCAAAUAUCCCAAGAGUAGGCAGCACAAAAUCUGAAUAAACAAGGCCAACAGAUCCCUCCCAAGACAGAUACGAGAGAAGCGUGCUUCAUACCAUCCAAGGUGUUACACAUUGGAAGGUUAGCAAUUCUGGAUCGUUAAUAGCGGGGCAGAGUCUAGAAACCUGAGAAAAGUAAACACAUAGCUUAUCUAGAGAUCAAAACGUGCAUGCUGGCCUGAGCAUUCAAAAGAAACAACAAACUUGGGGAUGAAUUAGAAAGGUGAAUAAGGUUGGCUUUGAAUUUGCAACCAUGGACUUGCCUCUAUUUCAUAUUGAAGUUCAGAUGGCAUAAAUGUCCAGAAAAGUACAAAAUACCAAUGUUUCAGAUCCAUGCCAUUCAUCACGUAUAAAUGCUGCAAAUUGUUAGAAAGGACAGAAAAAUAAAAACAGACAGCAAAGGAGGAAACCCAUCUAAGAAGAUAAGAUACAUCUUAGGGGAAAUAAGAAAAACUCUAAGAAGGCAUAGGGGAGCCUAAAGGUGCAGCAAAACCCUUUUAGCCAAAGAAGAUCCAAAUUGCUACCCUAAAUUCAAUAUACAAAUGCAUCAAAAGGCAAAGAAAUAUCCACAAUUUCUCUCAUAGAUUAAGUGCUAAGAAAUAGCCAAUCUAGAAUUAACCAUCUGAUCACAUUACUCAGGUCCCACAAUAAUGUGAAUCUUACCCGUUUUCUCUAGUUUCCCAAGCCCCCAUAAGAGUGCCAAAAUGCGAUGAACUGUUGGCACUAGUCCUACAUUUUGUCUCUGUAGACCAGGCGAAUGCAGGCUCCAAUACCCAACCAAAGGGCCACUGCUGUAUCAAUCAAAAAGACGGUCUUCAUUACUGGACAACAAAAUUGAUUAUAAAAUUUAUUAACACUCUCCAAAAAAAAGGAAGGUACUGUUAAAACAAUAACUCAAACCACUUCAGCUUCACCAACCAAUCUCAAGAGAAAGAUACAUGAAUACUGCCAGUAACAGUAUGCUCUGGGUUAUCAGUGGAGAACACAUUAAAGUUUAAUUUCAAAUGGCUACAGGGAAAGAUACAUGUAUUUUAGAUACUCAAUUUGUUCUUGUUACAAUAGAGACUAGAAUUUCAAUCUCUAACAUGAUACUUUGACUUUUAGUAAACACCUAUAUCCCUAAAAUUAUAUAUGAAUGGAAUAUAAUUGAGUAGCCAAACUAUCAAGCUUGAAACAGCUUGACCAUUCCAGCUAUAAGCCACAAGUGAAAUAGAAUCACUAGUUCACUGAUAAACCAGUAGGCUAUAAAUUUUGCUUACAAACUCAGAUCUUGCUUACCAACCAUGAUACAAUACUGCACAUUUCUGCAAUUAUCAUUCCUGUUAUCAAUAAUUAACAGGUUGUCUCCACAUGAAAUCCUUCACAUGCCAAAGUGGUUAAAAACAACACAACCACACAAACAUGUGGCUAGUAAUAGUGGCCUGCUUACAAUUACUUAUCUCAAACCUGCAGUUUUUCAGUUUAUACAGCAAGAAAUCAGGUCUUUACACUAGGAAAAUUUAAAAAAUUGAUCAAUUUAUGCAACAAUAAAUGCCAGGAGUAUCUUAGCAUUUGCUCUAUUAAAAAAGGAAAAAUCAUAUAUUGGCACAAGCAAAUGUCAGCCAAUUUGAUAACUUAUACAAAAAAAAGUGUAUGGACUUAUGGUUCAUACCUCGAGAGAAUGCAGAAGGUGUAAUCAAUGUUAAAGGAGUGCCCAGCAUUCUAGAGUUGUUUAGAUCCAUUGAUCCAGGGAAAGAUGAGGACAGUCAACCUAGUAGAUAAGAAGGGGGGAAAAAAGGAGCAACUGGUAAGUAAUGCACAAGCCCAUCAGAGUGAUCCCUAUAUAUAAAAAACACACUAUAGGAUAGUGUAAUGGACCUUAUCUUCUUGGACGGAUAAGCUUACAAGGAUAAGCGUCACAGCUAACAACAUAUUUCUUCCUUGAUGACUUAAACAAAGGCAAGAAGCAAUUUACAAAGAAUGACCAAUUGAGUGCUGAUUUAACCAUGUGAAGGCCUAGAAAGGGAUCGAUCUCCUUUGAACUUUCCAUUUAUGAGAAUAUCAUAGGUUACAUCAUCAGGUACAAGGCCUCUGUCAAGCAUCUCAUCAUGCAAUGUAAAAGCCUCUUUCAAAUUCCCUUCCCUGAAAUAACCAGCUAUCAGUGUGUUAUAAAUAAGAACACUAGGAGUCAUAUUUUUCCUAUCCAUCUCUUCCAAGAUCUUCCGUGCAUUCUCUAGCUGUCCUUUAUUGCAAAGUCCAUUUACCAGAACAUGAAAUGUGAUAAUAUCAGGCACAAUACCCUUGGAAAGCAUCUCCAUGUAAAGAUCUGAUGCAAAGACAAGUCUACCUUCUUUCAGCAAUCCAUCAAUCAAAGUUGUGUAUGUUCCUAAAUCACAAGGAAUCCUGUCAUUGAUCAUCUUCUUAUACCAAACAAGUGCUGCUUCCAUGUUAUUCAGAUCUCUGAAGCCACUAAUCAUGCUGUUGUAAACAAUUCUAUUUGGGGAUAAGCCAACUUCAAGGAGUUCAAAGAAAAGAUCUUGUGCACUUUCCAUAUCCCUUCUUUUGCAAAAACCAUCAAUAAGAGCACUAUAUGCUGUAACAUCCAAUUCAAGACCCUUUUCUCUCAUUUCAUCCCGCGUUUUCAAAGCGAGAUCAAUCCUAUUACUUUUGCAGAACCCAUUAAUCAAGCUAGUGUAAGUAACAACAUUUGGGGAAACUCCAAAUUCACACAUCUCUCUAUAAACAGCCAAUGCAGAAUCGAUGUUACCCUCCUUGAUAAAUCCAUCUACAAUGCUGUUGUAAGUCAUACAGCUUGGAAUGAAACCCUCCUCCAAAAAAUUCUUCAGCUUAUCCCUUGCCUCUGACAUUUGGCCAACUUUGCACAAACCAUUGAUAAUUGUAUUAAAUGUAAAGUCAGUAGGGGCAAUAUUUAAGCUCAGCAUUUGGUCAAACAAGUCUAAGGCUUUUUCACUAUCACCUUUUUUGAAAUUCCCAUCUAUCAAAAUAGAAUAAGUGACCACAUUUGGUUUCAAAUCCCUUGCGAGCAUGUCUGAGAAUACACUGGAUGCCAUAUCCAUAUUCCCUUUCCUGCAGUGGCCAAGUAUCAUGUCAUUGUAAGAAACUACAUUGGGUACCAUUCCUUGAUUUACCAUAUUAUCCAAUAAACUGCAAGCUUCAUCCAUCUUGCCUCCUUUGCAUAGCCACGACAUCAUGAUAUUAUACGUAAAAAUAUUGGCAACACCACAAUCAACCGCUUCAUCAAACAGCUUGGAUGCUUCUUCCCACAAUGGAGCUUUCAAGUAACCCCGUAAUAGGGAAUUCACAUUAAACACACUAGGCGGGAUACCAUUGAGUUUCAUUUGAGUGUACAGUUCAGAAGCCUUUUCAAUGUUCCCACUGUUACAGCAACCUUCAAUCAAGACUGAAUAUGUAACUUUGUUCGGAAAAAGUCCAUCUUCAGUUAUCUUAUUAAACAAAUUCAAAGCACUAUCCAAAUUGCCUUGAGCACAAUACCCCUUCAUUAAACUCGUUGCAACCACCAAAUUCAUCGGCUUCCCACAAUUUAUCAUCUCCUCCUUUAGCCUUAAAGCCUCCACCAUAUUUCCCUGUGCCACACAAGCAACAAUAACACUAGUGAAAGUGGCCUCUGAAGGAACCCACCCCCUCUCUUUCAUCUCCUCCAACAACUCAAGACCCAAAUUCGAAUUUGGUUUCUUGCAAACAGCCUGAAUAAUAAUACUAUAUGCCCCUGCAUCAAGUUUAACACCCCUUUCCUUUGUUUCCCUAAAAUACUCCUCCGCCUCCUCCACCCUCCCUUCUUUCAGACAAGCUCGAACCAUGACAUGUACUGUAAAGUGAUCACCAUAUAUUCCUCUCAAAACCAUUUUAUUAUACAAAUCUCGCAAUUCCCCAAUCAUAUUUCUCCUAACCAGAGCAGUCAAAAGAAUAUUCAUAUACGGAACCCAAGGAAUCACAUCCUGACAGAUCAUCGCAUUGAAACAAUCGAUUGCAUUUUCAAUUCGAUUGGCCCUAAUGUAAGCAUUUAGCAAAUAAUUAAAAACCCGAUGAUCUAAUUCAAAAUCGAACCUUUUUGCGCAGUUGAUUAGAUGAUCAACAAAAACAACUGGACUGGGAUCCGAAUCACCCGAGACAUAUCGAUUAAGCAAUUUCCGAGCAUGUCCAUGAGUCUCAGGCGACCGCAUCAAAAUGUGGAGCAAAACACAGUAGGCAUCUACCCCUCUGAUAAAACCACGCUGCGUUUCGGCCCGUUUAAAGUAUCUCAGAGCUGAUUGUGGGUCAUUGACGUGGCACAGAAGAGCAUCUAUUACAUGGUUUUGUGAGAGAGGCGUGGUUUCUUGGUGAAUUUGCGAAGUGGGUACGGUGUCUUGGGAGUAUCUUGGAUAUGGGGAAGAUGAGUUUCCUGGAAAACUGGACUCUGGACUGAUUUUCUCGGGAAAAUUGGCUUUCGGAUUGGGAUCCUCGGGAAAAUGUGUAAGUGAUUCUGAGGUGGAUUUCUCAAGAAUCUCUGGUUCUGAUAUGGCUGGUGGGAUAGAAACAGAGCAGACACAUUUCGGGUUUGUGAAAGGCCAUCGUAAAAUUGGAGAGAAUGUGGACAAAGAAAUUGCAGAUCUCAUGCUUGGUUUCUGCAGAAACGAAGGGCUCUACAAAACCUCGAAGCUGUUAAACUUAAACCCUACCGGUCCUCGAUUGUGAUUUGGGCCUGGUUUGCUAUGGGCUGGGCUUGUUUGCAUCGGGUCGGAGAUUUUAAACCCAAGCCCAAUUUAGUCGGGCUCUGACUGAAUCUCAUGUUUCUAUGAUUGAAUAAGUAAUAAUUUGCCUAUGGCUAUAUUAUCAAACCUUCUAAAAAGACAGCACCAAUCAGAUGAUGCCAUAUAUCUAUUUGUUUAUAUCCCAACUUUGAUCAUAUUUAUUUAUACCCUUAUCUAAAGGUUUAAAUAUUAUCAUAUACAUUUUAUCACUUCAUAGAUGCCACCAUGGUACCUAACAUUGUCCUAAUAAUUUUUAUAAAAAAAUUAUAUACUUUCUAUUGGUUACGAUAUCAUUGAUUAUGUCUGAAAAACAAAUUUUAUGAUACAAUUCAUUGAUAAUGAAAAAUUAAAGUAUAAAUAUAAUAUAAAACUUGCAAUGUUAUGUAUAAGAAAAGAUAAUUUUUCAAAACUAUUUUUAAAACAAUUACCAAACAUACCCUAAAUUUUCCCAAUCCGUGAUUCAUAUGUCCCAAUCCUUAGUUCUAUUCUUGACUCAUGAACCCCUUAGCAUGAUCUCUUCAAUCAACUAUCAAAUGCUCAUGAAAAAAUACCAAAUCAAACAUAAUGAUAAUCAUAAGAAUUUGAUUGAUUAAUGACUACUAUCAGUUCAUAUUUAAUAUUGUGACCGAAAUACAAAUAGAAUGUCCUCUAACAAGAUUGUGUGGUGUUGAAUGCGAUGAUACAAUUUGCUUCACAGCCUCAAGUGAAUAUACUGUCCAUACCCCAAUUAUAUUCACAACAGGAAAUUUGAUAAAUUUUGCUUUGCAUUGAGCUUUAUAGGAAUCCAGAUGGAUGGGUCAUGCCUUUGCUAUAAGAAAUUGAAAAUGUGCAUUGUAGAGUGGGACUGACUACAAUCCUGAAGGUUGAGUGAAUAGAUAUGUAAGUAAUGGAGCAACCACUGCUACGCUUAAACUGUUCCCCAGCAAUGCGUAUCUGCAUACAAAAGCAACUCAAUUAUAUACAAAAUUUAUUCAUCACAAAUAUUUAUGAUUUACCAAACUUUGCUGUAAUCGACUAAUCCCACGGGGCCCUGAAGUUAAGGACUGGAUAAGCCUCCAGUGGCCCUAAGGGGACUCGAACUGGUGACUAUUGAGGAGCAAACCCAAAGCCAGACCAACUGAGCUACCCCUUAGGGUUAAACUUUGUUGUACUCUUACCAUGAGGCCAAUAGAUUUUUUUAUCCAGAUUGAAAAUGAAUUAAAGUGAGAAAAAGAUGCAACUGGGAACUAUGCAAACAGGUCAGAGAUUAAAAGAAACAGAUAACAACAUAUGAUGUGGUAAUUACUUAUUUCCACUAUAAAACACCCAACCCAUGAAAACAUAUAAAUUGCUCCAUGCUAAUAGGACUUUUUCAGAAGGAGCUGAAUGUUCAGUUUCAUCAAAGCAAGUGUUAUAUCUUUUAUAGAAACAGCAAUAUAUCUCAUUAUAUGUUGCACUUGAUGAGGCAUGCAAACAUAAUGGUGAAACAUGAUACUAUUAAGGAUUGGACUGUUAAAGAAGAAACUUCUAGGGAGCUCUCCUGAGGAGAGGCAACUGCUAAGAUGAUGAAAAUGUACAAAAUUUUAUGGUUUCGUCCUAUAAAGCGAAGCUAUAAUACUCGGUCUCUCCAAUUUUCUGGGUUUUAUCUACUAAAGGGAAGCUAUGAUACUCGGAUUCUCCAACUUCAGCCAGCGUAUUCAUAUCAACACAACACCUUAUGGGUGUGAGUAUAUAUAGCAUCAUUGUUUAAUACUCAUAUUUUGUUUUGGAUAUGGUUCUUUGAUUCUAAUUGAUUUCCUUUUACUACUACCACAUUCCUUAUCAGAUAGUUACAUUGAAGAAAGAGAGAGUUGCUGGAACAUGACCUUUUAGAGUAAUAUUAAAAUAUAAUAAAGAAAAGAAAAGAAAAGAAAUAGAUAAAAGAGAAGGAACAAAGCUUUUAUUCUUUGUUAUGAUCUAUCCUAGUGUCCAUAUUCAUUAUUGGGAACCUUUUUAGCUAAGUCUUAUUAUUAUAUCCUAAAAUUUUUACAUCUAAAAUAUCAUCCACCAAGAAACAUAACCUACCCACACCAGAACUCAAACCCAUGCAACAUUUAAGUCAAGGGUCAAGCCACUUGAUUGUAGGACUGGGAAACAGUUCUAUGGGAUUCCAAAAGUUGGUUUCCAUGUGAAAUACAUGCUUUAGAUCACUAAUCCUAUCAACAAUGUAAACAUUAUCUUAAGAUCAUAAAAAUUAUAUUUCAUUCCACAAUUUAACUGGAAAGUGAAAAAUAAACACAAAACUUAGAAUAUGUUAGGAAAAGAAAUGUCAAUUUAUCUAACAACUAAACGCAACAUGAGACUAGCAAGAGCUUAGGGUAAAUUAUAGUUUCUUAACCAGAUCUCCCAUCUGUUUUAUUAGUAAAUUGGUAAAAAUUUGUCAAAGUUCAUUGUUCCUACUUUCAUCCAAUCCUCACACAAAAUCAUAAUAACAAAAACAGAGGGAUAAAUGUAACAUACCGCUGUCUAAGGUUUACAUGCUGUGGAAAGUGAAAAUCCUCUGGGAAAGAAUGCAGAUUAGCAACCUAAAAGUUAUCAAAAUCAUAAAUUAGUUGAUAAGAGACAAAGACAAAAGAAGAAAGAGAUAUGAGCAAAAUUUACACACCUCUCUAGGGGUAAAAUAUCUAAGACACUGCUCCUCCAACAAGGAUGCUUUAUCCUUCUUUGACUGCAAGUCGCCCAUUUUAUAGAAGUCAUGAAAAAUGAAAAUGGUCAUAGCAAUAAUUUCUAUAGUGUGAACUAACCUUGAAUGCAAACUAAAUUUAACUCAGAUAUUGGGAGUGUUGCAGAGAACUACCAUGGGUUGCACAGAACACUGGGGGCCGAAUUAAUUGCGGGAUGUGAACUAAACAAUCAAAUAUUUUGAAACUAAAUCUGGAUAUUGAUCCAGUGAAAUGCCUGGUUGAAUUAGACCAGGGUUUUUGGUCGCAUCCAUCCAACAUAAAUAAAUAACUAUUGGGAACCAUUGGAUGCUAAAAAAAUUCUGCAAUCUUUCAACCGUUCCUAAAUUUUACAUCAUGUAUAAAAAUAAGAUCAUCACAUCUAAGGGCUAAUAAGUAUUUGAGCUCACCAAACAAAUGAACUGCCAUGGCAAACAAGCCCAUAAGUCCAUUUGAUCAAGUAUGAUGAACUCAAAACAUUGCGAUGAGCCAGGUUGCUGAAACCUUCAUGUAAUGGCCAAAGCAACCAGACCAGCUAAACAGACAAAAUUUUAUAACAGUAGUCCAAACUAACGGUUGCAAGAGUGCCUGAUAUAAUAUGAGAAACAAUCAAGACUAAGUUUUUAAAAUAAGAAUAUCUAUCACGAAUCAGCUCUAUGCUGUUUAAGAGACUGUCUUUACAGGACUCACUCAGAUAUUCAAGAAACAGUGAACAUAAUUGAAAUUCAUACCUGGCCAGUUGCCAAAAGAGAGCCAGUACCCUUCACAUACCGAUAAUAACUUUUUGUAAAACAGCAGCAACGCUUUGAGUCAGGAUAGACAAUAUCUAUGAUCUUUUUAAGGAUUCAUUAAAAGAGAGAGAGGGGUUUAUUCAAUAAAAAGUACAACAUGACUAAUUACAAAUGGUACAGGUAAUCAACGGGAAUAAGCAAGGAUACCCAUAGCACUUCCCCACCUCUCUAUCAAGCUCAAUGGAACAGAAAACUGGUCCCAAGAAUUACUGUCAGAUCUGUCUCUUUCAUUGUUCUCCAACUCUCCAGAAGCAUCUGUAGAAACACUAAGGGUGUCCAAGUAGCUGGACUCUGUUUCUAAUGGGUUGAUAGUAUUCUUGAAUUCAAGAAAUCUCUCCACUGGCUCACAUGAUUGGAGCAACUUAUCCCAGAUCUUCUCUGAUUGAUCAUGUUCAUCAAUCAGUGAGUCAUCCUCAUGACCAAAUAAUGGGCUUGGAGUUGAAAGUAGUUGGUUAUUGAAGAGUUGGUUUUCAAAUGAUAAAGGUUUCCUUUUUGCCUGUAGCAAUAAGUAGAUUACAUUUAUCAAUUAAAAAUCUGGACAAGUGUGUGUAUAGGACUUCUUAAAAUCAUGAUAAUUUUCCACCCUUGUAUCCAACAAAUGACCAUAAAUUGGUUAGGCUUUUAGUUUGAAUUGCAUGAACUUCCACAAACCACCUUGAAUGAGACCUGAUUUUUUAUAACAACCCUAAUUUUUAAAGGGAAAUAUUUAUCCAAUUCAUAACCCAUCCUAAGUUCCAUCACCUUGUUUAUUCUUAUAUGGAAAAGAUAAGAAUAAUGACAAUAAUAAUAGUUAUAAGUGAGACAGCAUUUACCAGGCAAAAGUAUCGUGGCCUGGAAUAUGGCACGCCAAAUUGUAUUGGGCUCAAAAUAAAUUCCUGGGUAACAAAACCAGUUUUUGAUAAUAUCUCAAUCAUUUUCUCAUGUGUAUCAGAUGUCUGCAACAAAAAAGACAGUACAAAAGAUAAGCAAAGAAUACUUGAUUGAAAAUAAAAAAUUUAUAUGCCAAGUUCACAGACCUCGAAUCCAACAACAUUCUCAACAAAAAGCAUAAGUGGAGGAUGUAAGGUGUGCUGUAUAAGUUCAAGAAUCUUGAGAAAAGAAAAUGCCCGGGCAUCGCCAGAGUGCUUUUGGAGACCUAAUCACAAAAUAUUUUGAGAAAACAUCAAUCCAAAGAUAAUUCAAAAAACAAGAAAAGGAAAGCAACAAUAGUUCACCUUGUCGGGUGUAUGGCUGGCAAGGAGGAGAAAGAAGCCAUGCAUGAGCUCUAUAUCUAUCAAGAUCAGCAGCAGUAAGGCUCUGGAUGUUACCCUAGGACCCAAAAAAAAAAGUCCAUUUUAAGCAUCUUAUAAGCCAAAUGUCAAAUUUUUGAAAUGGGUACCUCUGAUUUUCUUAUUUUUGAGCAGCUCAAAAGCCAAAUACCAAAAAUUUGAAAAAUGGGCAAUUAGGAUUUUCCAUUUUCAUGAACAGCCCAAAAGCAAAAAAUAAAUUAUAAAUAAAUAAAUAAAUAAAUAAUAAUAAUAAUAAUAAGCUGCCUACUUUCGGGUGGAAAGCAGUAUUCCUCCAUUUAAUUGCUACUGAGAAACAUAAGGAAAAAGAAGGAAAAAAAGGUUUAUAUUUAUGUUGGUUUGAUUCUAAGCACAAUUAAAAUUUAAACCAAAGAGUAGGAAGUAGAGUGAGGUGAAUGCCAAAUUCUGAAAAAUCUAAAGAAAAAGGGUUUUUCUGCAUAUUGCGAAUAGGAGUUGAAGUGGAAAGAGAAGAAAACCUGGCAAGGGCGGUGACCGAAAUUGUGUUGAUAAACAUCGUUGGCAAUGUUGUUGAUGUCGAAUGCUUCGACAAUUUUCGCAUUCACACCUCCCCUCUUUAAAGAGUAUCUCUAUCGAAACAUACACGCAGAGAUACACUGAAAUUAUAACGAACACAUAUAUGCAUCUACACAUAUGGAGAGAGAGAGAGAGAGAGAGAGAGAACCAUUCCGCCGAUGCCACUGUAGAAUUCGAGGACUCGCCAUGGAUCCUCACCUUGGGGAUUGCACAAACCCUUCUCCAUUGAUGGGUGCUUCCCCUGUGAGAGAGAGCGGCGCCAACUCAGUGCCUUCACGAAAGUUGCAUAUCAUACGACGUCAAUUGUCGUCUCUAGGGAUGAACUUGGGAAAAUCAAAGCAAGAUAUGGUUUUAUACUACAAUCAAAUUAAAUUAUGUAAUUUACUUUUUAUUAAUAAAAAUUAUUAUAGAUGUAAAGAAUUAUUAAAAUAGUUCUCAAGACCAUUUCUUUUUCAUGUAAGUUUUUAAGAGUUUUUACAUUUUAUAUUAUUUUUAUAAUUUUAAAAAUAAAAAAUAAAAAAUAUAUUCAAACGGACACUUGAUUAUUUGCACCUUCAUGCAAUAUUUCCAAUUUUUACCAGCAAUUAGGCUAAGAAAAAUAUUGGUUAAUGUGAAAUUGUUGUUUAAUUUGACAUGCAUUUUGUUCAUUUCUUGUAAGUUGUAUUUAAUUUAGGGAUUUUUGUCUCGAACUUAAUAAAGAGCUGCACUUUAGUACUCUAGCAUCAUUUAUUAACAGACUUACUUUUUUUACACUUCGAUUCAAAUUUGGUAGAAAAAACUUUAAAUUAACGUUGUUGAAGUGAAUUUUCUAAAAAAGAUGUUCGCAUAAUUAUUCAUAAUUUUUUCCUUCCACUAGAAAAUGUGGCAACUUAAUUUAAACUAUUGACAUAUUUCUUUACAUUCUAAAUAUAUUGUAUUAUUCUUUAGUAAGACGAUAUGUUAUGUUAUAUUUAAUUUGUGAAAGGAUAAAAUAAAAAAUAAUAUAGAAUGUAUAUUUUUUUAAUAUUUAAAAUAAAAUUUAUAUUAUAUUCCAAUAUUUUUUAUUUAAAAAAUAAAAAAUUUCUUAUAUUUAAUUAUAUUCAUGAUUAAAAAAUAUUUAAGUUUUAUAAAUAAAUUUUUUUAUAUUAUGUUAUUCAAUAUAUAAAAAUAAUUUAUAUAUCAUACAUUAAUAUUAUUUUAUAAAUACUUUUUUAACCAUAAAUUUAAUUUAUAAUGAAAAUUUUUAUUUUAUAAAAUGAUUACAUAAAAAAAUUGAUAAAAAAAAAAUUAUGAUACAUGAAAUGAAAUAUGCAUAUUUCAUAUAUACAAAGGAUAAAAAAAAGAUGUAUUUCAUCAUUCAUUAAAUAUGGGAUAUUAUAUAGUAUUUCAUCUUUUAUCCUAUCACAUUUUUCCCUUGAUGGCAAAUCAUCCUUUGUAGUUAAGGCACUUUUGAGUUGUGCUUUAAGAAUUUUAAUAUACGAUUACAUCAUAUGGCAAGUUAACAGGAUAUCUUUGUCCAUCCAUAUGUCAUGGACUUUUAGUCCAAUUAUGCAUUUUUAUUGCCUUUGUACCCUAUUAUAUGCUUUUGAAAUCCCUAAAGCACAAAUAUCCCACUAUCGGGGAAUGGCUCCCUUUCCUCUAAUUCUUAAUGAAUGAAAUAAUUAAGCAUGCCAUAGAAUUUACCCUAAUAAGAUCCCAUUGAUUGUAACAGGGGACAAAGAUAUUCCUUAACUUAAGGUUUUUAGACUUUUUGUCUUAUAAUUUAAAAGAAAUUUGAUGUAUUCUAAUAUUGAUUCCUUUGGGUAGGUUUAUAGGUUACAAGGGGAUAUAGAAUGUGGUUAAUACGAUUAAUCAUGUUUCCAAAACUUGGGUUUAGAUUACGGAGACAUGAGGGAAAAAAAAAAGAGGAAAAAGUGGAGAUAGGGUUAAGUAGGUUCGGAAGAAGGAAAGAAGGAACAUAGCUGAGAUUUUACCAAGAGUCUAACUGAAUCACAAUGUUUUGUUCGAUUGUUCUAGUCCCGCAUCCCAUUCAUUUGUAUUUUGAUUUCAUUUUUUUAUACUUUGAUCUCAUUUGUUUGUACCUGAUUCCAUAUAUUUGUGUUAUCUAUCCGAAUGAGAUUGCAAACUAAUCAAUAUCCUCAAAUUUUCUUGUAGCAAUGAGAUAGGUCAAACACUUAGGAAGAAUUAAUUUCAGUUUAAUUAAUAAAAAGGGAAACAAGAAAAAUAAAAUAAUUGUUCUUUUGUGAUUGUACACCUUUCUUUAAUGUCUUUCCAAAUAAUACAUCAACGAGUCCACUGAGGCUUAUGCCUCAAGCCUCCAGGCAUGACAAGCGUACUUGAGCCGUGCCUUUGCCAAACCUUGACCCGUAAGUCUAAUGCAUUUUUUCCUUGCGCCUCAUCGCAUUUUCGAGGCGCUUUGCCAUGAAGCACGCCUCAACAUGCACCUGAAAACAUAUCAUAGAAUGAGAAAAGGAAAAAAAAUAAAUUAAAAUAUGAUAAUUAUUUAGAUGGAAAGGAAAAUAUUCCACUGCAAAAAACUUAAUUAUAUAUACAAAAGAGAAUAUACAUACAUAUACAUGAUGGGUAUCAAAAGGGCACUAGUGGUAGGUUUGGCUCGAUGGAAAAAACAUGGAAACAAAGGAAAACAGAAGUUGAAACGAAGACAAAAACAGAGGGAGAAACUAGAGAGAGAUGAGCAAAGGGAAAAAUGAAAGAAGUACUUUAACACUACGUCCACCGUGAAAUAGAGAGGAGGCAACCUCGACAAGAGAGAAAACAUAGAGACACAUUGCCGAUGAGAGUUGUCAAGAUUAGGGUUUUUUUCUCUUUUCUUGUCCUAUUUGUAUUUGAUAUUUGUUUUGAUUUUUGUUUUUUUUGAUACAUCAAUGACUCCAUUGAGGCUUACGCCUUAACCCUCAAGGCAUGAAAAGAGCACUUGAGGCAUGCCUUAGUCACGCCUUAACCUUUAAGGCAUAUGCCUUCUAGGGUUGAUCUUUUCUUCCUUGCACAUCACCUCAUUUUUGCAGGGAGACCCUUCAACGUUGUCUUUCCACCACCAUUAAUUGCAAGGAUUGAAUUGCUCUUAUAAAUGGUUUAAGACGUGCAAGCAAGCAAGCAAGCUUGACCAAAACUCCCACUUAUGAACCUGAAUAGAUUGUUUAUGCCAUGAGACUUGCAAUUCUAUUUCAGCUUACCACCAAGAAGUGUGAUUAAAAAUACAAAAUAGCAGAGAAGAGACAAACAUAGAUUAAUUAUCAUAAAGAAACUCCACAACCUUACUUGAAAAACAAAAGGAAUAGACAAAAAUCUUUCACCUUACAGCUAAAUAAAUAAUGUUCAUUAGGUUUCUUCAUCAUCAUUGCAACCUAUGUUUGGAAAUUCACAUUCAACAAAAGAGGUCAUACUCUGGCCUCGGAUAUCGUCUGAUAGUUUCUGCCCUUUUCAAUACCAAAACAACUCUAUUUUUGAAGCAACCAUCAUGGCAAAAAUGUAAACAUUUUCUAGUUAUGUACUAUUUUAUGGCAGAAAUAUACAAAGCUAAACCCAAUUGUGCUUCCAGAGAACAUUCAAUUGGUAAGCACAAGCUUUCCACAUGAAGCAAUAUCCUUGCCAACAGGGGACACAAAAAGGAACUUCAUACAGGCAGCAAAUAUAACCUCCAAGAUUUUCAAAAGAGCAUAUCAAUUUCUUCCGCAUUCUACUGAGAUGUGUCCCAUCAGAGAGUCAACCAUUCACAAUAUUUCAGGUCAAACCCAUGAAACAAACAAUACAUUAUUCCUUAACAAGAAUCCGUGCGGCCAUAUUAAAACCAAAAACCAUGUGUAUCAUGAUGCACUGGGAAAAAUAUUAGAAAAAUAAUAGGGAUAAUAAAUACCUGUAAUUGAAUUUCAUUCACCAAUAAUCCCGGCAAGAACACAAUCCAUCUUUGAAGUGGUGGAAUCUCUUAGCAUCUCGUAUGAUGAGCUCCCUGCCAACAAGCUUUGAAAUGAUCUUCAGGGCAGUGUGACAGUCACCACAAACACGAAGAUUCUUGAUUACCCUAAUAGGUGAACGCGCUGGGCUGCUGAGAAGGCCGUAAGCAACAGCAAGUCUCUCACUAUGAGCAAGAAGAGCUUCCUCCUUGCCUUCUUGGUCUAUGUCAUGCAACACAAAUCUGGUCUCUGGCACAUAACCAGCCUCUUUCAUUUGUGCCUUCAAUCCCCUUAGUUUUGCGUAGAUCUUGUCAUUCUCAGGAUGAGAUGUAUCCCCCGCUCGAUAUUCAUGGACCCUGCUCCUAACCUCUAAAAGAUUUUGACUGGCCAAUUUCUUCUUCUCUUUCUCUUUCUCAAGGUCAGAAGCUUUCACUGGUACAAGGCCUGCUUUUGAUUGCUCAGUUAAGCGGGAGGGCUCCAGAUGCUCAACAAGCUCAGCACAGCGAUCCCCAAUUUCCAUAUUCCCUUGAACUCUACAUAUAUUCAUCAAGGUUUCCCAGACAUCGACACUUGGCUCUAGCGGCAUCUUCUCAACGAACUCUAGUGCUUCAUCCAAGUACCCUGAAUUACCCAGCAUGUCCACCAUACUCGCAUAAUGCUUCAUUGAUGGAACAAUGCCAUAAUCCUUGCUCAUUGAAUUAAAGUGCAACAUCCCCUCAAUGACAUCGCCUAAGACACUGCAGGCCAUGAAGACCCCAAUAAACAUUUGACCAUCGGGUUUCAGUCCUGAUUCCUUGAAUUGAAUGAACAGAUCAAUUGCCUCCUCUCCAAGAUCAUUCUUAGCAAACCAUGUUAUCAUGGUGUCCCAGGAUGUCAAAUUGCGCUCUGGCAUUUUCUUAAACACUGCAUAUGCAUCAUCCAUGGAACCACAUUUUGAAUACAUCUCUAGGAUCCUGUUAUAAGUACUCACUUUGAGAGGGGAUACUGAUUUGAUAAGGCUCUCGUGAACAGCUUUUGCUUCUUGUAGUGCUUUAGCCUCCCCACAUGCCUUCAUUAACCGCAGGUACCUGGGCAAAUCCACAGGAGUGUGCUGCUUCUCCAACAAUCCCAAAACUUCUAUAGCUUCCUUUACUUUUCCAUCCUUGCAGAAAUCAUCCACCUCCUCAAGAGUGCCACUAUAUUGGCUACUCUCUGCAGCUUCUAAAGACUCUCCAUCUGGUUUGUAAUUACUUGAUUUUGGAGAACCCACCAUGCUAUUCUGAAACUCAUUAGAGUUUGUUUGAUAUUGAGCAACAUUUGGGUUCUGCUGAUAUUGAGCAACAUUUGGGUUCUGCUGAUAUUGAGCAACAUUUGGGUUCUGCUGAUAUUGACCAAUAUUUGGGUUCUGCUGAUAUUGACCAACAUUUGGGUUCUGUUGAUAUUGACCAACAUUUUCUCUAUAGUACAUAUUCUCACUUGGCUGAUACUGCUGUAGAUUUUCUCUAUGAUAUCCACUUGGGCUCUGCUGAAAUUGCCUGAUAUUUUCUCCAUAAGUCCUAUUUAGGUCUCCCAGAGUCUCCGAUAUGAUCUGUUGACAAUUCCCAUUCCGAUUCUGAUUCACUUCUGCUCGUCCCUCACUGUAAUAUGAGUUCUGUACAUUUCUGUUUUGUCCAUAAAAGUCAUUCGACUUUUGCAAUGAUUCUCCAUAAUUUUGCCCACAAUACCCAUUAAUAUUUCCACUUUGCCCAACUAGGUUCUGCUGAUAUUCAUUUAUAGUGCUUUCCCUACAAAGCUCGUUCUGAUUUGCCGGCAAGCCUCCAGAACCUUGCCUAUAAUUCCUACUAAAAUUUCCACUCUGGCUAAAUGGGUUCUGCUUAAACUCGUUUCUAGCAUAUUCCCUGUAACCUCUAGGAUUUAAGUCUUGAUGAACUUCGGAAGAGUUCAUGGAGUUUCCUCCAUAAAGCCCAUCUGGAUUUUGCUGCAAAUCCCGGAAAUUUUGUCCAUUAUACCCAUUAAAAUUCACAUUUUGCCCAAUAGGGUUCCUGUGAAAUUCAUUUCUAAGGUUUUCCUCAAAACCCCCAUUAGGGUUUAUGCUUUGUUGAGCCUCCACAGAGUUGCCUCCAUAAAACCCUUGUGGGCUUCCGGAAAAAUACCCACCCGGGCUUUGCCCAUUUGGUUUUUGCUGAAACUCUAUAUGAUUCUGAUUGUCUGCGUCAAACCCAUCAGGGUUUUGGUGAUUCUCUGGAGAAUUUUCUUUUUGAAACCCGUUAGAAAUUUGAAAAUCGGCUCUUUCAGCGGCAGUACUAAGAUUCUUCAAUAAAGUUAGGGUUUUAGAUGAAGCCGAGGAGGAGUUGGGAGAAGGACAUACCUUGGAUAAAGCAGUGAGAGAGUUGAUUGUAAGAAGCGUAGCUCUCUUUGCGGACAUUGUUUACCUGUCGUGGUGAGAUAAUUCGAGAGGAGAGAGGUUCAAGACAAUGGAGAGACAGCGGAGGAGGAAAGAAACCAGAGAAGUUAAACCCGUUGGCUUACAAACCUUAAACCCUCGCAACCAUUGGCCGCCAAUGAACAGUCUUGGGCCUAAAAUUGGCUUUUGAAUUGGGCCCACUGUUAGUUGACAUCAGGUUCCCAUAACUCUUUGCCUUUGACACCUCUUUUCUCAAAAUGCUAGAUGUGAUCCACGUGCAAGCCAUAUGAGCUAUUAGUUAAUAAAUUAAUAUUAUCUAAAUUUUAUUUUAAUUAGUUGGUAAAUUUUAUAGAAAUGUAAUUUUUAAAAAUUAUUAUAAAAACAAUAUAAAUAUUAUUAGUUAAAGAGAUUAUGAAGCUCCACCUAUUCCAUAAUCGAAUGUUUUAAUAACAUAUAUCAUAUAUUAUUAUCAUAUGACCGUAGGUUCAUGGUGAGACCUAAUGUUGACAUCUUUUUGUAUUUUGAAAGGGCUUUAAUGGUAAUAUAAUUGAUUCAAGGGUGAUAAUAUAAUCUGAUCUUUAUCCAAUGAUUAUAAGGGGCUUCUGACAACUAUUUUUAUGAUACAAGAGUAAUAUUUGAUCAAAAAUCAAUUUAGAUGCAAUUUAAUGGCUAUUAGCGGUUCCUAAAAAUUAUACGACCUCCAAUUUAGAACAAAAAUUUCCUAUAAAUACCUCAUUCUCAAUUCAAUUAAAAUCUUUUUUAAUCUUAUAGUGAUCCUUAAAACAUUAAGACAAAACAGGAGAGAGGCUGAAGUACGUAAUUCUAAGCUGCCUUAAUGUCAAAGAUAGGAAGCUAAAAGAGAGAAGUCUAAGGUAGAUCAUCUUAGGCGGACCACCAAGUGCAAUAGUUUAGUAGUUUCAAUGGGAAGCAAACCGAACAAGAGAAAGAAUUUCGAUCUUCGAUGCAUUGCUACCUUUUAUUUUUUAGGAUUAAUUAAUUAAAAGGGACGAAGAGAUCCCAAAUUUGUAAAAUUAAUCUCUCUCAUUUUUUAACUUGAAAAGUAACUCAUUUUUAAUAUAAAUAUUUUAAAUCUUUUCAUUAUUUACACGUGUGUUUUAAAAAAAUGAUUAUUUUUACAAAAAAGAAAAAAAGAUGAAGACAUUUUUAUCAAAAAUUGGUAUUUUUUAGGUUGAAAAACAAGUAAAAUGUUAGUUUUGUAAAGAAGGGAUGAUUUCGGUUUUCCCAGCUUUUUAUCUCUCAACUUUUAUAAUUUUGGGAUUUUGAUUGAAAUUGUAAAUCAAGACUCAACAAUUGCUUAAGAUAUUUUAUUAAAUUACUAACAUUAUAAAUGAUAAUUGCAACUCAAUUUAAAUUAUUUAAUUAAUAUAAUUUGGAUAUUUUUAAAUAAUUUAAAUUAUUGGAUUAAUUUUAAUAUUAGUUUCAAACCUCGAGGUGAAUGAAAUUAACCAAAAAAAAAAACUUUAAUAUGUGUGCUAUUGUUUCUUUUAUUAUUUUUAAAAUUUGUUGCAACAUUUUUAUUAGUUUUAGUCAAUUCUAAUCUAACGGAUAUUUUUUAUCUAAAUCUUUUCUUAAUAUUUCCAUGAAAACUAAUAUUUUUAUCAUUAGUUUUUAAAAUGUAUCAUACAUUCCAUAGAUCACGAAUCAAUUAUAAUUUUUAUAACAUUAAAUAUAGUAAAUUUUAUUAAAUAUCAUAUAUUUAGUUUACACGUAAACAUAUCUAGUGAUGAUACAAUAUAAAGAUGGAAAUAAUAUAUUUGAAAAAAAAAAUUGUUGAAUAAUCAGAUAAAAUAUAACAAAAUUUUAAUUUGAGAAGUGUAAAAAAAUAAUAAAUUUAAAUUAAAAGAAUUAGAAUGUGAAAAUUCUUGUGGUAAUGACUUUUGGAAUUCCUUUUAUAUGAAAAUUGUUUACUGUAAGUCUGUAAAAUAGUAUAAUUUAUUUACAAUAAGGAACACUAAUGUUAAACAUUUCAAAAUUUUGUUUUAUAGGUAACCAUAAAAAUAAAAUAAAAUAAUAAUGUAAUGUUUGUGGGUUGGCCCAACUCAACUCAAAUCGAGUUGGGUUCAAAUGGAGAAUUCACCACACCAAAUCUCAACUAGAAGACUAUCUAAACAUAAAAAUAAAAAUUUAUAUUAUAAUAAUAAUAAUAAUAAUAAUAAUAAUAAUAAUAAUAUAUUUAAAAUCGGGAACAAUUGUAUUAAAGGGGUAGUAGGAUGUAAUGCCUCUAAAAAAAUAUGAAAUAUGAGAGAUAAAAAUAUUUUUAUUAAUAGCUACAUGGCUCUUAUAGAAUUGUUCAAAUGUUUCAAUACACCUAGUUGUCUCCGAUCUUUGUUUGGUCUUUAAAUUUAGACUAUAUUGUCAAUUAUCCAACUGAGACAUCCAUGUGAGUAGAGGAAAAACUUUUUCUUAUUUGUUUCGUUUGGCUUUUGAAAAACAAAACAAUAGAUUUUUCAUAUCAUAAUCCAUGACCUUAGAUUUUUCUCCUAACUGUAUAAUCAUCCACCAUAUGAUAUCUAUUACUGUUAGAUCUCGCCUUAUUUAUCAACUUAAGAGUGUUUUCAUUUCGUCUUAUUUGUCAACUUAGAAGUUUUCUUUUCAACCAUUUUUUAGAAACACUUGUACCAACUUUUCAAUCUCUUCUUUGCUUUGUUUGGUUGUUGAAAAAAAUAAAUGAGAACGAAAUUUGAGUUUUGUGGUUGUUGUUUGCUUUGAUGUUCGAAAUCUUAAAACUUGAGCCAAAUUAUUGUUCUUUACUCAGUUUGAUAAUUUAGAAAACAAGAAGAAGAUUGAGAAUGAAAUUUAAGUUUUGUGGUUGUUGCUUUGGUGUUCAAAGUCUAAAAAUGUAAACUAAAUAAUUAUGUCAAUGUAGAUUUUUACUGAAUGAAUUAUGAUUAAAUAAUAGUUAAGGCUAAUGAACUAAAUAUAUAAGAGGUGUAUAAGACAAUUCAUUUGAAACGUAAAAAUAUAAAAAUUUAUAUUAUUAAUAAUUUUUAAAAACUUUAUUUUUUAAUUUUUUUUUAAAGAAAAGUCUAUUUAGAAACUUAAAAUAUUUUUAAUCUAUUUUAAAUAUGUUUAUAAAAUAUUUUUUAUUUGUAUUUUUUUAUAUUUAUAUAAUUAUUUUUAAAAUAAUUAUAAGAAAAUAAGUAAAAACAAUUAAAAAAUAUGGACUAGUUUAAUAAUUAUUUUUGAAAAUUGUUCUUUAAAUUUUAUAGAACAAAACUUUGUUUAAAAACCUAAAAUGUUUUUAAUAUUUUUAAAUAUAUUUUAAAAAUAAUUUUUAAAAAUAAUGUUUUACUUUUAAUUAUUCGACAUGUUUAUAUAAUUAUUUCUUAAAAUAGUAUUUACAAAACAAAUGAAAAUAAUAAAAAGAUAACUAAAAGAUCUUCUUUAAAAAUUUUCUAUUUUUUAUUUUUAGGAAUAAAAAAUAAAAAAUAGUAUUUAUUAGCCAAAUAUGUUUUCUGUGGUUUUUUUUUUUUUUUUAAAAAUUGUUAUAAAAAACAAUUCCCAAAUAUAAUAUAUUACUCGGAAACACUUUGUUUUUUGUUUUUAAAAUUAAAAACUCAUUUUUCGUUUGAAAUUCCUUUUAUUUUGUUUUGAAUCACAAAGGUUUUAAAAAAUAGUUGGCAAAAAUGGCUUUGGUUUAUGGGUCCAAUCACUAUCUUGUCCUAACAAUCUCCUUUUUGUACCAACUUUAGACAGACCACUUUAUCCCAUUACUUGGGUGCUUUUCAUUUUUGCCCAGGUUUGUUAUCUAGUCUUUGUAUUUGUUGGUUCGUGAUCACAGCAUUGAGCCAUUGAAUUUAAUUUUGCUUUUCUGUGUACUAAAGAUUCUUGGCUAAUUAGCAGACAAAACAUCAACUGCAAAUUCACUGGCCAUAAAAAACAAACAGUUGCCAGACUACCACCAAUAAUCAAAGAUCCUCUGGUUUGCGGCCAUGAUGGCUACCAGCCUCCUACAAUCACUAAAAUGCUCAUCAACUUUCUGGGGUUCUAUAGAAUGUGGCACCGGAUGAUUAGAAGACAGCUUUGUAAACAGAAGGAUGCAAGAGUCGGUAUUGCAGCUGCCAAACUGGCUAUGCCAUGAAGGAUCCUCGGGAUUACCGUCGGGGUGGUUGAGAUGCCCGCCAAAAUACCAAAAAAAUGGAUUAGAAGUGACAGAAGAGAAAUAUAAAGAAUGUUCAUACAGCAAAUUCAAUCCAUACUAUGACAUAUUUGAUACUAUCCUAGUGACAGCUUAUCGUGAGUAUCAAUCCAUGGGCGUACUAUAUAUUCAUAAGCCCAGCAGCUUGAUAUAAAUCUGCUAUUAGACCUGCAAUACACAGCGGUCUUCUUCCUCUUACUUCGUGGGAUUUUGCACUGCUCUCGAUACGAGCAUGGCUGAUACUUCUUUUCCUCCCAACUUACUGCCCGACGAGGCGAGCCCUGAAUGGAUGAACAAAGGCGACAAUGCCUGGCAACUCACUGCCGCCACUCUCGUCGGUCUCCAGACUGUUCCGGGGCUGAUCAUCCUUUAUGGAGGUGCAGUGAAGAAGAAAUGGGCUGUGAAUUCAGCUUUCAUGGCGUUCUACGCCUUCGCCUGUGUCCUUAUCUGCUGGGUGGGGUGGGGAUAUAGAAUGUCGUUUGGGACGAAGCUUGUUCCAUUUUGGGGGAGGGCUAAUGUUGCCUUGGACCAAGUUUAUCUCCUGGACCCGGCCUUUAUUGGGAAGUUCCCACAGGCGACGAUGGUGUUUUUUCAAUUCGUUUUUGCAGCGAUCACUGUGGUUUUGAUUGCGGGAGCCUUGUUGGGGCGGAUGAAUUUUUACGCGUGGAUGUUGUUUGUGCCCUUGUGGCUGACGUUUUCGUACACCUUUGUAGCAUUUAGUAUAUGGUGUCCAUCAGGUUUUCUCGCUAAGGCUGGGAUUAUAGACUACUCUGGUGGAUAUGUGAUCCAUUUGUCUUCUGGGGUUGCUGGCUUCACUGCAGCAUAUUGGGUAUGGAGGAACCCUAAUUAACCAACCAUAUAUCCUUCUGUUUUUCUUUUUACUCUAUCUGAAAUGAUUUGUGUGAUGUCCUAUACUUGCAGGUUGGUCCUCGGCUAACCAAGGACAGAGAAAGGUUCCCUCCUAACAACAUCCUUCUUAUGAUGGCUGGGGCAGGAUUGCUGUGGAUGGGUUGGACAGGGUUCAAUGGUGGGGAUCCUUAUGUAGUGAGUGUCGAUGCUUCGUUGGCCGUUUUGAACACGCAUGUGUGCACUGCCACUAGCCUGCUCACAUGGCUAAUCCUCGACAUUGCGGUCUUUGGAAAAGCUUCUAUAAUUGGUGCAGUGCAAGGCAUGAUCACUGGCUUGGUUUGCAUCACACCUGCAGCUGGUAUUCCACUGACCUAGGCCUUAAUCUUUUGUUGCAAAUAUGUUCCAUGAUAAACUUCAUUUACCUAGACCCGUGACCAUGUUUGGAUGACAUGAAAAUGAAGACAUUUUUGUAAAAACUUACUCUCAAUGUGUAGAUAUUGUCUGUUUUGGGUCCAAUAUGUCUACAUGUUAAGAGGAGUCCAUAUAUACAUAGUGUUAGAAAUUUUUUAUCUCUAUUCGAUGUGAGAUAUCACAAUCAAUCCUAUGCAGUCACAAUAUCUUUGUUAUAUUUCAUAGGAUUGUGGGAUAAAAAAGACGAACAUCCAACUCAAGCUAAACAAACUCUUAUAUGGAUUGAAGAUCGGUUCUGAUACUAUUUAUAAUAACCCGCUCCCAAUUGUGUAGAUAUUGUCCGUAUGACCUUAAAAUGUAUUAACAAGAUCAAAAAGAACUUACACAUAUAUAGCAACAUAAAACAUUAGACUAGGGAAAAAUUUUCUUAUGUUAUAUGUGUAUGCGCUCCUCCUAGUCUUGUUGGCACAUUAUAAAGUCACGUGAGCUUAUUGGACUCAAAGGCAGAGAAUAUCUACAUGGGAGAGAGAGUUAGUCAUUACAAUUUUACAUUUUAUAGGAAAUUUAGCUCCAUAUGUUGUGCUUAAAAUGUGAAAAUUAAAGCAUACUUACAAGAAGUUAUUUAUCUUUGAUUUAGGGGUUGUACAAGGAUGGGCAGCCAUAAUCAUGGGGAUUUUCUCAGGCUCCAUUCCCUGGUUCACCAUGAUGGUUGUCCACAAAAAAUCUGAGCUCCUUCAGAAAGUGGACGACACAAUGGCUGUUCUGCAUACUCACGCCAUUGCUGGAAGCCUCGGAGGAAUCCUGACCGGUCUAUUUGCUUCCCCAAAGCUUAACCGUUUGUUCUAUGGCUACGGAGUUGAUGUAGAUUCCACUUAUGUUGGCCUAUUUUAUGGUCUUCACAUGGGAGAAGUCAGUAAGGGAUUCAGGCAAAUUGGAAUUCAGCUUCUGGGGAUUGUGUUUGUGCUUGUGUUUAACGUCAUAGCCACAAGCCUAAUAUGUCUUGUGGUGCAACUCAUCGUGCCCCUGAGAAUGUCUGAUGAAGAUAUGGAGAUUGGGGAUGAAGCAGCUCAUGGGGAGGAGGCCUAUGCUAUCUGGGGUCAAGGUGACAAGCUUGAGAACUCAAGGUAUGGGAGUUCAGUCUACGGUGAUGUUGAAUUGCCUAUGCCCAAGCCCAGGGGAGCUGGCCAAGUUGAGAUGACAUGAGACAUGAGAAUGUGUUCCAGGUUUUCGGAAAUUGGCAGACUUGAUCGAUUCAAUAAGAGCCCUUAAAGUAACUUCUGUAUCUGUGAUGUUGCCAAAUCAAUUGAUUGAACUCUGUUUACUUCUUUCUGUUUGUGCUAAGAACUUGCAUGAAUCCUAUUUAUAUGUUCUUUCUUUGUAGCCUUGUUCUUGAAUGAAGUUCCAAUCUCAUUUGCCUUUUAUUUUGUCAACUAAUAAGAAUCUUGAAUAGGGAAGGUCUGAAUUGGUGUAAGUACCAAAAAGGGUGGAAGUUUUGGUAUUCCCUGCCCGCCAAAUGGAAGUUAAGCUUUGGGGCAAUCUGAAGGAAGGUAGCAAUCUUUUCAGGGUUGGGGAAGGUUGGCUACCAAGUACCAAGCAUGGGAUAAUGUCCCAACUAAGGGCCAUCAAGGCCAGAGUCUUGGUGGCUGGUGACCAAAAAUGAAGCAAGGGUCCUUGCAAAAAGGCGCCUACCUAAUGGAUAGUGUGGAGUUAGGAGUCUUAGGACUAACCCAAGAAUAGUCUUAGGACAUGCUCUUUUCUUCCUUGUCUUUAACUUCAAUGAAAAAUUAAAAUCAUUGUCACAAUUUUUAAAGGAGGUUAUUAAUAUUCUAGAAGUUUUAUUAAAUAUAUAAAAGAACUUAGGUUGGGUUUAACAAUAUUAUUAUUUGAAGUGCUAUUUAAAGAAUCACUAUAAUUUUUUUUAAGAAACAUUAUAAACGAUUUUUCAAAAAUUUUCAAGAGUAUUUUUUUAAUUUUUUCAAAUACUUAAGGUUUUUUAAAAGCGUUUUUUUUUUGUUACUUUUUUUUUUUUUAACAUAUAAAAUAUUUGAAUAAAAUUAACCAAAUAAGUAUAAAAGCUCUCAUCCAGCGAAAAAAAUAGCUUUUGACUUCUUAUAAGAAGAAAUUUUUUUAUUUUUUAUAAAAAACUAUUUCAUAUUGUAUAAUUAAUAUUAUUAUUAUUUAUUUCAAUUUCAAUUAAAGCUAAAAAUAAAAAAAAAUCAAAGAUAAUUCAAGAAUCAAUACCAUAUUAGAUUAUAAAAAUAAUCUUGAUGUUUUUUUUUCUAUCAUUUUUCCAUGUAGCAGUUGAUCCAAGCAUAAAUCAGAACAUGGAUUAUUUAAUUAAUUAAUUUAUUUUAGAUAUUUUAUUUAAAAAAAUAUGUAUUUUUAUAUCUCAUAUAAAAAUAAUUACUAAAUUGAAUCUUUUAAAAAUAAUUUAAGUUUUAUAUAUUUAUUAAUCAACGAUAAUAUCUAAAAUAAUUAAAAGUAAUACUUAUAUAAUUAAAAUAUAGUAUUUAAAUGGUCACAAAUAAUAUGAAAUAUUAAUUAUUUUUGGAUAAUAAUUUAAAAACUAUAUUUUAUAAAUUCGGUUCUAUUUUGUGAUUUGUUUUUAGGUAUGGGGUGGAAAAAAACACUUUGCCCUUUUAUUUUUCUUCCAAAUAUAGAUUAGGGUAUCAAACGUAAUAACUAAUAACACCACAUCAUCUAUUUUUGACUGCUAGGGGACGUAGACGUGGCAUCAUCAGGUGGCACCACUCCAUCAAGAAACGCAGAGGGCAAUCAAAGUCAAUUUAGUAAAAUUUAGGGGUGGUUUAGUAACUUCGUUCACCAGUGGAAGCAACCAGGCUCGCUUUAAAGUCUAGGUUUUUCUUCCAAACCCUUUUCUCUCUCAUCGUCACAUUUUCUGUGGAGGACAGCUUCACAGCGUCUCUGAGGUAUAACCCUAGGGUUUUUCUCUCUCUACAACUGUCUUUCUCUCUUGGUUUUUUUUUUUUUUUUUUUUUUUCUCAAUUUCUUGUCCCAUGUUUUCAAUGUACCACUGCUUUGAUCCAACUCCACUUUCUCGCUCAACACUUCGCAAAUUUUUUUCUGUAAUUUUUCUUUUUAUCAUAUUAUAUUAUAUAUAUAUAUUCGAAUUUGUGCAUGUAUAGUUCAUAUUCUGCAGCUGAUUAAUCUGAUAUUGCUCCGUAUGUGUAGUUGGUUUUGAUGCUGUAAUUAUCGGUUUUCAUUUACCAGGGCUUGUGAAGUUGGGCUAGGGUUUAGGGUUUGUGGUUUUAUUCAAUUUUGUAGUUUAUUACUUUCUCUUACUCGUGUCUAUUUAGAUCUAUUUGUUUUUUCUUUCAUUUUCUCUAGUUCGAAUUCGUUUGCUGAUCUUAAUCCUUGUCUUUUUUUUUUCUUUUUGAUUGUUGAUGCCCUCUUCAUUCAUGUUGGUUUUGAAAAAAAAAAGGAUGGUGAGAAUUUUGACUUAGUGUCUGCCUUUGUAUUGUUUUGGUCAUAUGGUUUGAAAGAAUGCUAGAAUAUUUUAGGAGAAGCUGAUUGAUGGCUAGGUGAUGUUGGGAUAAAAUACUUGCUUGGCUUAAUUAGGUCUUGGUGUCUAAAGAAUUUAUGCGGAAUGCUGCUCUUGUGUAUUUUGAGGGAUUAUAGGGCGGUAUACUGCCUUGAGACCUGGCUCAAGUGGUAAAGGUAGGGGAGAGUUUGUAGAAGGUUCCAGGUUUAAGUCCCAACGGGGAUAAAAGAUUUUACCUAUCAGAAAAAAAAAAAGAGGGCAGUGUACAGGAAGGUGAUCUGUGGUGGGUUUAGGUUGGGUCCAAACCCAUCAAAUUUGUUUUUCUUUAAUUUUAAUUUUGCUUCUUUUAUGUUUUUGUUGAACUCUAGCCUUCCUUUUUUACAUUUGUGGUUCUUUUCAACAAAAUUAUUCUUUUGUUUUAAAAAUAUAAGCAUUUUUCCUGCAUAGUAGACUCCAUAUCAAAUCCAAUUCUAUGCAAUCAAAUAUAGUGUAAGGCAUUGAUAAAAAAUGGAGGGAAAGAGUCCAAGACUUCGUAACAAAAUGGAGUACUAAGACAUUGCACAUCUUACAGGUUUGCUUGACUCAGUUUACAAUGUUCAUGUGAUGGAGGAAUGUUGUUCGUAAAUUAUUCAAAUUCAGGCAUAUGUCUUCACUAUCUUAAGACAUUCUGAACCAUGUCACAGUAUCUAUGACAUGGGUAUUUUUGUUCCACACAUCUUGAACUUUCUGUGCGAUGUAGUUAUUCUAUAUGCCUAUAACAGAAUUUUUUUGUAUGACAUGGGGUUCAAUUGCCUGACACUUUUGGAAACCUUGCUGAAAGUUGGUUGACAUUUUUUGUUGUUAUAGUUGAGCAAUGUUGCAUUUUUAUCUGCUACCAAAUUAAAUUGGUGGUGCUUAUUGACUCCUGUUUAUUGUGUGGUCAGGUCAUUAGUAGUGGUGUCUUGACUCUGUGAUAUUGGAAAACUAAGAAAAUGACCAAGAAGAAGAAUCCAUUGGUCUAUCUAGAUGUGUCUAUUGAUGGAGAUCCAAUUGAAAGAAUGGUUUUUGAGGUAUUGUUUUUUUUCCAAUCUGAUAAGUGGAACAUCAAUUGAGUUUCUUCUGUCUAGUUGAUUGUAUAUGUUUGUUAUUUGCAUUUAUAGUCUGUCUAUUAUUUUUUAAUCAUUUGCUAUCUUCCCCCAAAGUGAACCAUGAACAUUUAAUUGAUUUCCUGUUUUUCUUUUGGGGUGGGGGUUUGCAGCUGUUCUCUGAUGUUGCUCCCAAGACUGCAGAAAAUUUUCGUGCACUCUGUACAGGUAACAUAUAUGUGAACAAGUAUUUCUAAGAACUGCACCUUUCUUUCUCUAUUUGUAGCAGUUAUUUUUGCUAUUAUGAUUAUGAUACAUAUUAUAAUGUUGUGGUAUUUAAUUUGUGAUUUGUUCAUGAUUCUAGAUGCAUUCUCUGUUUUCCUUUUCUUGCAGAUCUCCUUGUAUGGAUUACUCCGUCUAAAUUUAUAAGUUCAUUUGGGAUUUCUUUCUCCUUUCUUUUGUAGGGCCUAAUUUUCAAGUGUGAUAUUCAUUAAAAAGAAUAGUUGUUUGAUUUCUUUGACUUGUAUUUUUCAGGUGAAAAAGGAAUCGGUCCCAAAACUGGAAAGCCACUGCACUAUAAAGGGUCCUUCUUCCAUCGCAUUAUCAAAGGAUCAAUGGUUCAGGUAUGUUUUUCAGACUCAUUUUUAUGCCAAGAUUUUGGUUCAUAGAUUGAUUCUGGUUCAUAGAUUGAUUCUGGUUCAUUUGCAUGUGUCCUUCAUUUUCUGGUUGAGCAUGGCUUAGAAGUGGUCUUUGUCUUUUAGUCAGUUACCCUUUUUUAUGCUGUAGGAUACAGGGCUGAUGGUCACGACUGCUUUUCUUGUGAUGUAGUUUUAAGGUUGUACUUACUGAGUUGUCCAUCCUCAAAAUUUUUACUAAAAUUCACCAUGCCUCCAACCCAGUUUCAUACGCCUUUUCAAUUUGUUGCUUACCUAUGGAUUAAUGGUUGAUUUUUAUUCUGCAGGGUGGCGAUUUCCUUAGACGAGAUGGUAUGCUUUCUUCACUUGUCUCAUCUGAACUCGAGAAUAGCAUCUUUCUUUGUGUUUGUGUAGCAAAAUUAACGUAUUGGAAGGGAAACUUGUUAAUGUCUGGUAAUGUGAUCUGAAUUCGAAAUUGGUAGGGCACUGGCAUUUUUUGGUUAUCAGUCUCAUUACUGUAAUCUGUUUGGAGAAGAAAUCAGGUUGUGAGAUGGUAUGAAAUGGCUUCAUGGAUUUUUUGGGCAUUGCCAAUUGCUUAAGUAUGGUGAUGAUGGACAAUGCAAGGAAACCACUUUGAAUUGGAACACAUGUAGUCUCUCAAUAUUUUCAAGGCUGGUGACUGACAGAAAUGGUGAAGCUGAUAUAAAAGCUCUUUUUUGUUUUCCAGUGUCUGUUAUAACCAUUGCACCUGUUCUUAUUUCUGGAAUGGGAAAGCAGUUGUUUGCUGAACCACCUUGACCAGAUAUGAUAAAUAAUUUAACUCUCUUUACUAGAAUUUGGAGUGAACAAACUAAAUAUCCAAUUAACAUUAUCCAAUACCACUUCAAUAAUCAACUAUAGUUGAAUUGAUCCAUGCCAAAUUCUAAUCUAUGUACCAUUUUUGGAGAAAGAGCAACCUCAAUAACAGUGAUUUCUUGUAUAGAUCUAUGACACCCAUUUCCCCUCCUGUUAAAGUUGCUUAUUUCAGGCUCAUGUUAGUUGUGAUUUUCCUGCCACUGAACACAUGCCUUCGGCAGUCUGUCUCUUUUGUUUGUGAUUGUGCAUUUGUAAAGAGAGGAAUUUCAGGAUUUCAAGGGAUUUAGAAGUUCCAUUCCCCAAACUUAAAAGAGCUCACCUACUCUGGCUGUAGUCUACACCAGUGGCUGCCCUUUAUGGCAGGAGGCAUCCUUUUCUAGAUUUUCAUGUGUAGUUUGGGUUGUUCUUGUGCUUAAGGAACGUUGUUCUGUUUAUGUUUUUUUUUGGGAGAAUUCAAAGCAGGCUCUUUGUGUGCCCUGCACUCCCUCUGGUGCCUUUUCUUAAUUUAUUCCUUUAUCUAUAAAAAAAAUGGCUAGUAGUUGAUAAAUUUGUUUUUUUAAUAAGGUUCCAUAAAAAUUAGUUGGACUAGGGUUGGUAAAGCUACUUUUUUUUUCUCCUGGGAAAUUUAACCCCAAUAUAACUGUUUUUCAGAAUGUACUUCACUAUUGGUGCCACGGCUAUGAUUAGUCUAUUUUUGCCACUAAAUAUAGGGAAACAGCCAUAACUGUGGAUAAUGAACUAGCUAGGCUGUUCUUCACUAUGUGCUCCUCAAAAUACCUCCCCCCCUUCCCCCACCCAAAAAAAAAAAAAAAAAGAAAAGAAAGAAAAAACCAAAUGAACAUCUUUUGAGUGUAGUAGUAGUUUGAAUUGUUUUGUCCUAGAGGACUUGUGCUUUUGAGGCUUGCCUAAGCUUAGUGAAUUAGCCUUGAGGCUGUCACCUCAGUAAAGGAUAAGCCUCAUCCUAUUGAGGCUUACAACGUUGAGGUUGAAGCCUCAAAUAUCCAAUAGGUUUAAUGAGUUUGGUGUCUUUGUGGGCUUUUGGUAAAUAUUUGUGAGAAGUUUAAGCAAUAAUAUUCAAUUGGUUUUAAUGGGCUUUGUGCUUUUUAUAAGUUUCAUCAUGAGUUGAGAGUAGGUUGAACAUUUUACAAAAUAAGGGUUUAGUUGGCUUCUAUUUGACCAUUUCAAAGGAGGGGGAAAAAGAGAUUGAGAAGAAGAAAUAGAGGAUUUAUUGGUUAAUAUUUAUUUUGUUAGUGAUAAAUAAAGAAGAAUGACCAUUGGAAUUUAUGGAGGAAGAAGAAGAAUGGGCAGAUUUUUAUAUAUCUACGUAUAUUCUUAUUUGCCUAUCAAAAAUUAAAAAAAAAAAAAAAAGAAGAAUAGGCAAAUAUUAACAUUGGUGGGAAGGAUGAUAGGGCAAUUAGAUAUGAGUAUCUACUUGGAGGAUCCUAUUAGUGAUAGUAAUUAGAGUAUUGAAGACUAUUUGAUGAAACAAUAAGAAAAAGUUAGAUUUUAGAAGAGGGAAAUGGGAACUAAAUUAGAACUAUUGAUGACAAAGAGCUAAUUUUCUUAUUAUGAAUUUAUAGUUUUCUUAUUAUUUAAUUUUCAUGUGAUUUUAUUGGUGUUUUUUUAGGUUGAGGCUUACAUCUCUCCUCAUUUGGGGUAAUAUGCUUCAAAACUGCAUUUAGCCUUUUAAAACAUAGGUCUCCAUUAUUCUGAAGUGAAUCCUGCUUGACCAAAUCUAAGGUCUUCCUUACUCCUUUAAGUUUUAAAUAUUUGGUUAACAAUCAAGCAGUGAAUAUUAUUCGGGUAAUGAUUAUUUUUACCCUUCACUUGGAAAGUUAUCAUUUGGACAUAUAAGUGCCAUGGAAGUUCCUUGUUGGCUUUUCAUGUGCUUGGAAAUUUAUUUCUUAAAUAAUGUAUUUUAAUGAAAAAGGAUUGCUUUUUUUGUUUGGCAGGAAGUGGUGGUGAAAGCAUAUAUGGUGGAAAAUUUCCAGGUAUCCAUCAUCUGUCAUGUUUAUUUUUCUUCUGGCUCCAAUUAAUCUUGAUGCUACUUGUAGGUAGUGUGUAGAGUUUCUUUGGCAAUGCAUCUUUUUUCUUUGACUUGAUUUAUUUUUCUGCUAGUUCUAUAAUUAAGCCUUCCUGCUACAAGUAGGCAGUGAGUAUAGUUUUUAUGGCAUUCAUCUGUUUCCCUUUUUAGUGCACUUUUUCGCUUAUACGUUUUUAGUCUUUUUGGUGUGCUUCUUUCUAUCUGUUGGAUGGGAGGGGUUUGCGCGUGUUGUGGCUUUAGGCUUCUUCCAGUUGUGUGGUUUGGAAAGUUGGUGAGCUUUGAUUAUAAUAUUUUUCAUUAUAUUCACAACUUUUGUUAUAUCUUUAUUUUAUCAGACAAUUGCAAUUAUAUUUCAUUCUGCAUUUUGCAUGAAAGUAGGAUUGCAUUUUUGCAUGAGGCUUUUGUCCCAAUUAAAUUUGACAAUGCUAUUUCUCUUAAUGUGAUUUGUAGGGUUUAUAGAUAACUGUUAUAUCGAAGUCCUUGCUUGUUUAUUUGAUUUUUAGAUUGGGACCAUACCAAGGAUUUGACAUGUGCUAAAAGUAAGCAUGUUUUAAGUUUGAAAGUAAUAUUGAAUCUUUUGUCUUUUUUUCUUUUUUUGUAAUCUCUGGGGUAGUUAUCGCUUAAUAGCUCUAUUAUGCCCUAGAUUGUGUUAUGCCGUAGUAUUUACUUAUACAGAGGUGGUAACUCGGGAAGAUUAGACAAUCCUUAUCUAUGAAAGAGGAGAACAAAAAGGGAUUUUGCAGUCCUUGAUAUGUUUCUGAGGUUAAAGAAAUUUGCUGAUGGUGGUGUGACUAGGAAGUUGUCUGGUUCCUGGAUCCUAACUGCAAUGCUGAAAACUGAAAUAGAAGUUGAAAAAUAAUAGCUCAUUCGCUGAUCUUAUGUUUAAAAUGUUAUAAUUCCAAAUGAUUAUGUUACCAUUGAUGUAAAGUUUUGUAUCUUAACAUAUGCUUAGGUUUUUUUGUUUAACUGAAAAGAAAUAGGUAAAUGCUAAGGAUGGGCCAUAUUUAGGGAUGGCUUGUUACCAAAUUAUGAUGAUUUUCAUAAAAUACUAAGUGCAAGUCAUGGCAUUGUUUCAGAUGAGUCACCCAGGCUAAAGCAUGAUGGACCUGGCCUUCUGUCUAUGUCAGUUGCCGAUCGGGACACUGUUGGUUCUCAAUUUAUUGUCACCUUCAGUGCUAAUCAUCAUCUUGAUAGGUUUGUUUAUUUACUAGAUUGUUACAGCAUUUGGUUUUCUUCAAUGGAUGUUUGUCAGAUUGUUCUCAAUUUGGUUUUAUUUGUUUGGUACAUGAAGAAAUUCUCAUCUGCAUGAAACUGUUCAUUUUUGAAAUCAUUUAAACAGGAAGUAUGUAGUAUUUGGAAAGCUUGUACAAGGACAUGAAGUUUUGAAGAGGAUAGAAAGUGUUGGUGAUGAGGAAGGGAUACCGACUGCAACAGUGAAAAUCAUUUACUGUGGUGAAAUUCCCGAGGGUAAGAUACACAGAUCUGCUUACUGGAGAGUGGUGUUUACUGUAUUGACAUGGAAUAAUGUACAAGAUUUUGCAAUUGGAGGCCUUGUCUGGUUCCUUAGAUGUGGUUUCCUUUUUCUAAUUUUUGAAUGCUUAUUUUGAAUCCUGCCUUGUGGUUUUUUUUGCUUUCAUCACGGGCUAAUGAACUGUUCAAUGUCCUAUUGUAGUUUGUGUUUGAUAGUCUUUAUCGUUGUUAUUAUUAUUCUUAUGGUAUAUAAGAGAACAUCAUAGAUGAUGAAGAUUUGUACUUGGUGCACCUUUUCAAGUGCUUUUAAUAUAAUUGCUCAUUUUAUAUAUAUAUAUAUAAGCGGAUGAACAUUUAGUGAUACCCCUUUGCCCCCUCUAAAAUCCCUUUUUCCCAACCUUACACUGAUGUCACUUGGGGAAACCCUAUGGAUGCUAAUUGGCCUACACCCCUUGUCACUUUAUUAUGCAGAUACUCUCUCUCUCUUGCUUUCUCUCUCUCUCUCUCUCUCUCUCACACACACACACACACACACACAUGCACAUGCACGCACACACACACUGCUUAGAUGGCUAGGACUUGGGUGGGGGUGGGAUGAGGGGGGUUCGAGGUUUAACUCCUUGGAAAAAAGUUUACAUUUUAAAGAAGAACCUUAGAUUAUUUUCUGAGGGCUUGUCUGACAAUGGACAGUUGAUCACUCCUAUUUGAAGCAACAGAACACUUUCUCUUUUGCUUGUUGAUUUAAUUUGUGUGCGCACAUGUGAAAGGAAAUGAAAUAACUUGAAACAUAAUCCUUUGAGUGGAACAUAGGAUAAAUACCCAUGUACUUUUACAGUAUGGAAGUAAAAUAUUACAUCAAACAGAUUUUAUGUACCUUGGUUGGCUGUUUUCUUGGUGCUUGUUUAUAAAAUAAUUUUAUUGCAUAUGGAAAAAAUAUUUCACCAAACAGAUUGAACAUGAUACCAAGGAUUUAACAAGAGUUAAGGCCCCAAAAUAAAUAUGAAUGGUGAAGGAUUCAUGUAACCAAUAAAGCUUCAUUGUGAUUGUAUGAAUGCCAGAUUUUGUCUGGAUUUUGUUAAUUUUUAAGCCAUCUUAAAUUGCAAUUUAAGGAUUUUUGCAGCCAAAUCAUGCAGAUAAAACCUUGGUCUGGUGAUGGGUGAACUUGGUCAUUAUUCAUGAAUUAUAUAUUUGUAGGGUCUAGUGGACCUAAAUUUCUUGAGUGAUGUAGAACAAUACAUAGAUUGUUGUCUAUAAUUGGAUAAUGUGGGCUAGUUUCAUUGUUUACUUGAGUAGAUCGUGGAGAUUCAUUCUCACCAUUCUCUACUUAAGUCACCACACUUAAAAACACUUCUGGUUGUUUUGAUGGGUUUUAUUGUGAUUUUAGAGACAUUCAAUCAGUUUUGACUCCUGUCAUUGAGCAAGUUUUUAAAAUGUUUCUAAGUCAAUUCCUGGGGUCCUCGUCUUUUAGUUUUUGAGCAUGCCUAUAUUAGUCUUGCUUUAGAGUUUCUUUGGCUCUGCAUACCUGGCCUUGUACUUAUUUUUUGCGUUUUCUUCAAUGAAUUCAUAAUCUUUUUUGUAGUUUGAGGUUUCACCUUAUAUAUUUUUGUUGUUGCUGCUGCUAUUGUAAUUAUCUAUUGCAGUGUUUUUUGUCUGUUCAUACCCGACCUUAAACUCUUUUAUGGGUUAAUCAAUAAAUUGUUAAUCUUUUUGCAGUUUGAGGUUUCAUUUUAUAUCUCAUUGUUGCUGCUGUUGUUGUUGUUGUUAUUGCCAUUAUAAUUUGCAGAGUGAUUAAGAGGGUGUUGCUUGUUGUGUUCUUUCUUGUUCUUUGUGCUUUCAGGUGCUAUUUGUAUACGUCAUGUAUUCUUUGGUGCAUCCUUUUGGCGCAUUUUAAUUUAUAUGCAUUCUUAUAAAAAAAAACCAUUAUAAUUUGCAGUUAUUUUCUAUAUUUAUACUUGCUUGUAUCUAUUCUGUAGCAUUAUUUUCUUCUUUUUUGAUUGCUUGAUUUAAGUUUUAUCUUGUCUAGAGAAAAGGAAAUCAAUCAAAUCCAAAAUUGGAAAAGAUGCUUCUUCUGAUGCUAAUAGUCAUGAAGUGCGGCGGAGGGAGAAGCACAAGAGAUCUUCAAAAGAAAGAAGGAAAAAAAGAAGAAGAUACGAUACAUCAGAAUCAGAGUCUCUUUCUGAUACAGACACUGAAUCAUCUGAAUCUGAUAGUGAUUCUGACUCAGAAUCAUCUUCAUACAUAAGUUCUUCAAGUGAAGACAGACGGAAAAAAAGGAAGAGAUCUAAGAGAGACAAAUAUAGACGUGGAAAAAGAAGGGAUAAACGACGUGACAAAAAGCGCAAGAGACGUGAUAAGAAAUCAAAGCGCAGAUCAAAAAGGUAUGAUAGGCAUUGGCGAUAUAUAUUUAAUAUACCAAAGCGUUGUUUAUUUCCUGAUUCCUCUCAUCAAACUUUUGGGGUGUGACAUCUGCAUUAGAACAAUAGCCUGAUAUUCUUUCUUUUGAAAUCUCUUUUAAGGUCAUCGGAUAGUCUUACUGAUGAGGAUAGCAAUGGUAAAAGUGGCAGUAGCUCUGCUGAUGAUGGCACUGAUGUUCGAGGGCCAGAUUGCAACCCUAAAAAACCUCCUCAGCUAAUAGGUAUUGCUUUGAACUUUUUUUUUAAUAAUGAACAGAAACUCUUUCUUGCCUUUUCUUUAUUUCUUGAUUGUUCAUAUAUUUAUUUAUUUUUCCUAUGGAUUUAGUCUAGUUUUCUUUUUAUAUGCACCAUAUGUUUGUCUUCCUUUUUUUAAUAGCCGUUUAUGUGUCUUCUUAAUGUUAUUUACUUUCACUUGUCUUUCUUGCAAAUUAUAGCUCCUUAGGCAUAAUGAAUGCUCAAUAAAAGUUCUCUCAUCCACCAGAUCUUGCAUGUAUUUUUCAAAUGUUCAAUAAAAGUUCUGUUGCCCACCAGAUCUUGCACAUAUUUGUCAAUGUAUAAAGGAUUAACAUUAUUUAUAUGUUUGAAAAAUUACGUGAGGUAGAUUAUUGACAUUUCAUUUGUUUUUAUGAUUUAUAUCUUGAUUUUGGCAUGAACUGAAUUUUCUUUUUUCAUAUAUAUAUAUAUAUAUAUAUAUAAAUUCUUCAACAAUAUUGUUGACUAUAUGAUCAACACCCUGAUACAGUGAGGAUUGUAUUUAUUUGAUUUUGUUUUGAGUUUUUUGUGAUAGGUGUUCUUAAUUUAUUGGCCUUUUUUUUUUUACUUGUAUGUGAUUGUUUUUGUACAAAUUUCUCCAGCAGGAAAUGGAUCUCCUGUAGUUGAGGACAGAGAAGCUGUUUCCACUCGUCAUAAAAAGGGGGAGGUGGCUGAUGUGCUUGAAAAGGAAGAGGGUGAAUCACCCAAGGAAAACGGAGAUAGGCGGAGCAAUGGCAUUGAAGAAGUCAAAUCUGAUAGAAGUGCAGAAAGACAACCUGAUGUUGUAGAUGAUCACCCAGGAAAAUCUAGGUCUACUUUCCAUCCUCCUCACACCUCAGUUAUUCUUUAUGCUAACCGAUUCUUCCAGAUCCGGUAUUUUAUUAAAAGUUGAUGAGCAGGAGCCGAAGCAUGAGUCCCAAAAGGACCAUGAGUAAGAGUAUGAGUAUUAGUCCAAGGAGGAGUCUGAGCAAGAGCCCAAGUGUCAGCAGGAGUCAAAGUGUUAGCAGAAGCACUCCCCGCCCACCAAGAAGCAGAACUGUGAGCAGGAGUCCAAGUGUUAGUAGAAGGGCCCCACUGAGAAGCAGAACCGUGAGCAGAAGCCCAGCUCCAGCUAGAAGUGAUAGCAGCGGGAGCCCAGCUAGAAGCCUCAGCAGAAGUCCAGUGAAGGUCAGUAGAGGAAGAAGCUUCAGUAGGAGCCCAGUGAGGACCCGAACUCGGAGGAGCAUUAGCAGGAGCCCGGUUAGGUCACUGUCUCGAAGAAGUCCAAGCAGGAGCCCACCAAGAACCUCAUCAAGAAAAUCAGUUAGCAGAAGCCCUGUGAGGAUUUCAAAAAGUGGUGUCAGCAGAAGCCCUAUUAAAUCCUCCCGGAGAAGCAUUAGUAGAAGCUCUGGCAGAGCUCCUUCAAGGAAAAGUGUGAGUCGAAGCCCAAAUAGGGUGCCUAGCAGGAAUAAUCGUCGCAGCUAUUCUAGAAGUCCUGCAAGCUCGGGGCGUAGGGCAAGGUCACCUGCUUCUGAUCGUUCAAGGACUGUGUCAAGAAGUCCUUCCCCGGAUGGGUCCCCCAAGCGCAUCAGAAGGGGACGGGGUUUUAGUGAGCGAUACUCUUAUGCACGGCGAUACAGGACUCCAUCUCCAGAUCGUUCUCCAGUACGGUCAUAUCGUUAUAAUAACAGAAUUGACCGUGACAGGUAAUGAAGCAACCUACUUACGUGAGUUUUUUCAGUCAUUUGAGUGAAUGAUUUUAUACUGUAGUAGUUUAUGGUGCAUAUUUGUUCUUUGUUGCUAGAUAUCCAUACAGGAGGUAUGAUCGAUCACCCAGGCGUUAUAGAAGCCCACCAAGAGGAAGAACCCCUCCUAGGUACGUGAUUUUCCUAAACACCUCCAAUUCCCUUUGUUCUUCUGGCUUUUUGGUUGAUACUCACCCAAGUUUCGUGAAAUAUGGUAUUUGAUGCAAAACACGUGUGCCCGCACACACACACUCUGGCACUUAAUUAAAAUGUGGUCUGUUAAUUUCCAAUUUCCACUUGUGUACGAUUGAUUGUACAGAUGUAAAAGUGUAUUUCUUGUUCAUGGCAUCAUGGUGAUUUAUUCUUCAUGCCACAUUUGCAGAUACAGAGGCAGGAGAAGUAGGACGCGGAGUCCAAGUGCUUCACGUAGCCCAAUCCGCUACCGUAAACGACGUUAUAGUCGUAGUCCUGUUCGCAGUCGAUCCCCAGUUGAGCCAUCUAGAUACCGUGUCUCCCCUCGCCCUGAGAAACGGAGGUCACCAUCUAGGAGCAGAAGCCCAUCAGCAUCUAGAUCCUCACUGGAUUCCCAGUCGCCCAAGAAAGCAAGCAAAGAUGAGUCAAGAUCAUCUUCUGAAAGUCCAUCUGGGAAGAAGGGCUUGGUUUCAUAUGGUGAUGGGUCUCCAGAUUCUGGGCAAAGGUGAGAGAAUGUAGUAGUGGCUGUUGUAGAGAUGGCUGUCUUUGUUGUCUAGGAUGAGGGAGCACUCGCGGUUUUUGCCAACUGGGACUGUGGUCACUGUUUCUUUUUGUUGUUAUUAGAGCGUAUGGGCGGUUACCGGAUUUUCAGACUUUGGAUUUAGAUUUAGCUAUUGGCUUGUUUUAUAAUCAAAUAUGUUGAAUAAUGGUAUUACUGGGAUUAUAUUAGAUCAGCAUCUGGGAAUAUGGAUAUUCUCCAUUUUGUAUGGUUCUUUCCUUAUGGUGGUCUAAACAAAUUUGAGGUGUUGAGAUCUCCCAGGUACUGUUUCUGAAUUUGGUUGUUUAUGGUUAACCUGGAUUAACUUCUUAAACUUAAAUAGCUAAAUCAAUUGCUAUUGUAUUUACAAGAAUAAUCAAUGAAAGGUGGUUUAAGAUUUACAUGUAAAAAGCGGUAAGUGGCUUUAAUGCGACCUCAUUUCCCUGUUGGGCUAUGAAUGCUGCUGUUUAUUUUGUGCCCAAAACUUUCGAUUAACAAACAUUCUUUGUCAAAAUACAAAAUCUAUAUGAAAUGUGGGACAAAAUGCCUUUAUCAGGGUGCCACGUCGGAUGACGUUAUCUCUUAUCCAAUCAGCCCAUGUUCUCCAUACUUUCCCUUCUUUAUCCUCAAUGAUUCCACUAUCUCCUUCUUCGACCAUUUUGAAUUUCAACCCUUCAUCAUCUUGCAAGCUUGACUAGAACCAUUGCAGAUCAUCUUAAACCACUUAUUGCUCUCCGAUCUUUGGCUGGUCUUUGAAUUUGAACUUUGGUCUUUCGUUCUAGGCUGCAGAUAAUCACAUUUGGAUGCAGACUUUGAUCUUCUCGAAUUGCACCAGGUAGAGGAGCAAUUCCAAGGGUGCCACUACAAUGAGAGAGGGUUAAUAAGGCUUGUGAUUUCGUUGCCUAAAGGUUUUCUAGUCCUAAUGCUUGAUUGUCAGUGAAGGCAUUCAGUGAUGAAAAAGGGAAAGAAGUUGUUGGUGGUGUUGUUUCUUGAGUUUAAAAAAUAAGCAAAUUAGAUGUAGCCCAAAAUCAUCAAACAAGAAACAAAAUAGAUAGGAAAAAGGUUGCUUAUCAGAAUAAGUUCAACGAGGCAUGACAAACAUUGUCCUCAUCUUCAAAGAUAUCAUCCUCGGGCAAAAGUAAUUAAUGUUUUACCUUCAAGAUUCAACAGUCAAAUAAAUAUAUUCCUAGGUGCAUUAGGUAGGUGAGAUGUUGUGUAGCUUAGUUUAAAAUAUAUUCCUCACGGGUGGAUCAGUGGGGCUGCAGUAGACUGGGAGCAGCACUUGUGGGUGUAGCCUCGGGUGGAUAGUUACAGCAAUGUGGGUGUUGCAAAGGUGGAUGCUGCAGUCGGGUUACUGCAAAUGGAAGAUGCAGCGGGUGAUUAUUGCAGUAGAACUGUAGAAGCAAGCUGCAGUAUAGAAGAGCAGCACAAAGGAGCUUCCAGUUGCAGCACACAGGUUUUUCAAGUAAUUACCGCGUCUUUGAUAGCAGCAAGGGGCACAUAGAGAGAAAGUGGGAGACGAAAAAACUAGAGAGAGAUAGCUGUAGAGAAUGAGAUGCAGUAGAACUUUGAAGGGGCUGCCUUUAUAUAGGCAGAGGACUGGAUGGACCUCUCCAAAAAUUUCUUAAUUGCCACAGUUUUUUUUAUGGGCGAAGACAUGGUCAUAGGAAGAGUACAAAUAAUUUUUAUUUUUAUUUUUGGGAAGAGUUAUAUUGGGAAUUAUUUUUAUUUUAUUUUAUUUUAUUUUCUUAGUCUUAUAUUUUUGGGAAAAAUCCUAUUGAGAAUUAUUUUUAUUUUUGGGAUUGUGCUAGUAGAAUCCCAUUUCACUUAUAAGUAGAUUCCCCUUCCACUCUCUAAAUAUGAAUACCAAUUUUUCAAAAACUCUUUUCAUACAUCUAUUUGGAGGAAUUUUUUCAAAACCCGUACACAUCUCGCUUUCAAAGUGCACCUAUUGGCUGUUGAAUUCUGGAGGUAGACUACUGGUACUCUAGUGCAUUGAGUUCGUUUUUGAGGAGGGUGGAUCUAUUUCAAAGACAAUAUUUGUCACACCUCAGCCAAUAAGUCUUUCUUCUUAUUAAUUAUAUUAUUUGUUUGUGACUUUUGAGCUAGUUAUUUGUUUCCAUACCCUUAAAUCCAACCAUGGUUAGAUGGGCUAAGUCAAAGUAGUUGGCACUACCUAAACUCAUGCACUUCUCCUAUAGGUGGUGGUUUCCAUGGUGUUGAUGUUUAUGUUGAUAAUUGUGUUGCUUGUGAUUUAAGUCUUGAUUUUCGAAACUAAAUCCAUGCUUGUGAUUUGUGGUUGUUGUUGCUUUGAUGUUCCAAGUUCUAAAACUUGAGCCAAAUGGUUUUACUAGUGCAUAUUUUUGUUAUAUGGAUUAUGACUGAAUCAUGGUUAAGACACUUGUGCACACUUCUAAGCAUACAAAAGUGGAUUUUGAACCAUUGCAUGAUAAAAUUUAAUUGAGCGUACAAGGCUAAUGAACCAACCAUAAAAGGGGUGUACAUGCAGAUUUUAUUGUAUGGAUUAUGACUAAAAAUAUGUAUAUGGAAUUUGAACAACUGUGGAAGGUAUUUGCACUAACUAUAUAAAGCUAAUGAACUAAUUGUACAAGGCAAAAGAAUUGACUGUAUAAAGGGUAUAUAGGAUAACCUAUUUUAAAGGGAUUAUAAUAUUUGCAAUCAAUUUCCUUACUUCUUUCCCUCACUUAAGGACCACUCGCUUUCACGAAAUACAUUGGAGUUUCGAAUCCCUACCUCCUAACUCGGUUUCUUAUUUGGAAGCAAUCGGUUUAUGAAUUCCUUCUACCAAAUUAUCGGAAACAUGGUUAAUAUACUUGUGCACAUGAACUCAUAAUUUAAAUGUUUUUUAUAUUCUAAGGCUAUGUUUGGUUUCUAGAAAAUUUGAAGGAAAAUGUAAAGGAAAGAAAAUAUAAAAGAAAAAGGGAGAAUUAUCUUUUGGGGGUAGAUGGACCCCCAAAUUAACAAAAGGUUCAUAUAACUCUUCAAAUUGAGUUGAAUGAUAUAAAAUAGUAAUAGACAAAUAUACCCUUUAAGAACACAUAUAAAAUAUUUUAUAAAAUUAAGUUAAAUAAUUUUUUUUCAAUAAUUUUUUUUUUCAAAAAUACUAAAUUAAAUAAAAGUAGUUUUCAAAAAUAUUAAAUUAAGUAUUUUUUUAUUCAAAAAUAUUAAAUUAAAUUAAAGUAUUUAAAAAAAUUAAAUUAAAUAUUUUUUAAAUAUUAAAUUAAAUAAAUUUAUUUUUAAAAAAUAUUAAAUUAAAUAAAAGUAUUUUAAAAAAUAUUAAAUUAAAUAAAAGUAUUUUUUUAAAAUAUUAAAUUAAAUAAAAGUAUUUUUCAAAAAUAUUAAUUUUUUUUUCUCAAAAUCAACAAAGGGCAUUUUUGGAAAUACUGAAGGAUGAUAUCCUUCAACUCAAUUUCCAUACUUUCAUUGGGUCUUGGGCUCAAUUUGAAGAGUUAUAUGGAACUUUUGUUAAUUUGGGGGUCCAUCUACCCCCAAAACAUAAUUCUCCCAAAGAAAAAUAAAAAAAAAGAAAAAAUGAAGGAAAAUAAAAAAAUAGAUUAAAAGUUGAUAAAUUAUUUUUUUUGUUACUUCAAACUCAUUUUAUUUAUUUUAACUCAUCAAUAUAAAUAUUGAAUAAUUUAAAAAUACAUAAUUUUUAAUUAGUUUUAAUUAUAUUUGAUUUUCUUUGAUAUUUUUCAUAAAACAACCAAACAUAAAAAAAUAAUUUUUCUUUAUAUAUAUUUUUUUUCUUAGUAUUUUUCGAGAAUCAAACAUAACCUAAAGGAAUAUAAUACAUAGUUGGAGCUUGGUGUGUGAAUUUCCAUCAAAUGGUUAAAAUUUAGUGGCUAUCUCAACAUUUUAAAUUUGGUAAUAGAGGGUGGUUUCACAUGGGGUUUUUAAAAAGAAACGAAGGAAGAGUAUUUUAAGGAUUUUUGGAUGUUGACAUUUGAAAAUAGUCUUUUCACAUCUUCUUCUUCCCUUUUAGUCUAUUUACACAAAAUCUAUCAUUUUUAUGAUCAUUAUCAAAUUCAUCUACCCUUCAAGAUAAUUAUCUCAAACUAAUAAAGUAUUAGAUCAAAUUUCAACUUUAGUUGUUGAAUGUGAAUGGUAAAAUCUAGGUCUUUGAAUAAUAGUAUAAACGAAAAAAAAUGAAAUUAAGGUACAUAAUAUAAAUAAAUGAGAUAAGAUACAAAUAAUGAGAUAUGAAGAUAUAUAUAUAUAUAUAUAUAUAUAUAUAUAUAUAUAUAUAUAUAUAUAUAUAUAUAUAUAUAUAUAUAUAUGAUACGAUGAUGGUGCAUUUUCAAUAUUUAUAAAAAGUACACUUUAGUACGUAAGUGAACUUUUAUAAGAAACAUGCUAAUUUACCAUAAAUUUUCUAAUCAAUAUUAUUAGAUAAAAUUCCAAGAUAUUGCAAUUUUUAAUAAAAUCAUUUUUAUAUUUUUCCAAAAUUUUUAAUCUAAUAUUAUAAAAGAAAAAUGAAUUCAUCUUUUGAAAAGACGAAUUCAGUAUAGAAAGUGAACUCGUUUUUUUGGUACAAGAAGUAAAUUUGUCUUUCAAAAAGUGAGUUCAAUGCAAAAAUAAAAAAAGUGAAAUAUUUUUGUAUUUAUUUUUUAAACAACGCAUUUUUUUUAAAAAGAAAAUCAAGAAGAGAGAAUGAGGUUUCCAGGAAUGGAGGUGUUCAUACGCACACGUGCAAACCAAAUCCCCACACGUGUGACCCAAAACCCAGUGCAUGUUAAAACCGUGAAAUCUCGGACCCAUGAGUCACGUGUGUUAAUACAGAGCGAGACCAACAAAACAUUUUCCCUUCCGGAGAAACGAAGAGCAAAAAUGUGGAGAAGAUUGGUAUCAUCAUCGACGUCAGCUUCCCUUAAAACCCUAGCAUCGUCAUCGCGCCGAUCCUCACUGCCGACACUGGUCCGACCACUCACCUCUGUCUCUUCAUCUUCUCCUUCUAAUACGACUACUUUUCCUUCCCACAGUCCUAUCUCCUCCCCUUCCGGUAAUUUUCUUUUCUUUCUCUUACUUUUCUCGGCGAUCAUAUAUAUAGAUGGUUUUGAAUAUGUAUCGGAAAAGAAAAGAAAAUUUGCGAUCGGUCCAACAAAGUGUUACGAAACCGAAAUUUUGAGUGUGUGAUAGAAAACGAAUCCCUGGAUUCAAGUGAAUCUGUGGUAAUAGUUUGGAUGCGAUGAAUUUGAUUUGAUUUUUUUCUUUUGAGUUUCUAAACAGUAGGAUUCCUAUCCCACCUAUUUUUAUUUGGCUCCUCUAUGAGGUUUAGAUUUGGCUGAUUUAAGAUAUUUUGAUGUUCUCUUUUGGUUGGAAAUGUAAUUAUUGUUUUUAUUUUAUUUUGAAUAGAUUUUCUCUCAAAGGGGGGAAAGAAGGUUGAAAAUGUUAUACCCAUUGCAACCGGACAUGAACGCGAGGAGCUUGAGGUUUAUUUUUUGUUUGGGCACAUACACAUACAAAUGCAAAAAAUUUUGCAUUAAUUUAUCAUUUUUAGGAUUUGAUCGUAUGACGCUGAUUUAUUUGAUUUAUUUAAUUCAGGGAAGGACACUUCUUGAAGCGAAUUAUCCAAUUGGUCCAUUUGGCACUAAGGUUUGUUUCAAUUAAGUUUUUCUUAACUUUGUCACUUUGUAUUUUUAUUAUAAGGUAUUCAAUGGUGUUUAAUUUCAUUGCUAUCCAUAAAGAAAGGCUUUCAAUUGGGAUGAAAUGUUGGUCGCAUUUUGCUGCAUACAAUUGGAUUAAAGUUGUAACUCAAAUUUUAUGAAAUUUAAGAAGUUUCAUUUCUUCUUAGGAAUUGUUUUCAUGGAUUUAGGUUAUAUGGAAUUUAAAACAAAGUCUAAAUCUAUUGGCAUGUAAAGAAAGCAAACAAUGGUGAUACAAUUGGGGUCUCUAGUUCCAAUUCCACAGCCAUAAUUCCAUAGUCAGUGAGAUCUGUGUCCUUGUGUCUAGAUUUUUGAGGAGCUGUUGUGUUCAAUAAUCUCUUUCAAGGAUUUGUGGAAGGGUGUAAUUGAUUUGCUAGUCCGUAUGAUCUGUGUCCUUGUGUCUAGAUUUUUUAGGAGCUGUUGUGUUCAAUAAUCUCUUUCAAGGAUUUGUAGAAGGGUGUAAUUGAUUUGCUAGUCAGUAUGAUCUGUGUCUUUGUGUCUAGAUUUUUUAGGAGCUGUUGUGUUCAACAGUUUUCUUCUGUCAAGUCUGACUGUGUCAGUAAAGGCCAACCAUUAGGGGGUGUGGCAGUAUGAGUGCCACAUAGGAUAUAGCCCAAUCUAUAUCAUUACAAUCCCUUACUGUUCUCUUGAUAUUGGUUCAUUGUAUACUGUACAAGCUUGGAUCAUGAAAAAUCCAAGGAAUCUGAUUGCCACCUGCCGAUAACUGGUAAGCAUCUAAUGCUAUUGGUCAAAGAAACCAAAUGAUUGAGGAUUUUUUUUGUCUAUUAAAAAUAUGGCCCAUCAUCCAAACUUGUGAGAAAUGAGAAUGAAGACUCUAGACAUGAUAUGCCCAAAAUAGUAUGUAUUGCCUUUUGUCUUUGCAAAGCUAGCCCUUUUUUAAAGCAAUGAGCAAUCUUAGAGAUGCUUUGCAGUAAACUGACCUAUGGCGAGGAAACUCUGGAUCGUUUCACUGGAGGUUGUUUUCUUCAUGUACAGAUGUCUCUUGCUUUCUUUAGCUUAUGCCAUAUCCUGCUUCCCCUCAUUGUUAUUUUCCUAAAAAGAGCUAUUUAAGAUGGGCAUGUUUCUGGGACUUUAGACAUGCAUUAUUUCAGUAUUUGAUGAUAAAUAAACAUGUAUAUGCACAAAUUCUCAUUAUCUGCUUUAUGGGAGCAGAAGUAUCUACAAUUGUUGCGAAAUUUUUUUAAUCUCUCUCUAUCAAAAAACAGUUCUUGAUGAUGAUGAUGAUGAUGAUGAUAAUAGUAAUAAUAAUAAUAAUAAUAAUUCUAUAUGUCCGUGUUCCAUAGCCAUCCAACCUUUAUUCAACUAUUCUGAUAAUAAUAAAAAUCAUGUUUAUUAAACUGUUCCAAUAAUAAUAAAAAUAAAAAUCUGUGUUUAAUAAUUAUAUAUCUCUGUGUUGUAUAUCCAUCUAAGCUUUAUUCAACUGUUCUGAUAAUAAUAAAAAUCAUAUUUCUAUAUCUCUGUGUUCCAUAUCCAUCCAAGCUUUAUUCAAUUGUUGUGAUAAUGAUAAAAAUCAUGUUUCUAUAUCUUUGUGUUCCAUAUUCAUCCAAGCUUUGUUCAACUGUUCUGGAUUUAUUUCUGCCAACAGAGGGGUGCAAUGGCUGUUGGGAUGGAAAAACUUGGUAGUGUGUUAUGUUCACCUUGUUUUCUUGCAUAUCUUCCAAUUUAGAGAAUCCCAUGUUAAGACUGUCAUGGUAGAGAUGUGUCUGACAACUUUUACUGUGUAUGUCCCUUUUUGAAAGCUUUCUUGUGGAACUUAUAGUUGCUCAAAAUCGAUGAUUUAUGCUGUUGGGAGUAUCGCUUUUUAAUAAGCAGUAGAUAGAAGACUAAAGGAAGGAAACUUUGUUAUAAUUAUUGUUUAGGCCACAUAAUCUCCUUGUUCUUUUUCAUGCCUAUGUAUGUUUAAUUCUCCAAUUGUGCUUAAGGUUAUCUGCAUGUUGAAUAAUUUAAAAGCAUACUCUUGCAACAUCCUUUGUAAAAUUGCAUUCGUAACUAUAUACUGUGGGCUGAUCAGUGAGAUGGUUGUACAAUGAAUUUUCAAAUCAUAUUCUCAUAUUUCUGGUUGUCAUGUUUUACUUUGUAGGAAGCACCUGCUAUUGUUAAGUCUUUCUACGACAGAAGAAUAGUGGGCUGCCCAGGUGGUGAGGGAGGUAAGACCCUCUUUUGUAUUCUUUUCUUAAUUUUGUCCCUUCAACUAAUUCUUUCAUGAAUAUGUUUGAUAGUGUGAUAAUUAAUUGUCUUAUGUUAUUGAUUAUAAUUUACAGAAGAUGAGCAUGAUGUAGUGUGGUUUUGGUUGCACAAAGACCAACCACAUGUCUGCCCAGUCUGUUCUCAACAUUUCAAGGUAAAAUAAUCAUUUUCCUCAAAAUUAGUCAUUAUUUUACUCUCAUUCUGUGUGUGUGUUUGUUUGGGGGGGAACCAAUUUUUCCACGUUUGAACAGAAAUUUCUUCAGGUGAGGAGGCUCCUCUCUCUCUCUCUCUCUCCCUCUUUGUGGGGGGAAUCAAUUUUUCAAUGUUUAAAUGAAAAUCAGUGUGUGUGAGUAUUUGGGGUGGGGGAGCCAAAUGGCUCUCUUUCUCUCUCUAUAGGAACCAAAUUUCAGACAGUAAUUAUCUGAGGUUGAAGGGUUACCUCACUGCUGGGCUUUGUUCUUUUUGCCAUCUUUAUUAUUAGUAUAUCUUAAAGCAGAAAUUUUUGGAUUUUAAUCAAUGGAGCUUUCUUAAUUUAUUCUUUUAUGUUUCACAGUUGGAAGUAGUUGGCCCUGGUGGAUCUCCUUAUCACUACUAGCAUUGAAGGCUUCCUGCUGGAAUAAAAUUUUGUUUGAUGAAGAGCUAGUUUGCGCUGUGUAACUUUGAACACUUUUCAGUUUGUUCUUUUUGGUGGAUUCUGAAUUCUUGGGAAUAUCGUGUCAGACGCGAUAUUUGGGUAGGUGAUUUUUUGGUUUCAUAGCCUAGUCAUGGACCGACUGGUCCUCAAAUAAUUCUACCCUUCUACCCUGGCACUAAAUAAUUUCUGUAUCCCAAAAAUUUUGGCUUCUUUUGAACUCAAUAUCUUAUUCUUUCAAUGCCAAGAUGCUUGUGGUAUCACAUACAGCUAUAGACUAACAAGAAAUGAAUUAUAAUUUGUUGGAACUUUGAUACUAUCGUAACAAUGUUCAAAAGUCAAAAACUGCUAAAAUAGGGUUGAAACAGACAAGACAGCCCAGAUAUGGAGGUUUCUUCAAUGCAAUAAAACAUUGGAACCAUAAAAUUUCGAGGGAUAUAUGCUAAAUGAUCAUCUUGGAUAAUAUUAGUAUUGUCUUAGAACUGUUUAUACGUGUCUGCAGCUCUGCUUUGUGAAACCACUGCAGGCAUAUGACACACGGUUCAACCAUGUCAGCGGCUCGGAUUCGAGAAACUAUUACUGAGUGUCUCUCUAAAGCUCAAUCAGACUCCCCAGAAGUUCAGCAGAAAGCUCUCCAAACCCUGGCUUAUAUCACCAAGGUGAGUCCCCAAAACAGGAAUUUGCUUGCGCAAUCUGAUGGAGCUAUACCUGCCUUGCUUUCCCUCUCCAGAUCCUCCACCACCCUCCAGGCUCUCUCUUUAUCCAUCCUUUUCUACAUCUCCCUAAACCCUAAUCUGAAGCAGUCUCUUGCAGAGAUGGAAACCAUUUAUCACCUCAACUCCAUAAUUCUCUCCUUAAGCUCCCCAGAAUCCAGCAGACUAGCUUCCUCUUUGAUCUGCAGCUUGGCAAUGCUAGACAAGAACAAGGCCAAGUUUGGGGUAGCAGGCACCAUUCAGUCACUGGUGACCGCAGUGUCUGAUCCUGGAUGUCCUGCUGCCCAUCAUCUCCUUAGUUCUCUGGCCGAGCUGGUGCGGUUCCACGGAAACUGCACCUUAGCAGUCCGCUCAGGAGCUGUACCGGUCCUGAUCCAAGUAGCGCAAAGCAAUAACAGUGAGGACCUGGCUGGAACUUCUCUUGCUAUUCUGGGACUCCUUGCUAGGUUUGAAGAAGGGUUAAACGCCUUGAGGAAAACUGACCAGAUUGUGAAUUCAAUGGUAGACGUGUUGAAAGGGAGGUGCAUGUUGAGUAAGGAAGGUGCCGCAGAAAUCCUCCUCCGGCUGUUCGAUGAAAGCGAGGGCUGUGUGAGAGAUGCUUUGAGGCUGCCGGAGUUCCCAACUGUGCUGGCUGAUCUUUCUAUACGGGGAUCAGCGAGAGCUCGAGAGAAGGUUAGUUCAUUAAUGAAGAAGUUGAUGGAGGCCGACAUGGACGCCUACGGGGAUGGGAACUCCAUAUUUUUAAAAUGGUAGUAGAGGCUUGGCUUUAUUUAGUCACAAGGUUGAAGUGAUUUCUCCUUUUCCAGGGUUUUUCGCUGUCUGGUCGUGUAUUUUCAGCAGCCAUAAUCAUGCUGAGAAUGCAGAUGAAUUGAAUAUGAACAUUGUUAUAUUAGAAUUGAACCGGUAGCACUGUAAGUUCAAUCAAUACAAGCACCUCUGGUUUCUUCCUGAGAUUGGAAGUUGGGUAUUAAUUUAGGUUCAGGUCCAAUCUUAUUCAAACUUCAUCUGCAUUCUACUCCAUAUCUUUGGUUGCAGAUGAAUUCUGCGAGUAUGGCCUCCCUUGGUAGAUAAGAAAAUGUGUGCAUCGAAGAGACUAUAAUCUAUACUACUUUCUUUUCCUUUCCGGGAAUUUUUUUUUUUUUUUGAGUGAAGAAAUGGGUGAUCUUUGGUUGAAAAACAUGAUGAAAACUACAUGAGAAUCAGAACAGGUCUUCUCACAAGCAUUUGAUGCAUCACAAUCAUCUUAAUAAUAAUGAUAAGAAUACAACUGGGUUUCUAUUCCAUUCUGGCCAAAGGGAUAGAAAACAAAAUACAUGAAGGAUUUUAGGAUACCUUGUUUUAAUCUUAUGAGAUAGAUCGAAGCCCAUGAUCCAUAUAAACCCUAACGAACCUAAAGAACAUGUUUCCGAUGAUAGAGAUUAAAAAUGAACAAUUCAUUUCACCAUCCAUAUAAACCAUAAUGAAUCCUAAGAAUAUUUUUCAAACUCCAGGGUUGAAAAUGGAAAAUUCAUUCCAUUAUUUAUUUAUUUAUUAUUAUAAUUAAAUUAUUUAUUGAAAAUAAGAAUAAGAAUAAAAAUUUAUUCGUAUCACGGGUUGCUUUCUUCUCAUUUUUAUUCUUACAAACCAAAUGCUGUCUAAAAAGUCAUAUGAUUUUUAUUAAUAUGACGCAUGGUAAGGAUUUUAGGAUACCUUGUUUUAAUCUUAUGAGAUAGAUCGAAGCCCAUGAUCCAUAUAAACCCUAACGAACCUAAAGAACAUGUUUCCGAUGAUAGAGAUUAAAAAUGAACAAUUCAUUUCACUAUCCAUAUAAACCAUAAUGAAUCCUAAGAAUAUUUUUCAAACUCCAUAAUAGGGUUGAAAAUGGAAAAUUCAUUCCAUUAUUUAUUUAUUUAUUAUUAUAAUUAAAUUAUUUAUUGAAAAUAAGAAUAAGAAUAAAAAUUUAUUCUUAUCACGAGUUGCUUUCUUCUCAUUUUUAUUCUUACAUACCAAAUGUUGUCUAAAAAGUCGUGUGAUUUUUAUUAAUAUGACGCAUGGUAAGCGAUUAGUCGUUCGAAAAUUAAAUGCCCCGACAUACUCAACUAAUUAUUGAAAACUUUUAGCCUAAUCUCCAUUUUGAACCAUUCCUAUUGAAUAAAUUAAUCCUCAUUUGCAGUAUUUAAACUCCUAAUAGCAGAGUGGUGGCAUCAGCAUAUUAGAGAAAAAUUGUAUGUCUCCCAUCUCAUGAUUAUUUAAAUGGAGAGGCCAUCCAUCAACUUUAAAUUCUUAAGAUUUUUAUAAUAUAAGUAGGAUUCUCCAUGUUGGGUUAUGUGAUGGUUGACUAAUUAAAGCAAUCCUUAAUCUAAUCUACAAUAAAAUUACUUUUCCUCGUGAUUCCCCAAGCAUUCAUACCUUCAAUAGUUGUUAGUUAGAGAUCAUACAAAAUAAUUGAAUGAUUUAGACAUUUGAUUCUAAUUAAAGUUUGAUCAAAUUUAUGGGUUAGAAAAUAUUCAAGUCCACUUUAUUGGAAUAAAAGUUAGAAAAAUGUUGUUUCCUAAAAUUUUUAUUUUGAUUUAUAUAUAAAUUAUUUAAUAUUUAAUAAAAUUUUUAUAAAUAUAAAUAUUAUUUUUUAAACAUUUAAUUUGUCUACAACAUAAAAUAAGAAACUAUCUAAUGAAACCUAAAAAAAUAAUUGGAGUUCCAUGUAUCACAAAAACCUAAUCCAAUGCUUUGAACUUCACCUCAAUGUGUGAAAAUUCAUGAUUGUGAGCUAAAAACUUUAAUCUAGAUCAUCCUUUUUGAAAGUGGAAAAGAUGACAAUAUGAAGAAAUGACCCUUCUUUUGAUCUUGAAGUAAUCCUGCUUUUUCUCUUGAAACAAACAAGAUCUGAGUUUACAUUAUGAAAUAACUAAGGUACCCCUUCAAUCUCGAUCAGGUCUACUUCAAUUUUGUCCCUCUCCCACUAUCUUUAGCCAGUAGUGGACGGCCAAGUGGGUUUUGGAAGGGAGUGACAAAUGUCACAUGAGAGCAUAUUCAUAUGAGAACAAAUAAAAGUGCACCCUUUUGGUGACGUAUGAAAUUUGGCAUCACACCUUCUUGACAUAGAACAGUAGAAUGUGAUUGGCCCCACAAAAAACAUACGCUUUCAAACUAUAAUAAUUCAUCCAUGGAAAAUGCUGGUUUUGAAAAUGAUAGCCACAUGGAAUUAUUCAUGAAUAUUAGGACAAAGUUGGAGUACUUUCAGCUUAUCAACCUCAACCCCAUUAUCAUAUUUGUUCCUUCUUUCAUUUUCUCAUAUUCCUUGCUGAUUAAUUUUAUUUUAUUAGCAACAUUCUGAAGUUUUUAAAUCAUAUUAGAUUGGAAGCUUGAGAUUGAAUCCAGUGUUCAUCCAGAAAGGAAUUUUUUCCCUUUUUUUUCUCUGAAUGAUGAACAGUUUCAUGGGAUUCUUAGAGAACAACAAUUAUUCUUGAUUUUAUAAAAUUAUUAUUACAUGUGACGUGAUUGGACAAGAUCUGUAAAAGCAUUUUCGAAAGGAAAUUAUUGAUAUAUUAUUUUGAAUUCACUGUAUUGUAAUUUUCCUAGGAAAUAAAAUAAUUUUGUCUGUGAAGAGGAGAAGACUGAAGACUGAAGACUGAUUCGAUUGAAUGAGAGAGAGGAGGGUUGUGGGGGAAGAGUAGGUUGAGAAUAUGCAGGUGUUGGGGGGGCAUCUUGGUCAGAAAAUAAAUGUAAGAAAAGGACCAGUUUUGGAUUUUUCUAGCGUCUCUAUGUGCUGGGGAGUUUUUCUCAUGUAUGAACAGACAAAAACUAAAGGAGGUGAGAGAAAGUUGUGUGAAGCAAAGAAAGGUAUUACAGAGAGGAAAGAGAAAAGCCCAUAUGCUUUUGGGUUUGUUCUAUCCCCAGUCCAGGUUGGUACAAAAAGCAUAAACCCCACUUCUCCUUUUCACAUCCAAAUUCAAUCACUUUUAUUUUUAUUUCCAGCAGAUCUUUACUCUGUCUGCAAGUUUAUGCUACUUCCAUCACUCUUAUUCCCUCUUUUUUUAAAUAAAAGAAAUAUGUAUUGCCUCACUAAUCAAAUGAAGAUUUGAGUAGUUUUGGGGUUGUAUAUCAAUCAAACAUUACAAAUAUACAAAAGCAAAUGGAAAAAUAUCUUUUUUUUGCUGUUAGUAAUAUUUUGAUUUUUUUUUUUUGUGUGUUUUUGCAAAUAUUCUUGGGUUAUUGUAGUUGAAGUGCUUUACUUUACCCACUGUCCACAAGCAUAGAUUCUUUAUGUGCAUUACAAACUAGAGAGACUGGUGGCUGGGUCGUUCAUUUUAUGCAUUGAUGUGCUUUGAUCUGUUGUGGAUUCUUUGCUCACAAAAGAGUGCCCGCUUUUCCUUUUGUCACUUUCUUUAUCUCUUCUUUUCUUGGGUGCCUUUCUCUUUCUUAUAAUUUUUUGAAGGUCUCAAGCAGUGCUCAAAUUGUGUAAGCAGUGAGUGCUUGAUGCAGAUUCAUGGCUUAUAUUCCAUUUUUCACCCUCUCAAAUGGGUAUAAAUAGAGAUGGUCAAUUUUGAUUUUUAUUCAUUGCAGGUGCUCUUCUCAAUCAUUGCAACAAGUGGUCUGCACAAUAUAGUCAUUUUUGUGGAAAAAUAAAAUGAGCUUCAAUAGCUCCACUAUGGGUUCUGGUUAGUUUUUUUUUUUUGAACCUUUUCAGUGUCUGGGUUUUCUGGGAGCAUACGAAGUGUGUAUGCCUGCUAGUAACUAUGCUUCAUCUUUAGGUCUUCUAAGCUUUGUCCUUGGCCUUCUGGGUUUUUGUUCUGAAAUUUGUUACUGCAAUAUUUCAGGUAGUAGAACUACUAGAAGAACAUUUGAGUUUGGAAGGACCCAUGUGGUCAGGCCCAAAGGGAAGCAUCAGGCCACUAUAGUUUGGCUACAUGGCCUUGGUGACAAAGGUUCAAGGUAUUAAUGCUGGUUUCUUAUCAUUAUAGUCUUCGCUGAUAUUGGCAUUCCUUUGGUUAUAAAUUCAAGAUGUUUCUUUCCCUUGUUUUCAUCUGAACUUUUUGUGAGGCAAAACCAUCGAGCUGCAUCUUAUAUACCUAGUUUGAGUAAUGGGAUUGAAGUGAGUUGAAUGUACAUGGUAGUUUGUUUGGUUAAGUUUAUACACAUUGUGUUAUUCCCUGCUUUCUAAGCACCAUUGAUGAAGUUCAAAGUCUUUCUCUUCGUUUUAGGAAUAUGCCUGUGUGAGAAUGGUGGACUGGUUUUGUUCAAAAGAAAAAAGGGAGUAAGAGAAUGUCAAUGUCUUGUCUUGUUCAUGUGGAGAAUUUUGAUGUUUAAUUAACUUCUUGAACCUUGUCUUCUUCUAAAAAAUUCACAUUCUGAUUGAUUUGAUGGGGGAAGAACUAUGUGCCAUGGAUUAUAUAAGAUAUCAUGAGCUGUCGUUUUCUUCCAUCAUCUCUCUUGAUUCUAAGUUUUAUUGGAGCAGCCUCGAAUCUUAAAACUGUAUAUGCCAAAACCUAAAAUGGGGGACCACUGUUUCACUGUCUUGCUUGUCCUUUCAGCUUUGCAAGAGUUAUACUAUUUAUAUUUAUAGUGCUAAUGCUUAAGUAUUAUUCCCUAAAUUAUCAUCAACUGAAUCGUAUAGUUUAUGAUCUCUACCAUCCUUGCUAAAGCUUCUACUCAGCUUUGUGUGUGGUCCCAUUAGUAUGAUUUAAAUAGUUUAUAUCGUAAUGUUCUUCUAACUUCUUGAAGAGCCCUAACAGCUAUCUGUACUAUUGGUUUCUCAUGCUUUAUUAUUUCAGCAUUUGCUUAUCCCGGUUUCCCAGUUGAAGGAUGGCCAAUAGAAACUAACAUGAGUUUCUCAAUUUUUGUUUUCUUUUGCAGCUGGUCCCAGAUCUUGGAGACCUUGCCUCUUCCAAAUGUAAGGAUACGAUUCUUUUUCAAAUUUGUUGCUUCUUUGUAUAGGAAAUAGUGCAUGCAACAUGCAUAACUACUUCCCCUAGUCCUUCUGCAUGGAAAGAAUGUACUAUCGUUCCACAAGUAUAAUUAUUCCACACCAAUUGGAAUCUAUGAUGCAGAUCAAAUGGAUUUGCCCAACAGCUCCUACUCGACCUGUAGCAUUACUUGGUGGAUUUCCAUGCACUGCUUGUAAGAUUUAUUGCCUUGAAAAAGUUCUUUAUAAUGUUUAUGUUCAAAACUACCAGAAAUUCUAGGUGGUUGCAAGUUUUAUUAGUUCUCUUGUGGUUACUCAAAAAUAAGAAAUUAUCCAGUGAUUUAUUGCAUAUCAUAUCACAAGAAUUUAAUGUUCCAUUAAAAAUUUUCUGCUAGUUAAUACUAAUGAAGAGAUCUAAAACAGUCACUUGUGUAUAUCAGGGUUUGAUGUAGGAGAGAUUUCAGAAGACGCUCCUGAUGAUUUGGAAGGUUUAGAUGCUUCGGCAGCUCAUGUUGCAAAUCUGUUAUCAACAGAGCCUGCCAAUAGUAGGUUUAUCCCCUUUGUAGCGUUAAGAACUCUCCAAUCUUAAUUUUCUACAUAUGAAAUGCUCAGUAAAAGAAUUCUGGACAUUGUUCAUUUCUGCAUGUUGCUUUCUUUUUGUUGAACAAGAAAAUUUGGAAAAGGUUAACUUCCUUUAUCUCCACUUGGGUUUCUUUGAACUAAACCAGUAAACUUGGUUCAUUUUUCAUUUUUAUUUCUCAUCUUAAUUUAGCUUGAUCUACUCAAUAGUAAACUAUGCUUACUAGUUUCUGCUCCAACUUUCUUUUACUCUCACCUAUUAUAUUUUCCAAAUUUCUACUCAUUUUGCAAUAUUUGUAAAUGAGGUGUUCCAUGGCAUUGAAAUCACUAUUAAGGUCGUCAGCACACAAUGCGGGCUGCCCAUAUGAAAUCACUACUAUAAACCUCAGUAUGCUACCACAGUUCUAGUAAGAAAUAUUCUUCAGCUUAACAACUAAGCCAGAGGUUUAUUGCCAUUAACUAAAGUGACAAGUUAGGAUUAUCAUGGAGGCCAUCUUAUGGUACAUCACAACUUCAGAAGACUGCAAUACUUCCAGAAACCCCAUUUGCGCUCUUUUUAUAUGCGUAUAAAACAAAACCGAGUAUUGCUUUUAUCAUCCCUAUGAACAUGCUAGCAAGUUGUUACCAUGUCCAAGAUGCUCAAUAAACUAAUGAUGGGGCAUCAAAAUUUGAAAUUUUACUUUGUACAGUCAAACUCGGUGUUGGAGGCUUCAGUAUGGGUGCUGCAGUAGCCGUCUACUCUGCAACAUGUCGGGUUUUAGGGCAAUAUGGGAAUGGGAACCCAUACCAAGUCACUCUAAGUGCUAUUGUUGGACUAAGUGGCUGGCUUCCAUGUUCAAGGUUUGGAUUCAGUUGUAUGUAUAAAAGAAGCACCCACAGACACAACUGCACACAGGCACGUAGAGACAACACCAACAUUCUCUUUGUGGUUUAGCAUUUCUUUCUACUCAGCAGCUAUCUUUUUUCCAGGACCUUGAUGAACCAAAUGGAACGAUCACAUGAGGCUGCAAGGCGCGCAGCAACCUUGCCUAUUUUGCUCUGUCAUGGAAUAGGUAUUUAUAUUUAUGUUUGACAUUUUGCUGGUACACUCUUGAUCUAUUUUUAGUCACUUUUAAGCCUAUGUCUGCAAUGUUAACAUCACAGAACCUUCUCUGCUAUAAAUUUUGCACUUCUAGUAGCUGGAUUUAUGGGUUUAUUCAUCAUAUCAAAAUUUUAAAGCAAGAUGCUAUUUUCUGUUUCACUGAAUCAGGAGCAGUAACUGCUCUUGUUUGGCUGUGUUUAUUUGAUAUAAACUUGAGAAAAACCUUGAGAACUCUGUGCAUCCUGUUUGAAGUCUAGUUUGUUCCUACAUCUUUGCUGCCAGUCAGCCAGUAAAAUAUCAUAAAGAUGUUUUUACUGUUCAUGUCUCCUUUAAUGCCCAUAAGCUGUUUCUGUUUGAUUUCAUAGGUGGAACAAACCUAUUAGCAACCUAGUAUCCUUAUAUGACCUUGCAUGUGUAUGUGCACAGGAGUUUUCUUGGAAACACAAAUUUGCUAACUCCUAAUGUUAUCAUUAAUUUUCCCGCUCAUCCACCUAGGUGUCUUCUCCUAUGGAAAUAAUUUAUUAUUGUUUAUCUUAAUUGUGAAAAGUAGCAGGGUGCUCGGCUUGGGCUAGGUUAACUUGUACAGAAAGGCUCAUAAAUACAAAUAUCAUAUGGUCACAGUUUCUCUUCUCUUUGUUAUUUGGAUGGGUGGGCAUGUGGCGGUAAGGAGGGAAAUUAGAUGUAUGGAGCUAAUAACUACCUUGCACCAAGGUCAGGCCAUAAAAUUAAGAUUUUGAUCCCCAUUAUGCUCAAAUAGUUCCCUUUAGAUUAAAUAUCUUAGUUCCUUUCCAUUUCAUAAAUGUUGCAAAGGUCUUCACUAUUUGCAGGCACAGGAAAAGUAAAUAAGAAAACAAAGAGCAGUACACAUUAAAUGUGAUUUUCUAAGUGUUUUACUCUAAUUGAGCAGACAAAAAAUUGUUGCUCUCAUAGCAAAUUUGUGUUUGUACAAAGAAAAAAAAGGACAUUCCCAAAAUGCACUCAACAAAGAAGGAAAUGAUAUUUCAUACAUGAAGCAAAGAGCCAUGCCACAACAGAGGUUGGAAAAAAAAUGCUUCUAAAAUCCUUGAAAAUAGAAUGAAGAAACAAUGACAAAAAGGAAAAAUAAAAAUAAAAAAUACUUCUUAGCUGCAAUGAGAAGGGAGAACCUAUAUCAAUGGUGCACUGGUUUCUUCAUUAUAUCCCAAAUAUUGCUAAAAUCACUGACCUGCAUCCCUGAUCUCUGUCUUGUACUGCUGUGAUCUUGAACAUCAUUGUAGUGGCUCAACAGAGGCAUUGCUCUUUCUACAUAUGAGGAUAAUAUCUUAUUUUGCUGUUGCAGGUGAUGAUGUGGUUGCGUAUAAACAUGGAGAGAAAUCUGCACAGACCUUAAGUGCAGCAGGAUUUCGGAAUCUUACAUUUAGAACCUAUAAUGGGUAUUUGGUGUUUUUUUUUUUUUUUGUUUUCAAGCACAGAUUGUCAUGCUCAUUUCUUCCUAACAGCAAUGUGAUCAAUUCUGUAUCCCGCCAUGCAGGCUUGGCCACUACACCAUCCCUGAAGAGACCGAUGAAGUUUGUAAUUGGCUAACUGCAAGGUUGAUGCUUGACGGGUCCAGGUCGUAAUUGCGGGAAAGCUGGUGAGGAAGCAUAUUAAGGAAUAGAAAAGGCAGUAUAGAGUGGGUGUUGGUAUGGGGUAUAUGGUAUAGCACAAAUCUGUCCUUCCACUUAUUAUUCCCUCUUGAUCUCUCUUUUUUUUUUUUUUCUUUCCUCCCUAAAAUAAAUCUUUUAGUAUUGGCUCAAGUCUGGUAUUUGUUUAGUUGGCUACUUGGAGAAGGUAUUGGUUUUCCCCUUUUCUCUCUAUUUUUAACUUCUAGGGUUUGGGUUAGUUAACGCUCUCUACGGAGAGUUUUGGUGUUUGGGAGACGAUGUAAUUGAGAAUAUUUUCCUUUCUUUAAGGUUGCUGAAGAUUGGAUGUCUUUUUAAGUGCAUUAGUGGAAUGCUGGAUGCUGGUGGAUUCGUUUCACAUCCUCCACUUUGUCACCAGGCAUGCUGAAAUGGUCAUCUUUCUAUCAAUCUUCAAUAUAAUGGGAGGAUUCCAAUUAUCAACUUUAUUUUUCAAUAUUUGUCAGAAAAUGAGAGAAACCAAUGCAUCUGCUGAAAGAAUAACAGCUACCAUACCUCCAGCAGAAGGAGACCAUCUGGGAAAUGUUGCCAUUCUAUCAGAAAUUGAAGCAAUGGUUUGAUUUCUAGGGUUCAAAUUUUCAUUUACCGUGAUGGAGCAAGAAACUUCUGUCAGAUGGUCCACAAGGCAAAUUUUGUCUUUCAAGGCAAACAGCAAUGACAAUCGGUAAUGAGGAAUUCAAACCAAAAAUCAGUUUCCGAGAAAAUCAAAACCAAAGUUCAAAGUUUCAUGUACUGAAAUGGGAGAAGUUUGUUUCUACAUGACACAAGUUAAAUCAUCCCAGGAAAAUUUCAGUAACAACUGCAUCAUUGUUUAUUGAUAAUGCUGGCAAUCACAACAGCACAGCAAAGUUGGGUACAAUAAUGGGGCUAAGAAAACAGCCCAACUGGAAUAAAACCGGGAGCAAACACCCCUCCAUAAAAGCUCCAUUCGACAUUGACUAGUUGCUUAUUUCUGCCCAACCGAAUAGGAGGCAACCUCCAAUAAUCCCUAGAUCCCAAUUGACUAAACACUAGAAACAUGCAAUUGAACAAGAAAGAAAUGCUCAAAAAUGCGGAAAAAAAAGAGUAAGAAAAAGAGAACAUGAAUGAGGAGCAGCAGCUGUCUGACUAAAUUCCGUUUUCCAUCUUUGCCCAUUAAUCCUUGCAAAUGGUUGUCACUUGGAAUCCUGCUUCCCACAAAAGCAAUGAUAUUAGUCAGUAUAUUUGAGUAAACACAUCAAAAGAGUUACAAAUGAUGAGAAUAUGCAAACCUGACACAAUCUUCCAAUCCGCAACUUAGAGUUCUGCAAAUGGCAAUUUUAGCACCCAUAUCCAUAACUAGGACAGUUAACUAACAACAUUAAGCAUAUACUUCAAUAAUAAAGCUCAAAGGGCAGUCUUUCUAAACAGGCAGGACAAAUCCAUGAACAGGACUCACAUCCAAUUCCAUGUAUUCCAGUUACUUAUUGCUACUACUAUCUUGAGGAUCACUUGAAUUUUGAUGGGAGCUGCUUUUGGUAUCAAUGCAUGGGGUGAGAGGUGGGAAAGAAGGAACAGCCUGCAAUAUGAACUUCCGGCCACUUUUCAAGAUUGCCAAGGAGCUGGAUGACCCACGCUCAUGCGAUUGAAUUUUUGGAGGAGAAACCCGUUUCUGCUUAGGGGAGCUUGCUUUUACUGCCUUGGUGGGAGUAGAAGCAUCUUUCAGUAUCGUGGGUGUGUCAUCUUCCAGUAUGUCAUAAAGCUCAUUGUCAGAUUCAAGUCCCUGGAAAAUUUUGGUCUCACCUAACUGAGUUGAUGGUGGAAUUGGUGAACUACGCCAACGAAGGGAGCCACCUGACACAAGAUGGUCACUUCCAGGACAUAAUUGGCCUCUUGAGACAUUUGUCAAUCCACUUGUUUUGGAUGAAGCUGAAGGAUUCAUGGCUGUUGUUGGAAGAGAGCUUGGCAAUGAAGUGAAAUGGCACACAUCAGAAAGUCUGUCACAUCCUGGAGUGAAUUGAUCUACUUUUUCUGCAUUACCAUACUCAAAUUCAUGCUCAUAACAAGCCAUAUCCCAAAUUUCUUUUCCUGGUUCAGGGAGAAUAUUGUGACUAUCUGAAUUCUUUGGAGAUACUGGGGAUUUUCCAUAAGACGAUAAGAUCGAAAAAUCAGAUUCUGGUGAUUGAGCAUAUCUUCUGGAAGGAAUUUGAAAAUUUGCUGCAUCGUUUCCAUGGCUAGAUAGGAAAAAAUAUCAUUCAGAAAAUAAAGGAAUAAAGAUUAAAAAUCUGGUGUAUCAAAAAAAAAAAAGAGAAAAAAAAAAGAAAUAAAAUAAACAAACAAGUCCUACUCUGAGCACUGAAAUGAUGGCGUCAUGGGUGUCAUGUUAUGUGGAUUACAAAGCUCAGGGCGUAAGAAGUCACUCCUUGCUGCAACCAUUUCCAGCUUCUUGUCAAAAGAACUUUCCAAUCUAUCAUCAUUGGCUCUUCUGCUCAUCAUUUCUUUGAAUGCACCAUAUUCUGGAAAAGGGGGAAAAAUGCAAUCAAGAUUAGGCAAACUUUAUUAUUGAGUACAUGUAUGUAAGGAUGCUUCAUAAAUUUCAGUUGAUUGGAAGUAGAUACUUUCAAUCUCAAUACAGAUAAUUUUAUAUUGUUGAAAUGUUCCUUUUAAUCCAAACUUGAUAAACUAGCCAAUAAUUAUAGCAACAUGACCUAAACGUAUGACUGGGUUAGUUACAAAUGAACGAACUUUGUUAUGAAUGUUGAGGACUACAUGAAAAAUGUUAUUUCCAAAAGCAGUCAUUUAAGCAACAAAUUCUAGAGGUGUUUUUGUUUUUUUGACUUAAUUUUAAAUAUUACUUAAAACUAAAUGGUACUUAAUAGUAUUAGGUAUUAAGUUGUUUGUUUUUUUAAUAUUUUAUUUCUAUUAAGUAUUAAAAAGUAAAAAAAAAAAAAACCAAUAUGUUACUUUUAGCAUUCAUUCGGUCAAAAAAUUUAAGAAAUAAGUAACUAGUCAACAAAAAGUGAAAAAACAAACAAUUUGAAACCUCAAAGCAAAUAGCUUUCAGCAAAAAGUUAAAAACACAAACACCACCUAACAUAACAAGCAAUCAAGCAUUAAUGAUGUUGCUUAAUUAGUAUAAACAAGACUAUCGUUGGUGCUCUUUUUACUCUGUUUCUAAAUUAGCUAUAUCAGAAUUAUUUUGACACAAUACAUAUAUAAUGACACAAGAUGCUAUCAAAUAUAGUGGUAAAAUCAAGUGGAGAUCUCACUCUUGAUUAUGGGCUUAUUUGGUGCGGUUGUAACUUCAAGUCAAAUACUAUAUAUAAAUAUAUAUAUAUAUAUAAUAAUUAUAAUAAAUUUUGAAUCCUCUUCCUGCAACUUGUUCUGUGAAAGCAUCCUAUUCCAACUGUACUAAAAAAAGCUUUUAAGGCCCAAAACUCUUUUACUUUAGAGUGCUUAGUAUGUCAAAUGGGAUCUAAGGUGGGGUUUGGUUUUCUAUCUGAAGUGCGAGUCUAGAUUUGAUUGAAAUCUGAAUAGAAAUCAAUGCAGAAGUGUCAUUGAGACUUUGGAUUUCAAAUAAAAGUUAAAAGUUUGUCUUUUGUAUUACAAAAUAUGUAAAAAUAAGACUAAACUGAGACACACAUGCAAACACACAAUAAUAACAUUAGCAGCAGCAACAAAUAAACAAACAGGGCCUAAAGUCUUCCUAGGAGCAUAAACACCAUUUUCCUCCCUUAACCAUUAACUAAAGCUAACAUUUGACUCUUGCCCAACCAAGGGGCAAAAAAACAUUAAUGAUAAAACAAAACUCAGAGUGAAGUCAUGUCUCAACAAGCAAGGCAUUUAAAGCUCAUUAUAUAAGCCCCAAAAACAACCUCAUUCCAUCAUAAUGGUAUCUUUCUGUUCUUUUCCUUUUAUUACCCCAUUGAUAUUAGGAAUACUAUCAUAUUAAUCAUAAUGAAAUAAGUUGUAGAGUCCUCAACUUACCUUCCUUCCUGCCAUAGACAUUUUUACAACCCUCACAACGGCAUCCAGCAGAACAUCCAACAUUAGCCUUUUAAGAAAAAGCAACAAAUCCCAGAACAUCCAACAUUAGCCUUUUAUGAAGAAGCAACAAAUCCAAGCUAGAAUAAGUGUAAAGGCCAAAAAAGAGAUGAGCAUGAUAUCAUAAAUACAGUGGUAUCAACAUAUGAAACCUGAUAGCACUCGCAGUAUUUUUUCAAACACAUUGACUUCUUGCAAUUGCAACCUCUCUUGUGCCUCGCUGAUGAUGGUGUUGACCUUCCAUCUUCCUGUACAGUGAAUCCAGCUUGUGAAGAGUCUAUGUCAUAUAUACAUAAAUCCUUGAAUAGAAUCAAAGUUGAGAGGUUCAAUACCCCACUAUUUAUUGGAGACCCAUUGACGGGUGGGACAAUCUUUGGAGCAAAUGCGAGAGGAUUUCGAGAUUCAAUUUGUUUCCGUGUCUCAAGAACUCUAUCAUCAUAUUCAGCUCUGUUGAAGCAUCCUACGCAAGCACAACCUUCAGCGCAAUAGAUUCCGGCAGCAAAACAAUCACAAUACCUGGAGAGAACUACUUUACAUAAAUUUACAAAGAUGAUAUGCAUUGGGUUUACUACUAUGACUGGCAUCACUUACAGUUUCAAGCAUUUGGACUUCUUACAAUUGCAACGUUUGCAACCGUCUCCAUCAUUGGUGCUUGAUGCCUUCUUUCUGGAGUUAAAAAGAUACCCCCCCCAAAAAAAAAAGAAAGAAAGAAAAAACAAGUAUUGAGAAAAAAAUAAAAAAAGAAAGAAAGAAAGAAAACCAAGUAUUGAGAAGCACUGAAAAGUCAAAAUUGUGAGAAAUAACAUGGAAGCUUAAGCUUGCCUUCUCUUUUUUGGGCUUGGUUGGUUGAAUUCCUCAAGACUGUCCAUAUGCUCUGAGUUAAACUUUCUCUUAUCACAUGGAAUCUCAUGAAGCUCUAUUGGCUUCAACAGCAGAGGAUCCUUUGAUGGUUCCAGACCAUGGGAAGACUGAGAAGUAGCAGAACUCAUUGCAAUUGAAGCCUUAUUUUCGUUUCUCCUAUCUUCAGUACCAGCUGAAUUCUCUAUUACAUUUGACGGAAUUGAGUCACUUAUUCUCCAUGCACUCGAAUAAUCUUUCUCUUCUACUUUCAGGCUUGUAGUAGAACUGAAACCCAUGGGCACAGCAUUGACAAUGCUAUUUAAGUGCAGGCCAAUACCAGAUGGCUUGGAACCUGCUAGGGACGAGUUUCCACUGUUUUGAGGAGGAAGCAUGGCAGUUACUGGUUGUGAGUAAGCCAAUUGCUUGUUGCUGGAAGUUGUAGUUAAAUCCACACAUGAGGAUUCUGGAAGCUCUGAAUCACUAGGAGUAGCAAGUAAUCUUGAAUUGGCUGCAAUACUUGUUGGAUAUGAAAAACUAGGGUUGUUUGUGAUAAUAUUCAAUUGAGCCUCUCCAAAUUGAAGGCACCGUCUAAGCAUGCCACGUUGGUGCUGAGUCUGCUGACUGGCCUACAUCAAUGUUGUAAUUAUUAUACAGCAAACAGCAAAUCCUAAAAGAAUUUGAUAACCCAAAAAACAGAAAACAAAUCCAAAUGCUUGCUUCUUUUGAUGGCAUCAUUUCAAAAGGCCAGAAUGAUUCUGGUCAUUUAUCAAGUAAACAAAGCCACUUGGCCUUAGUGGCAUUGUAAUCAAGGAUCACAUGUCUAGAUAAACUUAUCACUGUAAAAUAAAUGCAGAGAAGUAACAGUUCAUGAUGGAGUUGUCUUUCUAUAGUCGAGCAUCCAUUAAGUCUCUUGGGACAUACUUUGUUAUGUUAAAAACAAUAUUUGUCUUAUUGUUUGAAAUUUCAAAAAUUCCUAUUAAGACUUUGUUACUCGAUUACCGUCUUAUCAAUAUUUUUACUCAUAAAUCCAUAAGCAGUGUUCCGGAUGAAAAGCCAAUAACCUUCUAAGCUUUUAAGCAGCCUUUGGUACAAGGGGUGGAGAGUGCAGGUGCAACUUUCCUCUGAUGUGACAGCUUUCCAUGCAGCAUUGAAGUUGCACAUUCCAUCCAAAAACAGGACAGUUAGGCCUCAUUUUCCAGCAUUAUCUCAAUUUAUUUCCCAGAAACUCGAUAGGAAACUUUAACAGGAAAUAAAAUUUCCAUUUUCUCUGUAACCUCUUGCUAAAUUAACAAAGCCUUAAUGGGUUUGUUAAGGCAAAAUGAAGUAUAGUGAAUACUAUCAAACAAAGGAGUUCACGUUUUCCGUGCUGUCACUAAAAUAUUGGCUUUUCCCUUCCUUUCAAAGCUUUCCCAUUUCUUUUUUCCCAUAUUAAUCAUAGAAUCUUAAAGGAAUCAUUAUCCACAUCACAAAGGUUCUAAUGCUCCACGCCUGACAUUACUUUCCAUCAAGAAGGUCUCUUAAAGAAAUAGGCAUCAUGUAAGAGCCAUAUUUAUGAAUGAAACACACCCAUAUGGCCAAAAAGAAUGAAAAAUAAAGUUGCAUAAGACUAAAGUUUCUGAGCGUGUUAUAAGCGAAAUUUCCCAUAUGGCCUGAGAAUGAACAAUGAAGUCACUUAGGAAUAAAAGAUAUUGACCAUGUUUUACCAAGAUCAUGACAAUUGGGAACCAUCCAAAUUUUGGAUAUAUCAAGUUAUCAACCACUAGUGUUUUGUUAACAAACUGUGUAAGAAAAUAAUACUGACCUUCGCCUAUCAAAAAAGAGAAAAAAAAAGGGAUACUGCCAUUUGAAGUGCGGACUCCCUCAGUAACUUCAAACAAAGCAUGCUGUUUGCACUCAUAACCAAAUAGAGGAAGAAUGGUUGCACAGAAAAUGUACGUGCUCUAUCCAGAACUUGUUUUAUUCCUGACCAACACAACUUGUCUUUGUCUAUAAAAGAUGAUCCAGUAGGUCCUCCAGAAAGAAUGGUUGCACACCAAAUUAACAUGCAUAACACUAUUUCUUUCACUAUACUCUAGUUUAGCUAUUUAGACACACUCCAUGAAUGCUUUCUUGAAAACUAAUAUCAAAGGAAAGGAGAAAUUUGUCCAUAAUUUCAUCCAAGCUAUUUUAAACACAAACAAUUUGACUAAGAGCUGCAGAAUCUCUCUUUAAACAAGAUUUUAACCUCUCUGUCACUUCUCUACUGUCUAAUGCAUCCUGAAGGAUUGAACUUCUUAAAUCCAUAUAUUACCCUCUAAAUGAUUAUAUAUAUUCCCUGAGAGCCCUCUAAACUUGUUUCUUUUCCUAUGCAAAAACACUCUGUUCUAGCAUUUAUAUGAGAAAUAGGCAAGAAAACUAAAUGGUGCAACAAGAAAACAAAAGGCAAGCUCAUUAGCAGCCAAUUGUCAAAGAUGGGACCAAUAUUGACAUGUUCAUCCCACUCUUCAGGCCUGUUUGGGAUGGCUUUCUAUUCUAGAAGUUGAGGUCGAAACCAAAGGCAUCAUUGUCUAACGGUAACAUUGAUAUGAUAUGUAUAAGUUGUAUUAAACAUGAAUAGCUUCUUACAUAAGUCAAAAUAGAUUUUCUAGGGAGAAGUAAUAUUUUCCUGACUGCAUGUUAAGAUCUAUUUUAAGUCAUAAUCACAUUGAAAAAAAAAAAAAAAAAAUCACCCACGUAGCCACAAAACUCUAAUUGAGCUUGAAAAGAGCUUUUGGCUUCUCAAAAGCCAAUCCAUACAAGACCUUCACCCUCUAUUUUAUUAUGUGCUUCAUUUAUGCAUAUAGUAGAUGUUCUUCCUACACACUAUCACUAAAAAAUGCAUCACAUUAUCUCUCAAAGAAAGUGCUUUAUCAUACCUUUCUACAUACAAGUGAGUGAGAACAGAUCAUAGUAAUUUUUUUUUUUUUGAUAAACCAAGAGAAGAAAUCAUAUUAGAACACGCCAAAACAGGGGGCGCUCCCUAAGUACACCGGCAGUAUACAAAGAAGGCCUCACCCAAGGCAACAAAGGAGAAACAAAAACCUAGAAAUGCCACAGAUGACCAACAAAAUCAACCACCCAACAUAUUCAUAAAAGAGAGAUAGUCCACGUCCAUGAACUGUUGAGACCAUUCAAGAAGAGCCCGAAGGAAGAGAUUCUUCAAGCUCGUAUCUGACUUCUCUUCUUCUUGGAACAUUCUUCUAUUCCGCUCUCCCCAAAUAUACCAAAACAAAUAAAUAGGCGCCAUUUUCCAAACUACACUCCUCUUUUUUUCUAGGCCCUUAAUUUUCCAUUCAAGAAGCAAAUUUCUCACUGAGUUCGGGAACACUCACACCACCCCAAAAGAAGAGAGCACCACAGUCCAAAGCUCCCUUGUCUUACCGCAAUGAAUUAGAAUAUGAUCCGCCGAUUCCUCAUUCUCUUUACAAAGAUUGCAUCUAUUAACCAUAGACCAACCCCUCCCUCAUUAACAUAUCAACAGUAGAAAUUUUACCCCAAACAGCUUCCCAAGCAAAAAAACGAGUUCUUAAAGGGGCACACGAACCCCAUACCUCCUUUGCUGAAAAUAAGGGGCUGUUCUCCACUUUUAAAGACUGAUAAUAAGAUUUAACACUGAACUUUCCUUUUCUCUCAAUCUUCCAAAUUAGAGAAUCCUCCCAUUUUUGGACAUUUACUGUAGAGAUGUAAAUUGAAAAAGAUUCACCUCCUCCAAUUCCCAAUCAUGAAAGGGUCUUCUAAAGUGCACCUCCCAUCCCCCGCCACCACCUCCUUGUCUCCCCCAAAGAUCAGCCACUACAGUAGAAUUAUGGGUUGCAAUUCUGAAGAGCAAAGGAAAGAGCUCCUUCAGCUUAGAAUCUCUAACCCAAUAGUCCCACCAAAAUCUGGUACGUCUACCAUUUCCAAUACGAAUACUAGUUCUAAGGAAGAACUCCUCCCAUCCCUUUCUAAUGUCUUUCCAAAGGCUCAUCCCAUAGGACUUCCUUACCUCUCUAGUGGUCCAACCCCCUUUCCCCUCUCCAAAUUUACCACAAUGACUUUCCUCCAAAAACUCUCCAUUUCUAAAGAAAAUCUCCAGAGCUUUUUUCCAAGCAAAACAUGAUUAAAUUCCUUCAAGUGCCUUAACCCCAAACCCCCAUACCUCUUAUCUUUGCAAAUAGCCGUCCAUCUUACCAAGUGGAUCCUUCUUCUCUCCUCCACGUCUCCCCACAAGAACUCCCUUUGAAUUUUCUCCAAUCUAAUUCUCACUUUCCUUGAGAUUACAAAAAGUGACAUAAAAUAGAUGGGGAGAUUUGAGAGAGUGCUCUUGAUGAGGGUAAGACGACCUCCCUUAGAAAGGUAUUGUUUUUUCCAUGUAGCCAAUUUUCUCUUGAAUCUUUCCUCUACCACAUCCCACACUCUACAAGAAUUAUGAGGGGCUCCAAGAGGUAAGCCUAGAUAAGUAGUAGGGAAAUUCCCUACUUUACACCCAAAAACCGCAGCGGCUCUGUCCACAUCCUCCACUACCCCAAUUGGGAUAAUUUCACUUUUUUUCAAAUUUAUUUUUAGGCCUGAAACCACUUCAAAACAAAUAACAACCCACUUCCAAAAACCAACUGGUUCCUAUUAUCCCCGCAAAAAAAAUGAGUGUCGUUGACGAACAAGAGAUGGGAAACCGAAGCCCCUUCUCCAUUUCUCCCUAUUACCCUGAAUCCUCUAAUGAAACCUUUCUCCUCAACUUUUGAGAUUAAGCUACUAAAAGCUUCCAUGAUUAGCACAAAUAGAUAAGGUGAGAGUGGGUCUCCCUGCCUUAGGCCUCUACAUGUUGAAAAAAACUCUGUGGAAGUUCCAUUCACCAAAACUGUCAUUCUCACAGUUGAUAUGCAGAAAAAUAUCCAACUACGCCACUUGGGCCCAAACCCCAUUUUCUCCAAGACUGAAAGAAGGAACUUCCAACUAACGUGAUCAUAAGCCUUUUCAAUGUCCAAUUUGCACACUAAACCUGCACCGGCGCUUCGCUUCCUUGAGUCUAUCGCCUCAUUAGCUACCAAAACCGCAUCUAAUAUCUGCCUCCCUUCCAUAAAAGCGUUCUGACUGUACGAGACUAGUUUUCCCAUCACUCUUUUCAUCCUAUUUGCUAAGACUUUGACAAUAAUUUUAUAAAGACUCCCUAAUAGGCUGAUGGGUCUAAAAUCCUGCACAUCACUAGCUCCCUCUUUCUUCGGGAUAAGCACUAAAAAAGUUGCAUUAUGGCUACGAAAAACAGUAUUCUUCACAUAGAACUCCUCAAAGACCUGCAUCACUUCCCCCCCAACGAUAGGCCAACAAAACUUCCAGAAUGCUAACGUAAAACCAUCCAGCCCUGGAGCCUUAUCUCCUCCCAACUCUGAGAUAGCUUUGUAAACCUCCUCUUCCGAAAAAUGCCCCUCCAAAGUCUCAUUAUCCAAAGCAACAAGCGUUUUAAAUGGACUUGACUCCACAUCUGGUCUUCUCACCCGAGGUUCCUCAAACAAGGAUUUAAAAUAAGACCCAAUCCCUUUAAGCUCCUCCUCUUUACUCAACCGAACACCCUUAUUUGUCAGGCUGCUAAUAAAAUUUUCCCUCCUCCUUGAAUUGGUCAUGCAGUGAAAAAACUUAGUAUUGCUAUCUCCCUCCUUUAGCCAAAGAGCCCUUGACUUCUGCCUCCAAGAAAUUUCUUCAAGGAUGGCACAGUGGCUGAAUUCAUCUCUAGCUAUCCGCUGGCUAUUCCUAUCUUCCUUAAAAAGAGGACCACACCUUUCUAAACUGUCCCAAAAUUUUAACUCCUCCAAGGCAGCAUCCUUCCUAACUGUCACAUUGCCAAGGGCCUCUUUAUUCCACCUCUUCAAAUCAUAUUUCAAAGCCUGAAGCUUCUUUGCAAGCACAAAGCUAGGUUCCCCCCUACAACUGUAGGACUGCCACCAAUCUUUAAACUUGUCCAUGAAACCUUCCACCCUUAGCCACAUAUUUUCAAACCUAAACGGGCUUUUACCUGUUCUCAUCCCUCCACAGUCUAACAAGAUCGGCCAGUGGUCAGAAACAGGUCUUGAAAGAAAAACUUGCAUUGCCCCCGACAUCUGUUCCUCCCAAUCUCCUGAAAACAGAAAGCGAUCUAACCGAGCCUUUAGGGAUCCUCCUUCCCCUCCACUCCAAGUGAAAGUUCCACCUCCCAGGGGAGGAUCAACUAAUUCAAACUCCUCUAUAAAGCCUGAAAAAUCCCUCAUCAUGGUUGACAUCUGUCUGCCAUUACUCUUUUCAACUGGGAACCUCACUACAUUGAAAUCCUCUGCUAUACACCACGGAUCACCCCAAAGCCCCUUGUAGCGGCUAGCUCCUCCCAUAGCUCCCUCCUCUCCUUACCAUUACACGGUCCAUAUAAACCAGAGAAGACCCACAAAACCCUCCUCGUAGUUUUUAAAACUGCAAGAAAUAGAAAAAGAGCCCACUUCAGCCUCCAACCCUUCCAAGACUCUCUUAUCCCAUAUCACUAGCACCCCACCUGCCGAGCCCCUUGCAUCUAAGGAAACCCAACCCAAAUUUCUACCAAUCCCCAAGCUUCUUACAAUUCUAUCAGACAUCUCCUUCAUUUUUGUCUCUUGAAAACACACCAAAUAUAGUUUGUGUUUUCUCACCAUCGACUUAAUAACCAUUCUUUUAUUAGGGUCAUACAACCCUCUAAUGUUCCAGGACAUUAUUUUAAGCUUCAUAAGGAACCACAGUAAUUUGCCUUCCCAACUCCCCUUCCUCUGCCUCUCUUCCAGCCAGCCCAUCAUAGUUAAUAGUACUGACCAGCUUCUUCAGCUCCUUUUUCUCCCUUGAAGCUGACAAUGUUCCUCUCUUGCUAUCAUUAGGCUUCCUGAUAACACCCCUUCUAUUAUCAAUCUCCUUAAGGAUUCUCAAAAUGUCAUCUUCAAAGCCUUCAAUCGAGACCCCCACCGUCUUACAAAAUCCCAGAAAUUUCUUCUUUACCCAAGGGGAUUUGAUAUUUUCCCCUUCUCCUGCUACAGUUAUGUGAAGAGGUGGCGUCUGAAGCUCUUUACCCCGAGACUUAGGGGUUACCCUUUCUGGCAGGGUGAAGGAACGACCAUCCUUGAGGAUCACCCUUAACGGCACCUCAGCCUCCAAAGGAUUGUCACACGUCACCUCAAACUGCCAUGCCAACGGAUACUCCACAGAGUCCCCCAUUCCCGAAGUAGAAGGAGAAAAAAAGCCAGAAAACUCCCCAAACACCCCUCCAAAGGUAGUCGAUCUAGGGAACAUACCUGGCGAAUGACUUUUCAGAGGCAACUCCCUGCUGCCUUGGUCCAGCGGGUCGCCUUCUUCUCUAAACUCUCCCCAACAAAGCUAGGCCUCUGAAGCUUCGUCUUGAGCUCCCCUGACUUAGAGGCAAGGAGCCCUAGGAUUGAAUCUUGGAUUGAUUCUUGGGCUAGCCCCUUUUUAAGCCCUUUUAAGUUAUUAGGCCUGACAAUCACAACCCAUUUCCCUUUCUUCUUAUAUAAGCCCAAGCCCGGUCUUUUAAAAGGAAGCUUGGCCCGAUGGAGACUGGGCUUCCCACUGCCAGAUGGCCCUCCCAGCUUGGCCCACUUAGAGAUUUCCUCGCCCAACCCAUCCACAGAUCUCCUUCCACCGCCAAAAAUCAGCUUUCUGUCUCUCCUGUCUACUGCAGCCGACCCACUCCCUGUCGUGUCACUCGUCUCAUCUACCAACCCAGCACCCUCUUGCAUAGAAACAAGGUCUUCACAACCUACUAUCCUAGCCUUUUCCUCGGGAAUCCGGAGCCCCUAUCUAGAGACUCCAUCACCUACGACUGCAUCAGAGUUUCCUUCUCCAUAGCACAUCCCUUUCACGCGCAUCAUCUUGCGUGACUCACACCCCCCUUCCUCCUACUGAAGGGAGGCCCUGCUCUCUGGUUCACCUUCCCUUUGAAUCUUUAAACUAUUCGCCACCUGAAGAGACGAGAACCACACCGAGUCCUCCCACCAUAACGGGAUAGAGAACGAAGCAAACCCCGCUAUUACCUCUAAACUUCCAGGCACCUCCUUUCCAUUGUUCUUAACAAGGAUUCUAACCCCCUUCCUGUAAAUAGAUUUUUUGGUCUCCUCAUCCAUAUCUACAAAUCCCCCACAAGAAUCCCCCACCCUUUUAAAGAACUCCAUACUCCAGAACUGAAGCGGCAACCCUGGGAUUCUCACCCAAGAUACAUCCCUCUGGAAUUCCCUCCUAGAGCACCCCAUAGUUGGAGCCCACCAGUCUAAAGAUAAUCGGACACCAUUGAGGCAUCGGCUCCCCUCCUCCAACACUUUUUGAGCAUCUCCCACUUUAGAAAAUUCAAAAAGAAACAAGGAAUCACUUAAGGAAGCUACACUCACUUGACCACUAAAACUCCAAUGGGUGUUUGCCCAAAUCUCCACCACCCUUAAGUCGGGAGCUGCCUCAUUCUCGGCAUUCCAUCUUCCCACCAAACAUCGUCUGAGAUCUUUCAAUUUGGAAGUCUAAGCCUCGUUCCCUACUUCAACCCAAACUUCCUCACUUCUUCCUUUAGCCUUCCUCUUGAAUGCAUCUACAUAGCUUAAACCGGGUCUUACAAGAGAAGUUUCAUUCCCUCCACCAUAGGUGCCAGAGUCCUCUGCUCCAUGCUUAGAGCCAUCACCAACUUUGGCUAACUCCUUCAGCUUGCUUCUGAAUAAGUCCCAACCCAAGAGGUCAAAUCCCUCUAGUAUAAUAAUGAAAUAUCUCCUAUCAUCUUCUGAAAGGACUGAAAACAAGAGGUAACGUCCAACAUCAUUUUGGUGCAUUUCUAUUCUAAACCUCCUACCUCGAUCAUUCACGUCUCCCUUGAAUAGUUUCUUCCCUCUCCACUUGCAGCAUGCUUCAAUCGACUUCAGAAACCACACCACUACCCCUCUACUUGCCUUGAUCCAUCUUCGGAAGCCUUUACCUUUCUCCACUAUCUGCACCUCACCCCUACCCUUUGACCAGACAAUCCUCACCUCAAAGGAUUUGGAAUCAAUGCGGAAGAAGCAAGACUCCAUUCUUGUUCAUAGAACAUAUCAUAGUAAUAUAAAGUCCAUAAAGAUGGAAAGCAUAUAUCUAACGAGGAAGAGUGCUAGUUAGAGAAACUAAUUCAAAGUAUGUGAAUGGCUAUACAUCCAAAAUAUAAAAUACAUGUUAAAACACCAAUAUGAUAAAAAUAUUUAGAAUGAUAUCAUAAAGUGAAGGGCCUAGCCAUCUUUCAAAUUAAGCCAAUGCUACAAAGCUUAUAAUGAUGUACUCAUCUAGUGUUUGUCUUUUACAUCCACAUUGUUUUGUAUCCAUGUUCAAUCUCUGCAUUCAUGCAACCCUAGAUAAUAUAUAACUUAGUAUAAAAAUUAAAGAUGUAAUAGUUUGCACCUCAGGAUCAUGCAGCACUGUGUUCUCAACAGGCCCAUUUGAGAUUUCUCCUGCUUGCUGAGCACAAUUUUCAUCCAUCCGUACAAUCUGCAAUGCUUCGGGCAUCAAAUGGGGAGUGCAAUCCAGUUCAUCCUGAUUGCCUCCUGCAGUCUGCAAUUUAACAUCUUGUGAUAUAUUAUAACAGAGUUUAACAAACAGAAACUUCUCUGUCAAGAUUUAUAAUUUUAUGCUCCUAAUUUGAUAUAAGGCAAGAAUCAGCAGUUACCUGAGCCACUGAACUUUCAUAUAACUGUUCAGAAGCAUAGUCCACAGACAAAUUAGAUUCUACAUUUAGGACUUCUGUAGAUGUCCUUUCACCACCUCUUUGCUUUCCAUCAGUUGGCACUGGCUUAACAUUGAAUGCUGACUUUCCUUGAAGUUCAUCUUCAGCUUGCUCUAACAAAGCUGGAGAUGCAUCCAGUUCCCUCUUUUUAUCUACACUGAUAUUUUUUUUGUCAAAAAAUCUUGCGGUGGUAUUGUUUGAGUCUGUAAAACCACUUUGUAAUGAUUGAAGUGCAUCAUUAGAUUGAUUCAAACAAGAACCAGCUGAAUGUGCAGAAAUUGCAGAGUCUGCCUCCAUGGUAUCAGCCAAGUAUUCAUCAACACACCCAGAGGAGCUGCAGGGUUGGUCUUGCACAGAGUCCUUAAUAUCACAUUCCUUCUCAACUUUAGCUACCAACCCAGUGUUCAAUUGGGCAUUUGCAUUAUCAGAAAUAUUUGAAACAGCGGCCACUUUCUUGCCUCUCCCAUUGUCUGUUGAAAACUGUACAUGAUGGCAUUGCGUCCUAAGAAAGAAUGAUAAGUUUUCAGAUAGUCAAUUCCAAAGUCCCAAUCCAUGUACUUCAAUCUGAAAGCAAUUCUAAAGUCUGAAUCCCAGUACUUCAAUCUGAAAGAAAUAAGUUCAUAGUGAAACUAAAAUAUGCCAAACCUUUUUAGAAAACUUGUUUCGUGAUGCGGAUUUAUCCGUGGUGAUGUAAACACAAGAGGAGGAGAACAAAGUCCUGGGAAUUCUUGUGCAACGUGUGCAGCCUUGACAGGUUUUAUAGGAGACAGGUUGCUAACGUAUGUAGAGAAAGGGGAGUCCUGAAAUCAAAAGGAAAUAAGAAAUAAGAAAUCCGAACUUCGAAGAGGGGACAAAGUGAUAGUUUUGAAGGGUUGCCUACCAAACAUGAUGUUUAGAAUCAUAAAAUGAAAUCUCCAGUUAGAAAAUCACAAUGUAUUGUAAGCAUUAAAGACUUCCUGUGGCACCACUAUGUGUUAGUAUCUAAGUGAUUAGCCACAUGAUGCUGACAUAUAAUUCUCCCAGGAAAAUGAUAGCCUAAAGUAAUCUCUUCAGAUCAUUCGAUGAAAUCUCAGCAUCCCUUCGGAUAUCAUCAUUCUGAGUGAGAGAGAACAUCUAAAGAAACUUUGUAUUUUCGGUUGAGUAGAAAAUGCAAAACAAUGGCAGCCUUAAAACCGCAAUAAACCUAAUAACAAAGUUCACACUUCACACAUCAAAUGCUAAGUGGCAAUAAUUGCAGAAUCGCCCAUUUAACGAUACACACCAAUCACUCAGAAAAACCACACGCCCGCCUUAAAACCGGACCAAAACCCUCUACACCCACUUUAAAUCCAACACCAGAAUUCGACCCAGAAAUGAAGCAUUAAACCCUAACCUCAAUGGGCACCAAACCUUCACCACAUAUACAACAAACUAAAAACAAAAAACUGCUUAAAGUGACCAUCACCCACAAGGAAAAUAAAUAAAAAGAAAAAGAAAAAGAAAUGACAAUCUAGAUCAACUGGAACUAAAACAGCGAACAAAGAACUGAUUGCAUGAUACAAAGAAAUGAAAUGUAGAAGAAUACAGAUACAUAUAAGGAGAAAGGUGAUUACUUGAACUGGAGGAGAUUUUGAUGAAGAAGUGGCGGUGGUUGCAGCAGUUUCAGGAGGGGGAAUUGGAGGAAAUGUAGUGACUUGAAGUGGGGGAGAUUGUGAAGAGGAUUUGGUUGUGGAGGUGGUGGUCUUAGCAGUUUCAGGAGAAUCCAUAGUAGUAUCAAACCCUAACCCUAACCCUAAUCCCUAAAAGCCUCUAUCUCCCUCCUCUCUUUCUUGAUCUCCUGAAACAGAUGACAAAAAUGUCUCACAUUUUUUCCUGAGAAAAGGAAAAAAAAUAAAAAUAAAAAUGCAAGGGAGAUAGUGUGAGAGAGCGGGCGUUUCAAAAGCGAGCGGGAACACUGGCCUUGUCACCAUUUGGUCUGGGCCUGGCCCAUCUAACUCCUGCCUGUAUGGUUCUUUAGCCCAGCUAAAGUCCGACUCUAUCUUCAGUUCGUUAGUAUGAAAUAUUUUUAUAAAUAGUCAACUAAUAUUUAAAAAUAAAAAUGAUCUGAAUAAUGCUUUUGAUAAUAUUGUAUAACAAAAAAGAGAUUUUUGAAAUAAAUUUUAUAUAUACUAAUCCAAAAUUUAUUUCAAGUGAUUUUUUAUGAUAUUGUUUGAAUACGUUUUCUUAUUUUUUUUAAUUUUUUUUUUAAAAAAAGAUGAUAUUACCUUCUAUCUAAAACUCAUGAAAUCUUAUGUAUUUUAAAAAUUAUUUAAAAAAAUUGAGGUAUUAAAAAAUUUUACUAUUUCAAUUUUAAAAAUAAUAUUUUAAAGAGAUAAAUAACUAAUUUUUUAUUUCUAAAAAUAAAAAAUUAUAUUCAACCAAGUAUUAAUUUUUUUAACUGGUUUUUAAAUUUUUUUUUUACUAUCUCAUCUUUAUAAGAAAAGUUUUUUUAAUCAUUAAGAGGUGUUUAGUAAAUUAACUUAAUAAUUUAUAGUGAUUUAAUACUUAAUUAUGUUUUUAAAUAAAUUAAAUAUAUAUUUAUUAAAAUAACUUAAUAUCUAAAAAGAUUGUGUUCUUUCUACAUAUAUGGAAAUCUAAGUCUUUCAACUCUCUAUUUUAUUGAAUUAACUAUGACUAAUCUAAUAGAGUAGGGUUAAUAAGAAGUUUAACUAUGACGAUCGGAAGAGGCACAAUUUCAAUUCAACAAGUCGAGUAUUAACUUUUCUACAUUCCCAAUAUCCCAUUAAUUGAGACUUCCUAUGCAUAACUGUAGCCUUUUGUUAUACCCAAAGGGUACUUAAUGCCUCCAUCAACUACUAAGUUGUAAUACUUAAAAACUAUUUUAAGUCGUAAGUUAUAAUAAUUAACUUAUUCUUACUUAAAUUUAGAAUUAUGUUUACAAAAUUUUUUUUGAGAUUGAUAUAAGUUAAGUUAUAAAAUUUAAGAGGUGUUUAGUAAAACUUAAUACUUAUUAUAUUAAUAACUUAAGUUCACUUUAAAUUAAAUUAUAUUUAAUUUGUUAAUUUAAAACUUAUUAUUUAAUUUUGACUUUAAAUAUUAAAGUUAUUUUAUAAAAUUAAUUUAAAAUUUAUUAUAAAUCAUCAAAUAAAUAUAUUUAUCCUUAUAAAUUAUAAUUAGGGUAAAGAAGAUCAAGUAACAAUGAAGAUUGUAAAAUAACAAAAAAAAUCGUGAAGGUAAGUAAGGUAAAUAGAGGUAAAAGGUAAAAUAAAAAGUUGGAUUUAAGAAUAAUAAAAAUUGUUUUUACUUGUUAUUUGAAAUUAUUUUUAAUUUUAAGUUGUAUUAUUAAAUUAUUUUAUUAAACAUAUUUAAUGACUUAAGUUAUUGAGUCAUUUUAAGUUAUAAAAAUUAAUUUACCAAACACCCACUUAAUUUAUUAAACAUCGAAAGUUUAAUUCUCUUACUACUAUUUUAAAAUUUUAAUAUGUAUAGAUUUACAUGAAUCAAAUUGGAUAAAAAAGAAUAAAUAUCAUCAAGAGGGUUGAAUUUAGGUUCACAAAAUACACUACUAAACUUUGAAAAUUCAUGUAUUUUAACAUUAAAGCUUUGAAAAAUUGUAUACAUAUAUACAUAUAUUUUUUUUGGACACAACCUACUGAACAUGAUAGGCCCUAAUACUUAAAAUAUUGAUAAGGCUUGUUAAAAGCAUGGACAAAAUAAUGCACCAUGCUAUUUUUGUUUGGCAAAUUACUCAGUCUAUAAUAAUAGAAAUUGAAUAUUCUUUUGGAUUUACAUGAAUCCCAAUUUAAUAAUACUAUAAUAUAAUUAAAAAAUGUAGUAGGUGGGAAACCAAUCAAACCAACCAACCAUGAAGAUUAUUAUGUUCAACAACUUUAUACUUAUUUAAUAUUCUCUCAUAAUGUGCCAACAUAUUUAAUAGGUUUAUGUAGUCAAUCAAGCAUGCAAAAGAUUUGAUUUGAUGAUUUUGUUUUAUAUUUGUUUUUUUAAUGAAACAUGUUUCACGCAAUCACAUUAAAAUAAUCAUAAAAUAAUUUUUUUUUAAAAAUAAUUCAAAUUUUAUGCAAGUCAAAAGUAGUAUUUAAGAUGGUCAAAGACAAUACCUAUAUCAUUAACAUGUAGUAUAUGAAUGAUUACAUAUAAUACAUUUGACAAAAAAAGUACGAAAUAUUAAUUAUUUUUAAAUAAUUGCUUGAAAAUUAUAUUUUAUAAAAUUGAGUUCCUAUUUUGUGUAUGAGAACACUUUUUUUUUUUUUGUUAUUUUAUGUAUCAUCUUUUGAAAAUUAAAUAAUAAUUUCUUGAAUACAAUUUUUAACAAACCCAUUUGAAAACAAAUUUUUAGCCUAAAUUGAAAGUAAAAUCUCCAUUUACGAUAUUUGAUUUUAAACUUCAAGGUUAAAUUAUAUAUAAAAUAUUAUUAAUAUGCUUAACGAUUUAAGAUGAUUUUAAGUUUUCGUAUUAUAAUCAAGUUAUUGAUUAUUUAAUUUUUAGUUUUAAAUAACUAUAUUUAUUAAAGAUAACUUACAUACAAUUUUUUUUUUUUCCGAAUUGUUGAAGUACCAUAUUUACCUUUAUUGAUAUUAAGUAAUGGGGUUAUGAUGGAGAAAUGAGGGGAAGAAGAGACAUGAACCAUUAAGAGAAAAUAUUUUUAAAAUUUAGAAAAGUUAAAUUAUUUUCUUUUAUUUUGAAGUAUAAUAUUAAAUUAUUUUAUUAUGUUAAUAUAUAUAAUUAUUUAAAUUAAAAUAUUAAAAUAUUAAUUAUGUUAACUUAUUAAAUUAAUUCUUCCAAACAUUCCCUUGGCAUUGUGUAAAAUUUUGCCUAUUUGUCCAGGCCUUGGUCUUGAAUUUUUCCAUUUACAUGAUGUGGUGGCAUAAACAAAUACACUAGCUGUGUACUAUUAUAAUAUAAUGUUCUUGGCAAUAUGCCAUCAAGAUUUCAAUAUCUUGAUUCAUAAUUUUUUUCUUUGAUUUCAAAUGGGUUGCUGCAUUGGAAUUGUCGGCAGCUUCGCAUUUUGACUUUUCAUGCACAAGAUUGUUUUCAAACCUUAUUGCUUACUGACUGUAGAUGAACUAGCUUUUUUAAAAUGGUCACAACCCGUGGCCUUUGCAGGGUGGCGCCCUCUUUGCAAUUUGAACCCGAUUUAAGUGCAAAUAUUUAUGCCUGCAUGGACUUUGUGGAUCACAAAUAAACAAGGGGCAAAUCUACUUUGUCAUACUUUGUGACGUAGAACGGAUGAAACUGCAAUAUCCCACAUUGGUUGAACCUUAUAUGGGAAUGUGGUCUCACAUCAUUUGAUAUUGGAAUAAAAUUGGGCCUAGCUUGCUUGUCUCAUACUCAACCAUUGAGUGGGAGAGUAUGAUGUAGGAUGGAUGGAAUUCCAACGUCCCACAUCAACUAAUUGCUAACUUUGGUUGAGCGUUAUAUGCAGGAUUACCUAUACUCCUUAGUAUUUUUCAACUUUAUAUGUAGGAAUUACCUCUACUUCUUAGUCUUUUAGGAGCGUAUGUGGUAUUACAUCAUUUAAUAUUUGAGUAAGGUUUUGUAUAACUUGCCUCAUACUCAUUGAUAUAGACUUUAACAAUUGAGUGGAGGAGUGUGACAUAGGUCGUAUAGGAAGUCCAAUGUCCUACAUCGACUGAUUACCAAUAUUUGUUGGACCUUAUAUGUGAGACCACCUCUAGCUAACUCCCAUUAGUUUAUACUUUUGGGGAGUGCAUAUGAGACCUACAACUAGGCCAUGAGGCCAAUGCCACUGUCCUAUCAUUGGGUUGUUUAAAGAGGGAUAAAUUAACACUUAUUUGAAUUACCUAAUAGUUUCACUGAAAUUUAUAUUGCAUGUAGUUCUGCACAUAAGAGUCAUAACCUCUACUCCUCAUUGCUUAAGCUUUUGGAGUGUAUGCGAAAUUGCAUCAUUUGGCAUCAAAGUAAGGUUUGACCUAGCUUGCCCUG